RNAcentral lists this long non-coding RNA (111011 nucleotides) under Triticum aestivum (bread wheat). RNAcentral describes it as "long non-coding RNA (TAES_LNC008803)". The record is from RNAcentral. Lineage: Eukaryota; Viridiplantae; Streptophyta; Magnoliopsida; Poales; Poaceae.
UUUUUUUUUUGCGGGUGGAGAAAUCUCUAUCUCUAUUCUCUAUUACUUAAAAAGAACGUAAGGUUCCCAUUUCAUCUUUCUUUCCACCACCCCUUCGUCCAACCUUUCGUGUAUAUGAUAAUCAAUCACCUUAUUUUACUUAUCUUCUGAACCAAUUCCACUUUAAUUUCAUCUACAUGCGCAUACCCUAUGUCUCGCGAACCAAAGCUUUAGCUGGACCUCAUGAGCUGGCCCAGAUCGGCCGUAUGUGUGUGCCUGACAUAUGUAUGGAGUGGGAAACAAUGUACAGCCCUCAGUGGCCGCCUAUGCGUUGGGUGAUUUGCCCACGCGCCGUUAAUCUAUAAAGCUUUGCUUUGGUUUUAAAAAAAAAUUCACUUUAAUUUACUUACCAAACUUCUAAUCAAAAUAUAAGGUAAUUCACCAUCAAAAUUUGAUGAACAUUUAUUUACACAAUAGCAUUAUUAUUGACAGGUAAAUCAUAAGCUAACGUACUAGUAGAAUAUUUAUAUCACGUUGCAACGUACGGGCAUUGUUCUAGUUUAAUGAAAAAAAUUCAUGAGUAGGCAGAUAUUCUACGCAUGGAUAUUUUUAGCGUUAGACCACCAAAUCCUCAUAAUUUGCAAAUAUUAUACAGCACAAUUAAGCAUUAUGUGCUUGUGCAAGUCUAGUACAUAGCCCAAAAGAACGCACGUGGAAUAUCAUCCACUUCUUUGAUAAUCCUUUUAAACAGACAUGUACUCCCUCCGAGUAGUAAAUAGCUAGACUCAAUGAAGGCUACAGAGAGAAGUAGUCUGCCCUCCUUAGAGCAUCUCCAACAGGCGUCCAACAUGUGGCGCGCUAAAAUCUGGUUUGCGGCGUGUCCAUUGUCAGAUUUGGCGCGGCGCGCAGCGCUGACUCCAGUAGCCGCGCUAAAAUGCAGCGCGCGCGCAGCUCUAGCAGGGCGAGCGAGCAGCCGGUGCAUCACAUUUGUUGCAUUUUGUCACAACACAUCCACAAAACAAAGACAUGACAUAUAAUUUAAAUCACAAACAUCAUUCUCGAUGAUCAUCAUUCUCGAUGAUCAUGUUGUGCAUGAUCCCACAAGCGUGCAUUAUGUACCAAGACAUCUUAUGAUCCCAAAAUCUAGCCGGUCCUCUCACAAUAGCAAAUUGGGCUUGCAAAAUCCCAAAAGCUCGCUCCACGUCUUUUCUAGCCGCCGCCUCAGCAUUGUGAAAAUCAAGAUAUUUCUUACCUUCCGUUUUUUCAAGGCUUCACAAAUGUUUGCCACUUUGGGUAGAUGCCAUCCAAAUUUGUGGUGCAUAGCUAGGAUCAUUGCAAAAUCCUCCUCCUCUUCCAUAUCAAAUUAUUCUUCGAAAGAAUCAUAUGAUGAACUCAUCUAAAAUGUUCAAAACUAGGCUAUAAACAACAUGCACCAAAUUUCAUGUAAAAAUCUGGAAGUUGGAAGCAAUACAUACCUUGCGGGCGCCAAGCGGCAGUGGGCGGCCGGGCGCUGUUCGUCGGAGGACUGCCGCGCGCGACGGGCGGCACUGACUAGAGAGAGGGAGGAAGCCGCGGCCGCGCUGGAAGAGACUGAGGAAGCGUCGGAACGGUCGCCGGAAAAAUGGGGUGGCGCGGGCGGCGGCGGCGGCGCGGCUAGAUGGGUAGGUGGAGUUGCGCGCGAGCGCUCGAGAGUUCAACGCACGGGAGCGGGCGGAACAAAUAAGUGGCGCGCGAUGACGUUUCCGCCCGCGCGCUGAAUUACAUAUGCCGCGCGCGCGGUUUUUGCGCGUCCGCUAGCUGGAGCGCCCGAAACGAUAGCACGCGCUAAAACUACUAUUUUUUCACACGGCACGUAUAUAGCGCGGCUGUUGGAGAUGUUCUUAGACAGAAGUAGUGUACAACAAUGGGACAAGAAUAUGAAAUAACAGGCAAUAGUGGAUCAGAGUGUGGAGGACGGAAGUUUAUAUGGCGAUAGUAAGGUACGUCUAGGGAAAGGUCGCGGCAUGACAACCUAAAGUGGAAGCUAUUGAAGCUGCCAUGACUUGGUCAACAUGCAUUAGGACAAAAUUAGUUUUUUGAAAGUUGAUUGAAAGACCAGUGUCUAGGCCAAGUCUUCAAGAAUUCUUAGUCAAAUCAAGACUUAGUAAAACAGUACAUACACACUAUUAUGGCUCACUAAAGUGGAUAAUACGUUGCACGACUUAAUUGAUGACCAGUUAGUCCGACAAAUCAUCUCAGUGUAACUGUCUACGCAUCAAGAACAUAAUUAUUUAAGCUUGGAGUUUCUCCAGAGUGAAUUGUAUGUGUGAAAACCCCCAAAACACUAUAUAAACCGCAAAGAGCUUGAUUAAGUUUGCCUUUUCUUUUAUUGACAUGGUGUUCCGGAAGUUUACUUUUGGCAUUGGCGAUCAUAUUCAGCCAGGGAUGUAACUCCAAGGCUGAGACGAAGCACACAACGGAGCACCCAACAAAGAGUAAAACCUCACAACAUAGAGAAAACAGCUCCAGUUUGUCAAAUCCAGGCCUAACAAAACAAAUUAAAUCAAAUUAGCAAAGCAGUGGAGCCGCCAAUCUUACCUUGUAGGAGUACACUAUAGCGUACUGAAGUGGACGGUAAUACGUUACACUAAUUAAAUAAUGAUCAGUUAGUCCGCCAAGUCCUCUCAGUGUCGGCAUCAGAAUAUAUUUACUUACGGUAAUUAAUUAAUGAUCACUUAGUCCAACAAGUCCUCCCAGUAUAAGCAUCAAGAGUAUUAUUUAACACUGCAAGAAAGCCAAGAACACUAUAUAUACCGCAGAGAGCUUGGUUAGUUGCAGUUCAUCACAAGCCAUCUACGUACACGUACGUGGAGAAUAACACGCAUGGCUCCUCAUGCUCUCUCUUGGGUUAGUGUGCCUCUGCUCAUCUUCUUGGCGUCGUCGUCAUGCGUUGCAGCGAGGGGCGCUCGGACACCCAAAACUACUGACCCGACAGCCGGGUUCACGGUGGUGAGCCUCGAGGAGAGCAACUUCUCACUGCAGCGGCCUUUCGAUGAGGCAAGCGGCGCCCGGUACAGUUUCGACGGCACCGUCCGGACGCUGUGGGUGCUCUCCUCCGACAAGCCCCAUGCCCGGCAGAGCCAUACCAGCCCAAGAACUGAGAUCAAGAUGGAAGUAAGUUAGCUAUUACUACUACUACUCAUUUAUGUAUUUGUGAUUGUGAAUGUAAUUAACUAUAUAAUCAAAGAUCUUAUUGGUUGCUUUUGCUAUUCUUCUACCUGCAGGGAUACGACUACAGCUCCGGCGUGUGGCAAUUUGAGGGCCACGGCUACGUCCCCUCAGGCACGACCGGGGUGUCCAUCAUGCAGGUGUUUGGCGCCGGCGAGACAGCCACCACCCUCAUGCUGCACGUCUACAACGGUGCGCUGCGGUACUACGACCGCCAGGUCGUGGAAGACGACAUCUAUGACAGGUGGUUCCGGCUUAACGUGGUCCACGACGUGAAGGCAUCGACGCUCACCGUGUACAUCGACGGCAAGCAGAAGCUGCACGUCCAUGGCCGUGGUGGCCACUCACAUUACUUCAAGUUUGGUGUGUACGCGCAGAACCAUGACUCCAGGUGCAUGGAGUCUCGCUGGAAGGGGAUCAGGAUCUUCAAGAAAGAGUGACACAUUGAUUCAGAUUUUAUGGCCGAUUACAUAUUUUUCUGGGAUAUAAUAUAUUUAUGUUGUCGCCUUAUCAUAGUGAUUGUGUAUUAUUGUGGACUUAUGAUAUGUACUAAUACAUAUGAGGCUGAGUAUGUAUGUUAUUUGUUUGUGGUAAUUUAGUUUUUCUUUAAUGACCCGAUGAUGUUUUAGAUGUGAGGACAAUAUUCGUUACAGAAUGCGUACACAGUUUGCAUGCGUACAUGAAUAAGUUUGUAACUAAUGUAAAAACAUAUCCUGAGAAUGGGAAUAAAUUACAAUAAACCAAACUUGAACAAUUUGCACUUGACUGACACACAAUGUGCUUGAUUAAUUAGAAGGCGUAUGAAUUUUGUCUGAAGUCAAACAGUGUAAAGUUUAACGACAUUUUUAGUAAAAACUAUGAACAACUACAAUAUUAAUUAAUUAGAUAUGAAAAAAAUAUUGUAUAUUUAAUGAUAUUAUUUUGGUAUUGUAGUUCCAACCAAAUCCUGGAAGCAAUAUGAUUUAAUGACCUGAUGAUGCAUGUGAAAACAGUAUUCAUCACAGUACGCGUACAUAGUUACCAUUUUUGCAGAUGUAUACUUAGUAAAUAAUAUUCAAACUGGAACAAAUAUUGUUUCCCGGAAAUAGUCCGGUUUCUAAGCAGUGUAUGUUAAAACUUUUGCAAAACAUUCUCAAAUUUACAACAACAAAUUGAUGUCAUAUACGAGGGAACCAUGCCAAGUUUCAUGUUUUUCAAUUUUUUACGACAACAAAUUGAUGUCAUAUAAUGUCACAAUUUUCUAUAUCACGAACAUUUUUGAAUCAGUGAACAUUUUUUGGAAUAUGGGGACAUUUUUUGAAAUAUGGGAACAAUUUUAUAAAAUCCACAAACAUUUUUUUAAUCAACGAACUUUAAAAAAAUUGGAACAAUAUUUGAAAUUCAUGAUCAUAUUUUUUUGAAUUCAUGAAUGUUUUUAAAUUUUGCAAAAAAAAUUUAUUUUGGAAAGAUUUUAAUAGAAAGCGGGUGGAAAUCUAAAAAACCUAACAAAAAACCUCGUUUUCAACAAAGAAACGCUGAAAACCAAUACAAAUACAUUAGGCAAGCUCAGUAGCGCUCGCUGUCCUAGUUGGGCCAGAAAAAUUCAUGGAUGCAGGAGGAAGGGUGCGCAUUUCCUCGCUACUCCCCUCGUAGGUCAGGGUAUAGGAGAUCCCCUCCAUGACUUCUUUGGGUUGUAACAGCGGCGGAGCUUCACGGGGUCAACUUGGGCCACCCACCACCCCAGCCCAUGAAGAAAUCUCCUAAUACUCUUUAGUAUUUGGGCCCUAAGUGCGGUAAAAACAACCCAAACCUCGUAAUUUUGCCCACCCUCAGCCAUUUCCCCUUCAAAGAUUUGGCCCUAGCUCCGCCACUAAGUCAUCACAUUUCUAUAUGAAUCCGUCAUCAGAUGCCUUGAGUAAACAUCAAUUGAACCUGGCCUCAUUUUAUCACAUGCCCAGACAGUGGCACCUCUCCGCAAUGUAGCUCCUCGCUGCAUUGCAAGGAUGAAGGAGGCAAUGGUUGGCUUCAUCACCAGCAAUCGCAGGCCCACCGAGGUAGCCCACUGUGUAGGGACAACCCCAAUCAUCAUAGUGUACUCCGUGUACAUGAAAGAUCAUGGUGAUGCUGACAAUUUCUCCUAAAACAACCCAGAGAAAAAUAAUUGAAUAAAUUUCAACAGAGAAGCCGAUAUUAUAGGGAAGAACGCUAAUGGGUCGCCAUUCUCAAAGAGGAAGGUGCUAACGCUGGAAGUGGCAAUGGGGUACACCGCCAUUUCCAUGAUUUUUUAGAAAAGGAGGAUGACCACCGGCCUCUGCAUCUGGGAGAUGCAUACGACCACUUUAUUAAUUAUUCUCGAGGACCUUACAAAGUAUUACAAACAAUAUACCUGAAUCCACCAUCUUGGCAACAUAUGCCGCUACUCUUAUCCAUAUGAUGAAGGGAUGCUAGCUAGGCUCCUACCCAAACCACUCACCUAAACCUAACAUCAAAAGCCGGAAACGUCAGCCGAGCCACAUACCGGGUCUGGGGCACAAUCCGGUCAGACGCACUCUUGCGUCGUCGCCGUCAUCUUCCACAGGUCCGUCUUCAGAUAAUAUUGAGUCUUCUACCUUGUGAAGGCCACAUCAGCCAUCGACGUCACCAUGACGCCAGACAGCUACCUCCUCCUGCGCGAGUCCAUCCGCGCAUCGGACGCCGAGCCUCCACGGCACCAUGCCGCCAAUCUCCCCUGUCAUUGCCAUGAUGCCAAUCCCCGUCGUGUAGUCGGAUCUUCCUAAACCGGCUAAAAAGGUAUUUUAGUUAGUUUCCUACUUAUUUCUCUGCUCGUUAUUUUUUCAGUCCGUACAUUUUAGAAAACUGGCGCACUUAGUGGCAUUUUUGCUGCUGGUUUUCAUGAAACCGGUUGUAAUCAAAGUUUUAAAUAGCUGGCUAUAGAGGUUUGAGCAAGGUGCCACUAAAUAGUAUUCAUGUGUGACUGUUCAAUAAAAUUACAAAAUAGCGACCUAUAGCCCCACUAUGGCCGCGCUAUAGUUGUUUGAGCAUGGUGCGCUAUUUCAAAACUAUGGUUGUGACGAGGGAUCAAAAUUUGUUUUAUUAGUAGUGAAAGAAUUACAUAUUGAGAAAGUAGUCCAUAUGUAUAUUUAUGGCUUUCAAGUAUAUACAACCUAAACAUAAAAUAUCUGAACAUUUGCAGCGCCUCCUACUCCGCCAGGUCCGCGUCCGGCGCGACCGCCCUGCCGGCGGUGACAUGCUCCUCCACCUGGAGAUGCUCCUGAAGGAGGUUGUGGUUGUAGUUGGCGUCGGCCCGCGCCUCCCGGAACUGCUACUCCCGCACCAUGUCCAUAUAAUGGGCACGGGCCUUGCCGAUGGUCAUGGUGCAAUGCACCGGCGAGGGUGGAGCGAAGGAGGAGGGUGCCGCGGAAAAAGAGGAGGAUAGCGAUGGCUCGUUGGAGGAGGCGUCCUCCAUUUGCACGUCCUCUGGCUGCCUGCCGGCCUGCCAGUCAGCAGCAAUGGAAGCCAUGGCCUUCUUUUGCUCCGACGUAAGCCCGUCCCAGCGAGCUUUGGCUGCGUGGGUGUAGGACCUUGAAGUAUGUCUAGAGGGNNNNNNNNNNNNNNNNNNNNNNNNNNNNNNNNNNNNNNNNNNNNNNNNNNNNNNNNNNNNNNNNNNNNNNNNNNNNNNNNNNNNNNNNNNNNNNNNNNNNNNNNNNNNNNNNNNNNNNNNNNNNNNNNNNNNNNNNNNNNNNNNNNNNNNNNNNNNNNNNNNNNNNNNNNNNNNNNNNNNNNNNNNNNNNNNNNNNNNNNNNNNNNNNNNNNNNNNNNNNNNNNNNNNNNNNNNNNNNNNNNNNNNNNNNNNNNNNNNNNNNNNNNNNNNNNNNNNNNNNNNNNNNNNNNNNNNNNNNNNNNNNNNNNNNNNNNNNNNNNNNNNNNNGAUUAGACUACUUGACCAAUUAAAAACUUAACCUUUUUCCAAUUUUAGAGUUUGGCAGAUUUUAGCUAUCUUAGGACAAGUCAAGCAAUCAUCACACAAUUCAAGCAAGCAUGCAAGAGUAUAUAUGCAACGGAAAUUAAAGCAUGCAACUUGCAAGAAAGUAAAGGGAAGGGUUUGGAGGAUUCAAACGCAGUUGGAGACACGGAUUUUUUGGCGUGAUUCCGAUAGGUGGUGCUAUUGUACAUCCACGUUGAUGGAGACUUCAACCCACGAAGGGUAAUGGUUGCGCGAGUCCACGAAGGGCUCCACCCAAGAAGGGUCCACGAAGAAGCAACCUUGUCUAUCCCACCAUGGCCAUCGCCCACGAAGGACUUGCCUCACUAGCGGUAGAUCUUCACGAAGUAGGCGAUCUCCUUGCCCUUACAACCUCCUUGGUUCUGUUGGGGAAUGUAGCAGAAAUUCAAAAUUUUCUACGCAUCACCAAGAUCAAUCUAUGGAGUAAUCUAGCAACGAGGGGAAGGAGAGUGCAUCUACAUACCCUUUUAGAUCGCUAAGCGGAAGCGUUCAAGAGAACGGGGUUGAAGGAGUCGUACUCGUCGUGAUCCAAAUCACCGGAGAUCCUAGUGCCGAACGGACGGCACCUCCGCGUUCAACACACGUACAGCCCGGUGACGUCUCCCAUGCCUUGAUCCAGCAAGGAGAGAGGGAGAGGUUGAGGAAGACUCCGUCCAGCAGUAGCACGACGGCGUGGUGGUGGUGGAGGAGCGUGGCAAUCCUGCAGGGCUUCGCCAAGCACCGCAAGAGAGGAGGAGCACUUGGGAGAGGGGGAGGGCUGCGCCAGGGGCAAGGGUGAAGCUCCCGUGCGCCUCCCCACUAUAUAUAGGGGUGGAGGGGGCUGGUUUCUUGCCCUCCAAGUCCAUUGGGGCGUUGGCAAAGGUGGGAGGAAAGAAAUCACAUCAUUUCCUUCCCCACCGAUUGUUAUCCCCCCUUUUUAGGGAUCUUGAUCUUAUCCCUUCGGGAUAUGAUCUUAUUCCUUCUAAGGGGGGAUCUUGGUGCGCCUUGACCAGGGGUGUGGGGCCUUGCCCCCACUACCCACGUUCAUGUGGGUCCCCCCAUGCAGGUGGGCCCCACUCCAGAACCUUCUAGAACCUUCCCGGUACAAUACCGAAAAAUCCCGAACAUUUUCCAGUGGCCAAAAUAGGACUUCGCAUAUAUAAAUCUUUACCUCCGGACCAUUCCGGAACUCCUCAUGACGUCCGGGAUCUCAUCCAGGACUCCGAACAACAUUCGGUAACCACAUACAAACUUCCUUUAUAACCCUAGCGUCAUCGAACCUUAAGUGUGUAGACCCUACGGGUUCGGGAACCAUGCAAACAUGACCGAGACAACUCUCCGGCCAAUAACCAACAGCGGGAUCUGGAUACCCAUGUUGGAUCCCACAUGUUCCACGAUGAUCUCAUUAGAUGAACCACGAUGUCAAGGAUUCAAUCAAUCCCGUAUUCAAUUCCCUUUGUCUAACGGUAUUGUACUUGCCCGAGAUUCGAUCGUCGGUAUACCGAUACCUUGUUCAAUCUCGUUACCGGCAAGUCUCUUUACUCGUUCCGUAAUACAUCAUCCCGUGAUCAACCCCUUGGUCACAUUGUGCACAUUAUGAUGAUGUCCUACCGAGUGGGCCCAGAGACACCUCUCCGUUUACACGGAGUAACAAAUUCCAGUCUCGAUUCGUGCCAACCCAACAGACACUUUCGGAGAUACCUAUAGUGCACCUUUAUAGCCACCCAUUUACGUUGUGACGUUUGGUACACCCAAAGCAUUCCUACGGUAUCCGGGAGUUGCACAAUCUCAUGGUCUAAGGAAAAGAUACUUGACAUUAGAAAAGCUUUAGCAUACGAACUACACGAUCUUUGUGCUAGGCGUAGGAUUGGGUCUUGUCCAUCACAUCAUUCUGCUAAUGAUGUGAUCCCGUUAUCAACGACAUCCAAUGUCCAUGGUCAGGAAACUGUAACCAUCUAUUGAUCAACGAGCUAGUCAACUAGAGGCUUACUAGGGACAUGGUGUUGUCUAUGUACCCACACAUGUAUCUGAGUUUCCUAUCAAUACAAUUAUAGCAUGGAUAAUAAACGAUUAUCAUGAAUAAGGAAAUAUAAUAAUAACUAAUUUAUUAUUGCCUCUAGGGCAUAUUUCCAACAGGUUCAACUCCACAAUCUUAUCGGAGGCUCCCAAGUGACACCUAGCCAAUCUAGGAGACACCACUCUCCAAGAAGUAACAAAUGGUGCAUUGAUGAUGAACUCCUUGCUCUUGUGCUUCAAAUGAUAGUCUCCCCAACACUCAACUCUCUCUCAUAGGAUUUGGAUCUGGUGGAAAGAAGAUUUGAGUGGAAAGCAACUUGGGGAAGGCUAGAGAUCAAGAUUCAUAUGAUAGGAAUGGAAUAUCUUGGCCUCAACACAUGAGUAGGUAGUUCUCUCUCAGAAAUGGUGAGUUGGAAGUGUAGGUUUCGUCUGAUGGCUCUCUCUCAGAAUGAAGAGGAGGUGGAGGGGUAUAUAUAGCCUCCACACAAAAUCUAACCGUUACACACAAUUUACCAAACUCAGUGGGACCGAUUCAACAGACUCGGUCAGACCGAUUUAGUAAACCUAGUGACCGUUAGUGAUUUUCGGUGGGACUGACAUGCAACUCGGUAGGACCGAUUCGGUUAGGGUUAGGGCAUAACGUAAUCUCGGUAAGACCGAUUACAGAAACUCGGUGAGACCGAUUUUGGUAAUAAGCUUUCCAGAGAGUUGGUCAGGUAAACUCGGUGGGACCGACUUUCUCUUUUUGGUGAGACCGAAAUGUUACAAAAGGGAAACAGAGAGUUUACAUUGCAAUCUCGGUGGGACCGAUCGCUCACUUCGGUUUGACCGAAACGUUACGAAGGGAAACAAAGAUAUUACAAUCCCAUCUCGGUGAGACCAAGAUCCCUAUCAAUACAAUUAUAGCAUGGAUAAUAAACGAUUAUCAUGAACAAGGAAAUAUAAUAAUAACUAAUUUAUUAUUGCCUCUAGGGCAUAUUUCCAACAGGUUCAACUCCACAAUCUUAUCGGAGGCUCCCAAGUGACACCUAGCCAAUCUAGGAGACACCACUCUCCAAGAAGUAACAAAUGGUGCAUUGAUGAUGAACUCCUUGCUCUUGUGCUUCAAAUGAUAGUCUCCCCAACACUCAACUCUCUCUCAUAGGAUUUGGAUCUGGUGGAAAGAAGAUUUGAGUGGAAAGCAACUUGGGGAAGGCUAGAGAUCAAGAUUCAUAUGAUAGGAAUGGAAUAUCUUGGCCUCAACACAUGAGUAGAUAGUUCUCUCUCAGAAAUGGUGAGUUGGAAGUGUAGGUUUCGUCGGAUGGCUCUCUCUUAGAAUGAAGAGGAGGUGGAGGGGUAUAUAUAGCCUCCACACAAAAUCUAACCGUUACACACAAUUUACCAAACUCAGUGGGACCGAUUCAACAGACUCGGUCAGACCGAUUUAGUAAACCUAGUGACCGUUAGUGAUUUUCGGUGGGACUGACAUGCAACUCGGUAGGACCGAUUCGGUUAGGGUUAGGGCAUAACGUAAUCUCGGUAAGACCGAUUACACAAACUCGGUGAGACCGAUUUUGGUAAUAAGCUUUCCAGAGAGUUGGUCAGGUAAACUCGGUGGGACCGACUUUCUCUUUUUGGUGAGACCGAAAUGUUACAAAAGGGAAACAUAGAGUUUACAUUGCAAUCUCGGUGGGACCGAUCGCUCACUUCGGUUUGACCGAAACGUUACGAAGGGAAACAAAGAUAUUACAAUCCCAUCUCGGUGAGACCAAGAUCCCUAUCGGUAGAACCGAUUUGCCUAGGGUUUGUGGCAGUGGCUAUGACAUUUGAACUCGGUGGCGCCGGAUAGGAAGAAUCAGUGUGACCGACUUUGGCUUUGGGUUUAGGUCAUUUGUGGAUGUGAGAAAGUAGCUGAGGGUUUUGGAGCAUAUCACUAAGCACAUGAAGCAAGAGGCUCAUUAAGCAACACCUCAUUCCUCCUUGAUAGUAUUGGCUUUUCCUAUAGACUCAAUGUGAUCUUGGAUCACUAAAAUAUAAAAUGAAGAGUCUUGAGCUAAUGAGCUUGAGCCAAUCCUUUGUCCUUAGUAUUUUGAGGGAUCCACUUUCAUCAUCCAUGCCAUGCCAUUCAUUGAGCUUUCGUAAAAUAUUAGUCUUGGAAUAGCAUUAGCUCAAUGAGCUAUAUGUUGUUAUGAAUUACCAAAACCACCUAGGGAUAGUUGCACUUUCAAUCUCCCCCUUUUUGGUAAUUGAUGACACAUAUAGAUCAAAGCUUCGACAAAUGAUAAUAAGAUUGAAAAACAUCGUCGCUUUGAGAAGUAUGUGAUAAGCAAGAGCUCCCCCUAAAUUUAUGCAUAGUUUAAGAUUUGCUUUGGACUGCAAAUGCACAAGGAAUUAGGCUCAUGGGUUACUCUUCCAUGUCACAUAUAUCUUGGUGGAGCGCUCAAAAUGAUAAAGAUUGAAUACAUGCACUCAUCACCAAGCAAAGUGAAUGAUCACAUAGGAUAGAUAGGAUAAUAUCAUCAAACAUGCAUAAGUGUAGCUUAUGAUCAAACACAUGAUCAUCAAUGUCUCACAAGAAUAGCAUAGUAUAUCAAGCAAUCAAAAGCAAACAAGUUUAAAACCACCAAAGCAAGAGAGAACAAAAGCAACUCUCUCUCUCUCUCUCUCGAAGCCUAUGAUCUAUACAUUUUUCUCCCCCUUUGGCAACAAGUUACCAAAAAGUUCAUAGAAAAUGCAUAGUGUUAGAUCGACUCUCAGGCUUGAUCUUCAGUUGGUGGUGUAGAGAUGGCUCCUUGGAUGAAGGCUCCAGUUGAUGUAGAGGGAGCUGGAGGAGUUGGUGCUGGAGGUGGUUGUACUGGAGCUGUAGGAGCUGUGGCUGGUGCAGAUGAUGUUGCUCUAGUGUAUGUCACUGGCACUGCAGCUGACCUCUGAGCUCUAGGCACUCUGAAAAAUACAUUAGUGGUAGUCUUGCCCUUCCUCUCCUGCAUGUCAUCCUGCAGCUGCUCCUCAACUGACUGAAUCUCAGUUACCUUGACAUCAAGAUCAUAGAAUUUUUGUUCCAUGAUUCUUUCUAAGCUCUCCUGAUUCUGAGUUAAGGUGGCCAACCCCUUCUCAAUCCUUAGUGUUGAUGCUAUCAAGUAACCAAGCUGCUCCUGCUUGUUCUUCAAGAAAUACUCAGAUGCCUCCUCUUGAGUUGGCAUCUUGGCAGCCUUCUCCUUGCUUGCCUUCUCCUUCUUCUCUUGAGCUUGAACUGAUGAUGGAUCAUCCUCAUUCAUGACAACCUCAUAGUCCUCAAAGUCUGGAUAGAGAGGAAAAUGUUCCCUAUCCAAUAGAUAUUUGCUUGUGCCCAUCUUUGAGUUAAUCAACUCCUGAAUCCGAGGGGCAUAUCCACAACUCCUCUUAUGAUCUGCUGCAGUCCUCUUAAUAGUUUCUACUAUAAGGCUCAUGACCUUGAAUUUCUGAGGCACAUCAAACAAAUGCAACAUGUUGAUUGCAUGCCCUCUGAUCAUGUUGUGGUCACCAUACUUAGGCAAUAGAGUGUGCCUUAGGAUCCACUUUAUUGUAGGCAGCCCUAACAUAAGAAAGUGGACUGAUCCAAAAGAGAAAGUCUCUAGGGCCUUGUCUGGGAUCUCCUUGUACAUAUGUGCCAUGGUAUUAUGUCCCAUUUUCUUCUUGGCAUAUACAUCCAGGUCAUCAUCAUUUUCCUUUGGGGCAUUUAUCAGUUUUGCCCACUCCUCAACAGUUGACUGGUACCUUGUACCUUCAGACAUCCAAACUAUCCUUCCAUCUGGAUAGAAGUGUGCUGUGGAGUAGAAUUGCAUAAUGAGUUCAUCAUUCCAAUUUGUGAGCUUCUGCCCAACAAAAUCUGCAACUCCAUAAGCAACAAACUGUCUUGUACUCCUGGAUAGUGUUCUUCAUUUUCCUUCAUGUAGGUCCAGUCGACCCACCUCAUAUCACAACAAUGGGCUUUUUGUCCAACAAGAUUGUCUCAUAGAAGUCCCGCUGUUCCUUUGUAUGGAACUUGUAAUCAAUAGCAAUUCUUCUCCUUGUGGCAUAUGGAUCUGCCAUCCUCCAUAGCCUCAACCCUGAAUCUUUUCUGAUGUUCAUGUCCUCAUCUACAAGAUGGGCAUCAUUAUGGUCUGGUAUCUUGGGCUUGAGCUUCCUCAGAACUUGUCCUUCUUCAUCUUCCUCCUCAGCAGCCUCAGGCACUGGGGCCUUGUUCUUCUUAGCAGCUGAAAUACUCCUGGUAUUCCUCUUUGGUGCAUACUUGGCCUUGGGGGCAGCUUUGGGUGCUUCCUUGGGCUUAGAUGUUGUAGCCCCUGAUCUAAUAGCAUCUCCCAUAAGCUUUGGUGCCUUUGGUGCUGGUGCAGCAAGAUCUUCUUCUUCCAUCAUGGAAGGUUGCCCAACUACUCUGGCCAUGGUCUUCUUGACCCUUUCCUUCCUUUUCUUUCCUUCAGCAGCUGGCUCUUCAGGCAUCUCAGGCAGUUGAGUUGAUGCUCUGGCUUUGGACAUUGGUUGUCUCCCUGCAGGCCUUUUGAUCUUCAUGCCUGGCUUUACUGCAGUUGAACUAAGCACCUUCUUGUGCACUACCUUCUUGGAAGUAGCUUCAUCCUCUUCAGAUCUAUAAUCCUCAUCUUCAGAGUCUGAAGUUCUCUUCUUCCUUUGCCUGGUAGCAGCCUUAGGCAGGUUGCUAGGAGUGCUCCUGCUGCCUUCAUCUGAAGUGCUGGAGGGACUAGUGCCCUCACUCAUUUGCAUAUGCCCUUCUGACCUGUUCUGACUGUCACUCUGGUUUGACAUGCUGCAAACUCUGACUGCUGACCCUGUGAAGAGUUAUAGAUGAGAUGGAGUGGAUGAGCAUCACAAAAUGCAGAGAUUUUUGCAAAAGAAUGAUUCAAAAAUUCAGUUUUAGUUUUCCACAGAAAGCAUUUCGGAUCAACCGAUUUUCACACUAGGUGAUACCGAAGCAGUUUUGGAACCUAAACUAAUGAACUCAGUUGGACCGAGUCACAGUUCGGUGGCACCGAGAUUGCUAGGGUUUCACAAAGUCCUAAAAUCGGUAGCACCGAUUAGCAAUUCUCGAUCAGAGCGAGAGUUACUAGUGCAAUGGCAUAAGCCAAAUCGGCGGGACCGAGUUUUUCAACUCGGUGGGUCCGAGAUGGUUUCGGCGGAAACCUAACCCUAAAUUUUCAAAUCUCAUCUAAUCUACGGAUUGCAUUGACUGGAUCGGAGUGUUUCAAUCGUGGCAAGAAUCAAUAAGAACACAAUGUGUUAGCAAUCGGACGAGGAUAGCACAGUGAUCGAGUCCAUACCCUAGCUUGGCGAUGAACUCGCUACGGCGGCAACGGCGGGGUUGAAUUCUGUUGAUGGCGGCGGAGACCAGCGACAGGAGGCGGCUGGCGACGAGGAGACGAUCCGGAGACCUUGGAGGCAGAGCGAGCUAUUGCACGGGCGAAGGGUUUCGGAGAAAUUUCCAAAUUUUGCUCGUGACUAUAUAUAGCCCGACCCUGUCGAUGUGACUGAGUGGAACAAGUCAGUGGCACCGAGAUGCAUAACUGUGUUCAGUUGCAGCAACUCGGUGUGACCGAAAAGUUCAAAUCGGUUGCACCGAGAUUAAAAACCUAGAUCGACUUAGUGAUCUCGGUAGGACCGAAAUGGAGGAAUCGGUCAGACCGAGAAUCACAAAGAAGUUUUGGAAGUUUAAGUCUAUGACGAAUCAGGGACUCCGAGUGCUCCUCACACAGAGUGGUUCGAAUCUGACUUGAUCAAAUUUUGUGAUGUAGCAUGAAUAGAGUUUGAGAGAGAAAAGCAUAGAUAGCUAGAGAAAGUUCUUAGGCAUUCUUGUCCAUCCACUUGGCCAAAAGAAGGAAGAACCAAACAAUCAAAACAACAAGUGAAUGUCCUUGAAUGAGUAAAUAUGCACCAACAUGCUCACACAAUAAGAUGGCAAAUGAAAUAUGUGGCAAAGCAUGCACAACCAAUUCUAGCAUCUAUCAAACAAUUGGCGAUGACUAGGUCAUCUAUAUAUGAGUAUAUUGACUUAGGAGUCAAAUGAUAAACAUUUGAUCAUAGGUCAUACUCAUCGUUUAAGCCCAAGUGGGGUUACCACUUUUACAUAAUGCAUUGAUGUGUUCACACCAUUAGAGUUGCUUUGACUCAAGUCUUACAGUUAAGCUCCCCCUAGAUGUGAGAUCCCCUUUUAGAGGGAUGAACUAACCUUGGGUUUUGUCGAUGAUGACUUCAUGUAGGUGUUGAAGAUGUGGAUGCUCAAUGUUGAUGUAGAUCAUUUGGAGCAAUCCAUUGGAGUGAGUUGCACUUUCAACAUACCUACAUGGGUUAGUCCCACAAGGAACAAACAAGAAUAUCCAUAGACAUAGAGUGAUGCACACACAAGAUGAUGUCCAUGAAAACAUUAGUUUACCUUGUUCCUUGCCUUACCAACAUGAGGGUUUGUGACUCCUUGAACUAGUGCAAGAUGUGGAAGUUGAUUGCACUUGUCCUUGCCAUAAUAAUAUGAGUGAAGAAUGUUGGCGGAGUCACCCUCAAGAACUCUCUAGUUCUUCUUCUUCGGGAUCCACAUCAUCUUGAUGGGAAUCCUUUGAGUUGUAGUUGUACUUGAUGAAGUAGAACUUGACGUAGUCAUGGGAAUCCACUUGACCGAGACCUUAGGUGCUUCUUCAAAUGCAUUAAUCUCUUCUUGAAGCUUGUCCUUGCCUUUGUUCUUGUGGUCUUGUGGUGGAAGAUCAUCUUGAGCUUGUGUUCCCUUGAAGGAAGUAGGAUCAUACUUCUCUUGUUGAGGAACAAACUUUGUCUUGGGGUAUUGAUCUUCUUCCCACUCAACUCCAUUGGCAUUGAACUUUCGUUCAAAACCAACACCUUGAUUCUUCCAGUGCCUUCCUUGCUUGCGUACAAUUUCCUCGAAUUGCUUACUCCCGGCAAGGCUCUUGUAAACACCUUUCUCUAUAAUUCCCUUCAAUAAGCUAUUUUCUUGCUCAAGUGUAACUUGGCUAAGAGAAUCAUUAGUGGAAUCAAGAGAACUACUAGAAGCAACAAUAUUGGAUUUGACAUUGUUAUUGUUACUACUAGAGGAAGUAUUUUUCUUGUACUUGUUACUAGACUUGACUUGAGGCAUGUAAGUAGAUAGGAGUAAACGCUUGGCAAUGUAAGAAGAACUUUUCUUAUGAAGAUCAUCAUUGAUUGCUUUUAAGAACUCAUGCUCUUGCUCAAGAUUGAGCUUUUCAAAGCGUAACUUAUCAUGAGCCCUUAAAAGUUCUUGAUGAUUUUCGAAUAUAGUUUCAUGAGCCAACUUAAGAGUGUUUAGUUCUUUAGUUAGAAGCUCAAUCUUAUCCUUAUCAUUGUCAUUCGUUUUAUCUUGAUUAGCUUGAUUAAUUGACGUUUCAUCAUAGUAUUCAUCACUAGAGUUGUCAACAAGUAAAUCAUCAUCCACAAGCAAGUAAUCUUCUUCACUAUUGAAAUCAACAUACUCAGGAUGUGUUACCUUUGGACCUUUGGCCAUGAAGCAUCUUCCAAUUCUUCAUUGGUGAAUCAAAUAUGUCGUAGGAGUUGGUCGACACAAGUGCUAGACCGGCAACACCUUCAUCUUGAGUAUAUUCGGAGUCGGAGUGAUAGCUUCUCUCGGAGUGUUUGUCAGAGUCGGAGCCGGAAACCCAUUCACCAACAUGAGCUUGAUGUCUUUGUUUUGUGUAGCUCCUUGAUGACUUGUCCUUCCUUUCCGAAUCUUUGCUUCUCCGUGAGGAUCAUCGUUCAUAACGAUCAUCUCUACUCCUUCUCUCUCUUGGUGGUGAUUCUUCUCUUCUACUUCUUAUUUUUGGAGAAUCUUCUCUUCUUUUGUAGGGUGCCGUACACUCAUUGGAAUAGUGUCCAGGCCUCCCACAAUUGUAGCAAUUGCGCUCUCGACUAGAAGAUCUUUUGUCAUGGUAAGACCUUGACUUGGAGCUUCUUUCUUUGCUUCUACUCUUGUAGAAUUUGUUGAAGUUCUUCACCAUUAAGCUCAAUUCUUCAUUGAAGGUUUGUUUCUCACUUGAUGAUGUGGGGGCUUCACUUGAGGCUUUGUAAGCACCACUUGACUUGUUGUGAAGUUCCUCCUUAUCCUUGAGUGAUGUCUCAUGAGUAACAAUCCUUCCAAUGACUUCCGUUGGCUUGAGAUCUUUGUAGUUUGGCAUCAUUUGGAUCAAUGUGCACACGGUAUCAUACUUUCCAUCCAAUGCUCUUAGGAUCUUCUUGAUGAUGAAUCUGUCGGUCAUCUCUUCACUCCCUAAGCCAUCAAUCUCAUUUGUAAUAAGAGCAAUCCUAGAGUACAUUUCAGCGACACCUUCACCAUCCUUCAUUUUGAACUUGUCAAGCUGACUUUGGAGCACAUCCAACUUGGAUUCCUUGACGGAUUCGGUACCUUCGUGCAUAUCAAUAAAAGUGUCCCAAAUUUCCUUUGCAUUCUCAAGACGGCUGAUUUUGUUGAAUUCUUCGGGGCACAAUCCGUUGAAGAUGAUAUCACAAGCUUGAGCGUUGUAUUGUAGCAUCUUCAAUUCUUCCGCAUUAGCUUCACGGUUCGGCUCUCUCCCAUCAAAUAAUUCACCUUGCAAGCCAAUACAAAUAAUAGCCCAAACGGCGGGGUUAUGUCCGAGAAUAUGCAUUUUCAUCUUAUGCUUCCAACUAGCAAAAUUAGUACCAUCAAAGUAAGGACCUCUACGGUGAUAAUUUCCCUCGCUAGACACCAUACUCUCCUAGGUUAUGAAACCGAGGCUAUGACCACCAAAAGCUAUGGAAAUCAAAGCAAAUGGAGACAAAAGCUCUAAUACCACUUGUAGGACCUUGAAGUAUGUCUAGAGGGGGGGGGGGUGAUUAGACUACUUGACCAAUUAAAAACUUAACCUUUUCCCAAUUUUAGAGUUUGGCAGAUUUUAGCUAUCUUAGGACAAGUCAAGCAAUCAUCACACAAUUCAAGCAAGCAUGCAAGAGUAUAUAGGCAGCGGAAAUUAAAGCAUGCAACUUGCAAGAAAGUAAAGGGAAGGGUUUGGAGGAUUCAAACGCAGUUGGAGACAUGGAUGUUUUUGGCGUGGUUCUGAUAGGUGGUGCUAUCGUACAUCCACGUUGAUGGAGACUUCAACCCACGAAGGGUAACGGUUGCGCGAGUCCACGGAGGGCUCCACCCAAGAAGGGUCCACGAAGAAGCAACCUUGUCUAUCCCACCAUGGCCGUCGCCCACGAAGGACUUGCCUCACUAGCGGUAGAUCUUCACGAAGUAGGCGAUCUCCUUGCCCUUACAAACUCCUUGGUUCAACUCCACAAUCUUGUCGGAGCCUCCCAAGAGACACCUAGCCAAUCUAGGAGACACCACUCUCCAAGAAGUAACAAAUGGUGCAUUGAUGAUGAACUCCUUGCUCUUGUGCUUCAAAUGAUAGUCUCCCCAACACUCAACUCUCUCUCAUAGGAUUUGGAUCUGGUGGAAAGAAGAUUUGAGUGGAAAGCAACUUGGGGAGGUCUAGAGAUCAAGAUUCAUAUGGUAGGAAUGGAAUAUCUUGGCCUCAACACAUGAGUAGGUAGUUCUCUCUCAGAAAUGGUGAGUUGGAAGUGUAGGUUUCAUCUAAUGGCUCUCUCUCCGAAUGAAGAGGAGGUGGAGGGGUAUAUAUAGCCUCCACACAAAAUCUAACCGUUACACACAAUUUACCAAACUCGGUGGGACCGAUUCAACAGACUCGGUUGGACCUAUUUAGUAAACCUAGUGACCGUUAGUAAUUUUCGGUGGGACUGACAUGCAACUCGGUAGGACCGAUUCGGUUAGGGUUAGGGCAUAACGUAAUCUCGGUAAGACAGAUUACACAAACUCGGUGAGACCGAUUUUGGUAAUAAGCUUUCCUGAGAGUUGGUUAGGUAAACUCGGUGGGACCGAUUUGCUCUUUUCGGUGAGACCGAAAUGUUACAAAAGGGAAACAGAGAGUUUACAUUGCAAUCUCGGUGGGACCGAUUGCUCAGUUCGGUUUGACCGAAACAUUACGAAGGGAAACAGAGAGAUUACAAUCCCAUCUCGGUGAGACCGAGAUCCCUAUCGGUAGAACCGAUUUGCCUAGGGUUUGUGGUAGUGGCUAUGACAUUUGAACUCGAUGGCGCCGGAUAGGAAGAAUUGGUGUGACCGAUUUUGGCUUUGGGUUUAGGUCAUUUGUGGAUGUGAGAAAGUAGCUGAGGGUUUUGGAGCAUAUCACUAAGCACAUGAAGCAAGAGGCUCAUUAAGCAACACCUCAUCCCUCCUUGAUAGUAUUGGCUUUUCCUAUAGACUCAAUGUGACCUUGGAUCACUAAAAUAUAAAAUGAAGAGUCUUGAGCUAAUGAGCUUGAGCCAAUCCUUUGUCCUUAGUAUUUUGAGGGAUCCACUUUCAUCAUCCAUGCCAUGCCAUUCAUUGAGCUUUCCUGAAAUAUUAGUCUUGGAAUAGCAUUAGCUCAAUGAGCUAUAUGUUGUUAUGAAUUACCAAAACCACCUAGGGAUAGUUGCACUUUCAGUGGGGAUCCAUGACGGGGAGUGGUGUGGAGAGGGAUGACUGUGGCUAUGGCCGGGGGACCAGGGCAAUGGUUUAUAUAGCACCGGUGGGCGGCAGUCGAAGGGACGAGUGGCGUCGGAGGAGACGCCCCGGCAACCGCGUGCCAUGAAUACGGACGGUAGGGCAGCCGUCGUGUUGUCUGAACAUAUGGCAGCCGCUUGCACUGGGAAGUGGCGUGGGCGGCGCUCUCUCGACUGGCGCCCUGCUUCAAUGCCGGCGCUAGUGAGUGGUCGUGUUCGCUUUGGGCGGCAAUGAAUGCGGGCGCUGACGUAAAAUGCGUGAGAGAGGUGAUGGGUUUUGGUCGGCCAGGGCGGUCAGAAAUGGGCUUGGGAUCGAUCCGUACUCCUGCAAACCUCCCCCACUUUUGUCUCUAGUUUGCAGGAGAAAUCGCGUCCGACCUUGUCGCGGACCGACACAUGCCCACGUUAGAUGGCUUCCACGAUCCGGACAUCGUAGUUUGGACCAUUCCGGGAGGUUUGCGGGUCGGCGUUGGAGAUGCCCUAACAAUACUUAUGCAAGACUACACUUUUACUUAAGAAAAAAACAAGAUGGGCUAGUUUGGCAGCAAAGUAUUUUCUAAACUGUGGUAAUUGAAAACCACAAUAUUACUCUGGGUGGGCAAAGAAUACUACGGUUUUCUAAAACCAAUGUUUUUCUCAGUUUUACAUGUGUUUGGUUGCUGUUAUUUAACCAAAGUUUUGACUAAGUAUUUUAGCGUGGGUGACUGAGUAGUUAGCGCUGCUAACGGCUGCCGGCUGCAUGCAGCUGCCAUGCACACAUAAUACCAUUCUAGGAUCAGUCAGCUAGAUUGAAGAAAUGCCAUCCUAGGAGUAGUCAACUGGAUUGAAGUAAUACAAUCCUAGGAGCGUGUUGCCAUUAUAUGUCUAUAUACUUGCAUGUACUUAUCGAAAAAGGCUUUCGCCCCGCUUUAUAUAUAAAGCAAAGAUUCACAGUGUCCGGUACAACUGCACUUACCCACCACAAACACACACACACAUCCAAGACAGGAUACAUAGGCGCUGAUGAAGCCAUGUACCUAGGGUAGGGUCAUGGACCUAUCCAAGAUACCCUCCCCAAGGACAUCUCUAGAAGAAACUACCUUUCAGUCGACCUGGAAGGAUUCCACUCGACAGACUCGAAGACACUCGACCAUGAAGCCACUCACUCGACCGCCAGGAGAUCUAGAGUCACUCUGCACACAAACGGUCUGUUAUUAAGUAGUCUUUAUGGUCAUGAUAGCACUUUAUGUAGGGCGUUACCAGUAACGCCAUGCCUUAAUGUACUUUAAACCCCGCAUAACUGAGGGCCGGAGGGGUCUGGCAGAUUCUAUAUAAGCCACCCCCCUCCUCAGUGUAAAGGGUUUGCACCCCUGUAACUCAUACGCAUAUAAUCCAGUCGACCGCCUCCGGGCUCCGAGAUGUAGGGCUGUUACUUCCUCCGAGAGGGGCCUGAACUCAUAAAUCCCUUGCGUAUACAACUACUCCAUAGCUAGGAUCUUGCCUCUCCAUACCUACCCCCCUUCUACUGUCAGACUUAGAACCACGACAGGCGCUGAACGCAGCAACACACACCCUAGCACUACAAGAGCCGCCGGGGGCAUCAUCCGAAGAAGUGAAGCCGCAUAUGAUGAAACGUGGGCUCCAAGGUGGUGCCUUCAGAAAGGAUACGACACCGGAGCGUCGCCACCGCCCGAUCCGAGGAUCAGAGUUUCCCCUGGAGCACCACGACCGACAGUGAUAGCCGCGAUGACGCCUUCAAGAAGGGAGCGAUCUUCGCCGUCGCCAGUCCGUCCGAAGAUAGAGUAGGUUUUCACCCCGGCCAACAUUCACCGCUACCGAACGCCACACCCCGGCUACCACGCCGCCCACACGGCCGUGGCAGCCGGGCAACACCGAGGCACGAGCUCUGCCCAUGAGCACCGCGCCACCACCCCCAGGGCCGCCGCCUCGGAAUCCAAGACCUUGACACCAAGUCCCCCGAGCCCCACCGCUACCCCCACUGCAGAGACGGGCGGAAAGGAUCCGCCUUUCACACCCCUGGCCGGUCCCAACGCCGAGACCCAAUGGGUUGGCCACAACAAGCCUCCAUCGAGCCGUCCUUUACACCGGGCGCGAGACGGGCCGGCCCUGCUGCCGGGCGCGAGACAUGCAUGUACUUCGAGCCGGUCCUAAAUUCUUUGUGCGUGUACAUGCGCCAUUUAUACUGAAUCAGCUAGCUAGCUAGUAUAUAUAACCUGCUGCUUAUGAGUGUUCUCCAAAAGGAUCAAUCAAUCUAAUUCGUGCGCUACUCGCCGGAAAUACAUAGGCAGCCAAGGACUCGAGAAAUAGCUUGCUGCGAACAGAGUGUUCUCCCUGGUGGUGAGCUUGAUUCAGUCAUGGCACUGCAGAGAAGAGAUGGAGACUCGCACGCGACGCGCCAGCUGGAAGAUAAACUAAUCAAACUGAAUCGGCUAUAACCAGGAGAUAUAAUAUGGUCGUUUAUCAUAUAAGAGAAAGAGGAAAAAUAUGAUGGGAUCGCUCUGAAUAUUCUUAUCUAGACGUAGACGGCAACGUCAAGUGCGAUCUCCCAGAAGAUUUCUCUCCGUUCUGUUUUAAAAAAAGAGGUCGGGACCUCUUUUCCGAAUACUGCAAAAAGACCAUGGUUUCUAGCAUACUGUGGUUUAUAAAACUUUGGUUUUUUCUGAAGCCAAACGCAGCAAAGUAUUCAAAACCAUGGUAUUUUUCAGAAACCACGGUAUUCUCAGAAAACUUUAAAAAAACUUUGCUGCCAAACGCAGCCUAAAGGGUUUCCCCGCUUUAUAUUAUGCAAGACUUACACUUUUACUUUUACUGAGCGAAGGGAGUAAUGAUGUGACACUCAUGGUAAUAUAUUGCAACGAUAUCACGAAGUACUCCAACAUUACAACAGCGAUGCAUGCAUGCAUCCUGACAGCAGGUCAUAACAAGAACACUAAUUUGUGGCAACAAUAGUACACUCUAUAUUGCCACACAUCACUUCUCUCGGUAAUAUUUCCAUGCAUGUACUACAGCAAUAUUUUGUUUCUGCUGCAGUAACCUGCAUGUCAUAUUGCAAGCUAGAGAAUUAUUAAGUACUAGUACUAAAAGUAAGUGAAGGGAAAACCGUACGUGGCAAUGGAACUGCCACGGAUUAUUCGUCGUUGCAAUACUACCAUUAGCAAGAUCAUCAUUCUGCGAGAAGAGUGGAGUUGGUGGCGAUGGCCUCGGCGAAGACACCAUCGCAGCCGCCGCUCUGGCAGCCUGCACCGCAGUAGCCGGGACCGAUGCCACAGGAUCCCCACUUGCUACAGCAGUAGUUGUUAGUGCAAACCCUGCCGCCGGCGUCCUUGCCACAGGGCUUGUCGGUGCUGCAAGCGCCGUUCUGGCAGCCCUCGCCGCAGAACUCGGAACCGAGGCCGCAGUACCCCCACUGGCUGCAGCAGAGGUUGUUCGGGCACAGCUUGCCGCCGGCCUGGCUGCCGCACUUGAUGUCGGCGCGGCAGGGGCCGCCCUGGCAGCCGGCGCCGCAGUACUCCGCGCCGAAGCCGCAGUGCCCGUACUGGCUGCAGCAGUGGUUGUUGGGGCACGUCUUGCCGCCGGCCUGGCUGCCACAGCGCUUGCUGGUCCAGCAGGCGCCGUUCUGGCAGCCCUUGCCGCAGUAAUCGCCGCCCAUCCCGCAGUAGCCGUACUGGCUGCAGCACAGGUUGUUGGGGCACUCCAUGCCGCUGCCCUGCUCGCCGCACCUUUGGGCCUGAGCGGUCGCCGCGGCGAAGGCGAGGACGGCAGCCGCGCCGAGCGCGAGGGCCCUGGUGCUCAUCAUCUUCAUCCUUUUUGUUUUCUUGGUGCUGGUUGUGCACUUGUGUGUGUGUGUGGAGUAAACAGGUGAUGAUCCCCCUUUAUAUAGGGGUUCUGAUCACAGUCGAAUUCGACGUGGCAGCUCGCCAUGCAUGGGGCGCAGACACGUGUUCGCCCAUAUUCAACGAAAUUAACCUGAUCGAGGAGUGUACGUGUUAAUGCAUGUGAUAUGAUGCCAGAUCCGUUUUUGAUGGAUGCGGCAGUACGACUACGUACUUGUGUAUGAAGUCUAAUUAGUGCUUGCAUUGCAUGAGACAUGCAUGGAGCGCGGGCUAUUAGAGUACUGUAGUUAGGACUAGUACAAAUAUAUGUAUAUGCAUGUGAUUACGUGUAUCGAAACUUCGUAGUCCCAACGGACACGUCGCGUGCAUAUAUAGCAUCUGACCUUAUCGUUGUGAACUCUGAGAAACGUUGUGCUCUGCGUCCAUGCAUUAUGUGAUCCAGAUCUUAUCUUCUCUUUUCUUUUCAUGAGAGCGCGAACUAUGAUGCGAGAUGUAGUUUUGAGAGUCGUGUGCGCGUGACAUGCAUGUGGCAUGGAGAGCAAUGCAUUCACGCGAUCAUUCAAUGGCAAUGGCAGUGUCAUCUCGCAUCGGAUAUCCUUCUCUCCUUUUUUUUGCGGUAUGAGAAAUUAGCUAUAGGUUCUUAUUAUAUUUACAUUUUACCACAUCCAUCAACAAAAAGAUGACCAAACGUAAAAGAAAUCAGUUUUGUUAGGAGUAUUGCAAUGGCCAAGAACAACUCUAGCAGGGUCGUCAUCUGUCAUAUAGAGGCCGUGGCUGGUGUGGGCAAACACAGAGUCAUCAUAAUGCGGUGUCUAUAUCUUUUCAUUUAUUUGAUCUUUUUUUGUUGUUGUCUUCAUAAAAGGCAGGGACAAUUUAAGCUUAAAUUAGGCAUACCAAAUGCAUGUUUCAACAAGGUAGAUUAAUAAAAACUAUAUUAGUGGACAAAAUCUGCUGCUUUAAUUAGCAACUACAAAUGUUGUUUAACAACAUUUUUUAACCUAAGCAAUGUCGUUAGUCGAGCGACAUUGCUACAUAUACGUUCUACACUACUAGGUGGUCAGUGCCUUCUAGUCGGUGCCCCGUCACCGCCAUCGUCGUCUUCCUCCUCCUCCGUGGAGGAGAUAUCCUCAUCCACGCGUAGGGGUAACCGCAAACUGCCCUUUUUUCUCCUAGACGGUGUGUGUGGGUCAUACUCAUGAAUGAUCUGCGCCUUGUUGCGAGCUUGGAGGGUGAUGAGCUCAAGCACGUCGUUGAUCGGGACCUCAGGCUCCACCUUUGGCUUCGGUUGGGCCGCGACGGGGGGAGGGGGCGUCGUUCACCCAAACGAGGGGGCGGGCCGACGAGGACGGCCUCCUCCUCCUCAUUCACCCGGAUGAGUGGCAGUCUCCCCCCGCGGCCGUCGCCAAUGCCACGAGAUGCAUUGGGUUCAUCAUCGCCGCGGGAGGAGGAACCGACGACCGCCACCGUUAGUUCUCUGCGAGGAGUGUUCGCCCCGCAGUUGCAAGGCGUCUAUGAAGGGGCAUUCCGCUCCACUGGUACAUUCAGCCAGCAGGUUGCAGUUCGACGUGGCGACAUUGUUGCUACGAGAGGAGGAGAUGAUCAGAGGGGGGAGAUAAUGAGGAGGAGAUGGGAGAUGAGGGGUGACAGCCGGGGCUUGGGGGAUGGGGACGCCUCGCUGCCGGGCAUUUAUAGCCAGGGAUGAAGCAGUGUAGCCAUCCGAAUGACCGCCUUGGGAAUCGAGUGAAGCAGUGUUGGGGAACAUAGUAGAAAAUACAAAAAAAUGUCCAACGAUCACGAUCCAUGAAUACUAUGAAGAUGCAUAAGAGGUUUAGAUCGGAUCGUUACUAACUUCGAGUUGCGGUGGAAAAACAGUUUGUGUAGACCAUUGACGAAGUCUCUCCAACCGAAGACUAAAAGCACGACCUCUCUAUGGAUUGCAGUUAUACAGGCUUCACGAUCCGGCAGCGCUUCGCCAUCCAGAGCUAAUCGUCGCCGAAGAAUUAGAGGGAGAAGAAGAGAGCCACACAGAGCUUCUCUAUUAUGAGGAUUAGAGAGAUCUAGGUCUAGCUCUAAUUAGAACAACUCUGAAUUAGAAGUAGAAACAGAGAGCUGGAGGAAGCUCCAAAAACUAGUGUGUCUCAAGGGGCAAAAUCCUCGUAUAUAUAGGUGUAGGGGCGAGGAGAGGGGGCACCACACAAGGGAGGGAGACUAUCCUCCUUGGUGCAUCAACCUAGGGGACACAAUUCGGCCCCCUCUAGCUUGUCAUACAAGCUAUGGGCGCCCCCUAGUGUUAUUGGGCCCUAAGGCCCAAUACUCUCCACCACUUAGCCUUAUUGUAUUUUCUUUGGCCCAUCAAUAUUAAAUUAAUUCUAAAAGCCUCCUAAUCAGUAUUAGAACCUUUUAUUAUUAAUUUAACAUCUCUGGAAACAUCUCCCACCUAUAUAUCAAUUUCCUGGUAUUACACGGUAAACCCUGAAACUCUUCCGGUAACCCCGAAAUGCUUUUAGUUUCUCUCGAAACUAUUUAUAAUAUUCCCGAAACUAUUUCAUGAAUAUUCUCUCAUAACUCUUACUCCACUAACACUCAACUGAAGGAAAUAUGCCCUAGAGGCAAUAAUAAAGUUGUUAUUUUAUAUUUCCUUAUUCAUGAUAUAGGUUUAUUGUUCAUGCUAUAAUUGUAUUGAUCUGAAACCUAAAUACAUGUGUGAAUACAUAAAACAAUACAGUGUCCCUAUUAAGCUUGUACUAGAGUAGCUCGUUGAUCAAAAAUGGUUAAGGUUUCCUAACCAUAGACAUGUGUUGUCAUUUGAUAAUGGGAUCACAUCAUUAGGAGAAUGAUGUGAUGGGCAAGACCCACUCGUUAGCUUAGCAUAAUAAUUGUUCAGUUUAUUGCUAUUGCUUUCUUCAUGUCAAAUACAUAUUCCUCCGACUAUGAGAUUAUGCAACUCCCGGAUAACGGAGGAAUGCCUUGUGUGCUAUAUCAACGUCACAACGUAAUUGGGUAAUCAUAAAGAUGCUCUAUAGAUAUCUCCGAAGGUGUUUGUUGAGUUGUCAUAGAUCGAGAUUAGGAUUUGUCACUCCGAGUAUCAGAGAGGUAUCUUUGGGCCCUCUCGGUAAUACACAUCAUAAGCUUGCAAUAAAAUGACUAAGGAGUUAGUCACGAGGUGAUGUAUUAUGGAACUAGUAAAGAGACUUGCCGGUAACAAGAUUGAACUAGGUAUGAAGAUACCGACGAUCGAAUCUAGGGCAAGUAACAUACCGAUAAACAAAGGGAAUUGCGUAUGUGUUGUCAUAACGGUUCGACGGAUAAAGAUCUUCGUAGAAUAUGUAGGAGCCAAUAUGGCCAUCCAGGUUCCGCUCUUGGUUAUUGACCGGAGAGGUGUCUCGGUCAUAUAUAGGACGAUUGUAUUUGGACACCAGAAGUGUUUCGGGACGUACCGGGAAGGAAUCGGGUCACCGGAAGGGGUUCCGGGCACCCCCCGGCAAGAUAUGGGCCUUAUGGGCCAAAGGAGGGGACAUACCAGCCCAUAAGGGGGCUGGUGCACCCCUCCCUUGUUUUUCCAGCCCUAGGGAAGGAAAUAGGGGAGGGCUAGCCCCUCCUGCCUUUCCCUCUCAUGGGAUAAAGGAAAUGGGGAGGCGCCACCCUCCCCUGCCUUUCCUCGCACUCCAAAUAAGGAAAGGGGGAGCGGCUUGGGAGGGACCCCAAGUAGGAUUCCUCCUACUUGGGCACCUCCUUUGGCUUCUCCUCCCUCCCUCCCACCUAUAUAUAUAUAUGUGGGGAGGGGGCUACACACAAGGACACACCAUUGUCUUAGCCGUGUGCGGCACCCUCUCCACCGUUUACACCCUCGAUCAUAUUUUCGUAGUGCUUAGGCGAAGCCCUGCGAAGCUCAUAUGACCAUCACCGUCGCCACGUCGUCGUGCUGUCGGAACUCAUCUACUACAUCGCUGUCUUGCUGGAUCAAGCAGGCAUAGGAUGUCCCUGAGUUGAACAUGUGCAGAACGCGGAGGUGCCGUACGUUCGGUACUAGAUCGGUUGGAGCGUGAAGAAAGUUCGACUACAUCAACCGCGGUGUGAAAUGCUUCUGCUUACGGUCUAUGAGGGUACGUAGACAUACUCUCCCCCUUGUUUCUAUGCAUCUCCAUGGAUAGAUCAUUGUGUGUGCAUAGAAAUUUUUUGUUUUCCAUGCAACGUUCCCGAACAGUGGCAUCAUGAGCCACGUCUAUGCGUAGAUGAUAUGCACGGGUAGACCACCAAGAGUUGUGGGUGAUGGUAGUCAUACUGCUUACCACCAAUGUCUUAUUUUGAUUCGGCGGUAUUGUGGGAUGAAGUGGCCCGGACCAACCUUACAUAUCCAUGCACAUGAGACCAGUUCCACCGACUAACAUGCAACUAGUUUUGCAUAAAGGUGGCUGACGGGUGUCUAUUUCUCCUACUUUAGUUGAAUCGAAUUUGGCUGCGGCCGAUCCUUGAAGAAGGUUAAAAAAGCAAACUUGAUGAAUCACUGUUGUGGUUUUAAGCAUAGGUAAGAACCGUUCUUUUGCUAGAGGCCCGUUAUCGAUGUCAAAACCGGCGGAUCUCAGGUAGGGGGUCCCGAACUGUGCGUCUAAGGCUAAUGGUAACAGGAGGCUGGGGACAAGAUGUUUACCCAGGUUCGGGCCCUCUCGAUGGAGGUAAUACCCUACUUCCUGCUUGUUUGAUCUUGAUGAUAUGAGUAUUACAAGAGUUGAUCUACCACAAGAUCGUAGAGGCUAAACCCUAGAAGCUAGCCUAUGGUAUGAUUGUUGUUGUGUCCUACGAACUAAACCCUCCGGUUUAUAUAGACACCGGAGGGGGCUAGGGUUACACAGAGUCGGUUUACAGAGAAGGAGAUCUAUCAUCCGAAUCGCCAAGCUUGCCUUCCACGCAAAGGAGAGUCCCAUCAGGACACGGGACGAUGUCUUCAAUCUUGUAUCUUCAUAGUCCAACAGUCCAGCCAAAGUAUAUUGUCCGGCUGUCCGGAUACCCCCUUAUCCAGGACUCCCUCAGUAGCCCCUCAACUAGGCUUCAAUGACGAUGAGUCCGGCGCGCAGAUUGUCUUCGGCAUUGCAAGGCGGGUUCCAUCUCUGAAUGCUCCAAAGUAAUCUUCGAACGCUUAAAUCGUGUCCGGUCUCUAUAAGAUAAAUUUCGCAUACCACCGUAGAGAGAAUAAUAUACAACAAAUCCAAUCUGCUGAUAACUCUUCGCAGCGUGACAUCACGCCACGGCCCGGUCAUUAUUCGAACCAUUUUUCACAAUCAGCUACCGCACAUAUUGCGAGGCGGUUUCUUUGGCACGUCUUGUCAAAGCAGAGAUCGUGCCCCCUUAUCGCGGGAUCUUCAUCAAUACGGGUAUGGGUAACCCAACCAGUGCCAUUUAACUGAGGUGCUUGGAAAAUAAGAGAUUUCGAGAGGCAAGUGGGGAAGCGCACAUUCUGUACCGCCUUUAUAAAGGGAUAAGGAUCUCCCGUUUUCACCCACGCCUUCUUCCUCCUUUGCUCAUCCGUUCUCGCAUUCUCGAGCCCCAGCGCCCAAGUUCUCACCUUCUCCGUAGGACCGCAGCAUGUCCGGAGUGGGAGGCAAGUGGAUGGCCUCCUUUGUCACAGAGCAGGACAUUACCAAGCUUCGGUCGGCCGGAUACCUGGCCGAAAACAUCGCACAUAGGCUUCUAGCGGAGGGACAGAUCACCCCCACCCCAAAGUCUCGGGAGAGAGUAGUAUUUCUCCCUCAUUUCAUCCGCGGACUAGGAUUCCCACUUCACCCGUUUGUCCGCGGGCUCAUGUAUUACUACGUGCUAGAUUUUCACGAUCUAGCCCCAAAUUUCGUCCUCAACAUCUCGACAUUCAUCGUCGUGUGCGAGGCCUUCCUCCGCAUCAAGCCCCACUUCGGUCUGUGGCUGCAAACCUUCUGCGUGAAGCCGAAGAUCGUGAGUGGCCAACAAGCGGAGUGCGGAGGCGCCAUGGUGGGCAGAAUGCCCAACAUUACAUGGAUCGACGGCUCCUUUGUGGAGUCCGUGAAAGGGUGGCAAUCAGGGUGGUUCUACAUCACCGAGCCGCACGAUGCCAACUAGGUGGCGGCCCCCAAGUUCCGAUCUGGAAUCCCCAUGUGGCUCACCUCUUGGGAAAAGAAGGGCCUGGCCUGGGUCGAACCUGUGGAGCUGACCGGAUUCGAGUCCUGUAUUAAAAGUAUGAGGGACAAGAAGAUCAAGCUUGUCAACAUGGUCCAGGUCAUGCUCGUCCGCCGGAUUCUCCCGUGUCAAAGACGGGCAUUCAAUAUGUGGGAGUUCGAUCCUGCCGAACACCAAAUGCUGCAUGAGCUUUUCGACACGACGCAUAAGGACGUCUAGAAGGUGCUGUUCAAGACCGGCGAAGUUCCUCCUCCCAUUUCCGAGGACCGCGGGCUUAGUGCAAAGCGCCUCGCCAAUUCGGUAAGUCCUCUAACCAUCAAAAGAUGUACCUGUCCCGACAUAUUUGUGGGAGGAUUUUAAGUCACCAUGCUGACAAAACAGGAUUACAUGAAGACGGCGGAGCAGAUCGACUGUCCGACUCCGUUGCCCGAAGACCCAGCGACCGCACUCCUAACGGAGAUGCUAGCUCUGGUGCCUUACAAGGUGCCGAAGAAGAAAGCCGAAAAGAAGGCCACGGGGACCAGGAAGGGUCUCAGGCGCGAGGUUGCACCGGACGCCUCGCCUGAAGACGAUGAGGCGCACUCCUCCCACGAAGGGGGGGGGGAGAAAAAGAAGAAGAAGGCCGCCCCAUCCGGGGAGGCCGAAGGGUCCAAGAAGGCGGCUGCGGGGACCAAAAAGGGUCUCCGGCGCAGGGCCGUGAUUGACUCUUCAUCCGAGGAUGACGAGGCAGAUUCCUCCCACGGAGACGGGGGGAAUCAUGAAGAAAUGCCCCCUCCCCGCACUGGGGAGGAGAAGAAAAGGAAGGCCGCCUCGCAGGGGGAGGCUAGGAUGCCGAAGAAGGGGAAGGCGUCCCUUCCGGAUCACUCCACCAUUGCCGCCUAUAGCGAAGAGGAGUGGCUGCCCAGGCACAAGCCCCGGGCGAAGUCGUAAGUAUCCGCACCCCGUAAUAAUUCACGUGUGACUUUAACUUCAUAGUUCACAAUAACACCGAACACAUAUGUGCAGUCCGGCUAGGUCCAAUCUCGGGGGAUCCUCUUCGGAAGGGUCUCUGAGCGAGUCGGAGAUGAAUUCACUCCCGACGGCCACCUCCCCAUGACCCGUGGAUGACACAGAGAUGUUGUCCCAAAGGAUACCAGAGCAGGGGGUGACGGUCCCGGAGACGCCCCAAGGCAAUAUCCCAGACACCGGGUACAUGGGGGGCAAGAUCCCCAUGGAUUAUGCUUAUGGGAGCCACAGCAAGUCUGGCUCCCCGCCGAUUACUGCGCCUGAGCCUCCAAAGGCUCCGGAUUCCAGUAGGCAGCCCCUCAUGAAGGAGGGCGAGCCGGCCGUGCCGAUGACCUCCGCCCCGCCGGGGGCAUCGGAUAAUUUAUUAGAAGUGCUUCGAGGCGCUUCCAUCGACGAUGAGCACCGUACUCUUAUGAGUAUGGUGAUUGAGAAGGUUCGGUCCGCCAAGAGAGGAUUGACUAUAGCCUGCACCAGCCUCCUAACAGGCUUUGAGGUAAGAAAUGAAAAAGUGUGAGAAAAUAUCACCCAAUAGACAGUAGCCCCUGAUACUCUGUUUGGUGUUUGGAAAGAAAAGCCAAACGGAGGGUCAAAUAGAAAACCGUAGGAAUCUUAUAGUACUUGUCUAUGUUAAUAAACAUGCGUUGCUGCUGACCGCUGCUGCGCGCAUAGCUGAGGUCGCCGGACUGAAGCGCGACUUGGGGCAGGCCGAAGAAGAGCUCGGCCUCGUAAAGAGGCAGCUCGAGGAGAACAAUGGUAAGUGAUACCCCGUCCGUGUGUUGUAUGGAGGAGAAAAAUUGGUGAUGCUAACAAAAGGCAUCAUGAUUUUAAACAGGGGCCACGACCGAAGUGGCGGCCCUGAAGAAAGCGUUGUCCGAGGCCGAAGGCAAGGCGGCCACGGAGCGCACCGAGCGUGAAAAGCAAGAUGCUCGGGUGGGAGAGGUGGAGCAAGAGCUCUAGGAGCUCGGCAAGAAGUUCGAGUCCUUGGAGCAUGACUUCAAGACGCAGGAGUCUGAGCUUGCGAAGGCCCUCCAGAGAGUGACAGACGCCAAGGCCGAAGCCCAGAAGGCCUGCCAGGAAAUCCGGGCGGCCAAAAAGAUGGCGGAGGAUAAGGCAUUCUUUAUGCAAAGCAAGCAUGUGGAGGAGGCAUUUCUUUUACUUACACGAAUUCGGAGCUCUCCAGGGGCAUUCGCAGAUCUGCCACGCAGCAUUUCGGAUGCCAUAGAGUUCUACCAUCCUGAAGAGGGGAGCUCAACGGAGAAGCUGUUCUGGUCCCAAUAUACUAGAGCCGAACACCUAAUGCCUCUAAGCGACCAACUGAAGCAAUUGGUCGAACUCCACAGGGCGGCCGAACUGGCCAUGAAGGACCUCAUAGUCUGGAUGUGGCCCGGCGAGCCCUGCCCGGUAGCUAUUUUGGCCUUGUAAAGCGGAUGGUGCAUGCCUGUCCACGGCUUGUAGUUAUCAAGCAGUCCGUCUGUAUUGAGGGUGCCCGCCGGGCCUUUGCUCCCGUGAAGAUGCAUUGGGCCAAACUGGAUGCGGAGAAGCUUGUGAAGGAUGGGCCUCCGGAGGGUAAGGAGCAUCGCUACCCCGAAAAAUAUUAUGAUGGUGUUAUGAAAGGUGCUCGCCUUGUGGCCAAUGAAUGUGCCAAGAACACAAUCUUUGAGUGAAUGUACUCAUGUCGUUUUAUUGUAAUAUGAAAACGAGUUGUUUUGCGCUAUAUACCGCUUUGUUGAUGUAAAAUAUUACCUUCUGUGCGGCCGUUUAUAAAAUUCUGAAAGUAGUCUAGUCAUCGGCUUCCGCCCCCAUGGAACUAGUACUGGGGUGUUCGUGGAAAACCCAAACACUCUUUAUCCAAAUUGUUGGUCCCUUAAGGAGGUGUUUAGCGCAGCGAACAAGGCAAUCGAACUAUGCGGCUUUAUAACUCUCACUUGGCCAUAGAAGUCUAUAAUUUUAUAUUUCGGCGAAGCCCCUAGUAUUCGGAAGGCCGAACUGGGGUGCUAUACACGCCUAAAUUGAACAAGGUCGAUUCCUCGCCUUAUGCGGAAAAAAAUCUUUAAGGAUUUAGUACCUCUCGAACAGCGACCAACUCUGGCCGCAUCAUGACGGUCAGUUUUCAGCUUUCUCUACUGAGGUGCUCGUACGGAAGAACUGGGAGACGAUCGCAGUAGUUCUCCCUGCGCUACCUUAGCCGAUAUAACGAAACAUGAGGUACCAAAACAAGGGAGCCGGGCUAACCCAACUAUUGACCCAAGACAUGAUUCGGUGCUGAUGCAUAUAAUGCUAUAAGUUCGGGGUGACGCACUGUCGAAAGUGUUCGGACUUUUAUUGCCGUGUUAUGGGGAUCAAAAAUAAAAAAGCCCCUGGCAAACUGAUCGUACCAAAGUGUAUGGGUGCAAUAUUAAAUAAAUUUUCAAGGGAAAAUAUGAAGAUAGUAGUAAGAAGCUGACGCUGUAUACUAUCUCCCAUUGUAAUCUGGACAAUACGUCUAGGUGUAUGUGUACAAGUAAUGCAUUAAGCAAAAACCAAUAGGACUAUUUUACAUGUCCUAUCCAAGGGCAGGUUGCAUGCAGAUAUGUAAAACAGGUAUAACGAUCAUCAACAGAGACCACCUAGGUAUUCCCUUAUGUGCAAAGCCUCUUGCCUCCUUGGUGUUCCCUCCUGUGGUGAGUCCGAUAGUCCGGCUCUCUGAAGGGGCUGCCCGAACGUGGGGUCCUGAAAGAAAGGAAGAAAAGGGGUAUGCGGACCUCGUGGCGGCUGAUCCUACUGUAGGCCGCAUAGUCAUCUCGCCUCCACCCGUGCCCAUGGUAUUUUAAGUGCGUAAUUAUGUACGCGUGGCACGAAUGCCGCCUAAAUGGGGCUGGGGCGUAGGCCAAAUUGCUAACUAAUCUCUUGACAUGCCUGACGAUCCUGCUGCAGGGUGUUCCGGACUCGCUUGACGGUGUUCAGGGUUGUUGUUGCGACAGUUUGUCGAAGGAGGCUGCUUUGUACUUCUGCCACGAGGGCUGCAGUGUGCUCUUCUGUACGGAGGGAGCGAUCUGUGUUUCCAUUGACUGUUAUAACCCCGCGAGGUCCUGACAUCUUGAGCUUAAGGUAUGCAUAGUGAGGCACCGCGUUGAAUCGAGCAAACGCGGUUCGUCCAAGUAGUGCAUGAUAGCCACUACGGAAGGGGACGAUAUCGAAGAUUAACUCUUCGCUUCGGAAGUUAUCCGGAGAUCCGAAGACCACUUCCAAUGUUAUUGAGCCCAUACACCGGGGCUCUACCCCUGGAAUUACACCCUUGAAGGUGGUUUUAGUGGGUUUGAUCUGUGAGGGAUCGAUGCCCAUUUUGUGCACUGUGUCCUGAUAAAGCAGGUUCAGGCUGCUGCCACCGUCCAUAAGGACUCGCAUGAGGUGGAAUCCGUCGAUGAUUGGGUCAAGGACCAAUGGGGCUGAACCGCCGUGACGAAUGCUGGUAGGAUGGUCCCUACGAUCGAAUGUGAUCGGGCAGGAUGACCAUGGGUUGAACUUUGGGGCAACGGGCUCCAUCGCGUAGACGUCCCGCAGUGCACACUUUCGUUCCCGCUUGGGAAUGUGGGUGGCAUAGAUCAUGUUUACCAUUUUCACCUCGGGGGGGGGGGGGAUUUUCCUCUGUCCCCCAGUGUUCGGAUGCCGGGGCUCCUCAUCAUCAUUGUUGUGCAGCCCCUUGUCAUUGUUUUUGGCAUUGAACUUGCCGGCUUGUUUGAACACCCAACAAUCUUUGUUAGUGUGAUUUGCUGGUUUGUCGGGGGUGCCAUGAAUCUGGCACGAGUGGUCGAGUAUGCGGUCCAGGCUGGAUGAUCCCGGAUUGUUUCUUUUGAAUGGCUUCUUCCGCUAACCGGAUUUUGAGUUGCUGAAUCCGGCAUUGACUGCCGUGUCUUCGGCAUUAUCACCAUUAUUCCGACGCUUAUGUCUAUUGCGCCGAAGCUUUCCGUUACUAUCGCGGACAUCUGAAGUGCCGGAGUUUCUUGGCGUGGUGCUACUGCGAGCUAGCCAGCUGUCCUCGCCCGUGCAAAAGCGGGUCAUGAGUGUCGUGAGGGCCGCCAUAGACUUCGGUUUUUCUUGGCCGAGGUGUCGGGCGAGCCACUCGUCGCGGAUAUUAUGCUUGAAGUCCGCCAGGGCCUCGACAUCUGGACAGUCAACAAUUUGGUUCUUCUUAGUUAGGAACCGAGUCCAGAAUUUCCCGGCCGACUCUCCGAGCAGUUGGGUAAGGUGACUUAAGUCAUCAGCAUCCGGUGGUCGCAUGUAAGUGCCUUGUAAGUUGUCGAGGAAUGUGUCCUCAAGAUUUUCCCAGCUGCCGAUGGAGUUCGCCGACAGGCUAUUCAGCCAAUGCCUGGCUGGUCCUUUGAGUUUAAGGGGAAGGUACUUGAUUGCAUGUGGGUCAUCACCGCAGGCCAUGUGAAUGUGGAGAAGAAAAUCUUCGAUCCACACCGCGGGGUCUGUUGUGCCAUCGUAUGACUCGAUGUUUACGGGUUUAAACCCUUCUGGGAAUUCAUGAUCCAUUACUUCAUCAGUGAAGCAGAGGGGGUGUGCGGCGCCUCUCUGCCGGGCUAUGUCGCGACACAGUCCGACUAGGUCUGGUCGGUUAUGUUCGGCCCGGCCGUACUUAUUAUUAUUGUAUCCGGCGUGACGAUCGUCGUCAUGUGGUGUGGCGCGCCCCGUGAUCCGUAGAUCAAUCUUGGUUGUCCUGCGUGGUUUUCCAAUAUAUCUCGCAGGUCCUGCGUAUUGCCCCAGGCCGUAGUGAACCGGCGUGGGGGUGCGGGCUGGUAUUCGGUCUGAUAUGCUGUUUUAUCCCGGCCACGAGGUGGCCGGUCAGCCUCGUCUUGUUCUGGUAGUGUAGGCUCUACGGCCUCCUCGUCUAGCUGAGGUAGCAACUUGUGUUUUGGGUAACCUUUGGUUGGGCGCUUGAGUCUGUAUUCCUCGGCCGCCAGGACCUCCGUCCAUCUGUCUGCGAGCAGAUCUUGAUCAGCUUGGAGCUGCUGCUGCUUCUUUUUCACGCUUCUUGAAGUGGCUAUAAGCCGACACUUAAAGCGCUCCUGAAUGCGUUGUUGAAGGUUGGGGGAGCCAUCGAGCCUUAUAGCGACGGCACAGAGGAACUCUCAAUGAAAGCAUCAAUGUCGGAGUCAAAACCGGAGGAUCUCGGGUAGGGGGUCCCGAACUAUGCGUCUAAGGCUAAUGGUAACAGGAGGCUAGGGACACGAUGUUUACCCAGGUUCGGGCCCUCUCGAUGGAGGUAAUACCCUACUUCCUGCUUGAUUGAUCUUGAUGAUAUGAGUAUUACAAGAGUUGAUCUACCACGAGAUCGUAGUGAAGGAAAUAUGCGCUAGAGGCAAUAAAAAAGUUAUUAUUUAUUUCCUUAUAUCAUGAUAAAUGUUUAUUAUUCAUGCUAGAAUUGUAUUAACCGGAAACAUAAUACAUGUGUGAAUACAUAGACAAACAGAUUGUCACUAGCAUGCCUCUACUUGACUAGCUCAUUGAUCAAAGAUGGUUAUGUUUCCUAGCCAUAGACAUGAGUUGUCAUUUGAUUAACGGGAUCACAUCAUUAGGAGAAUGAUGUGAUUGACAUGACCCAUUCCGUUAGCUUAACACACGAUCGUUUCGUAUGUUGUUGUUGCUUUCUUCAUGACUUAUACAUGUUCCUAUGACUAUGAGAUUAUGCAACUCCCGUUUACCAGAGGAACACUUUGUGUGAUACCAAAUGUCACAAUGUUACUGGGUGAUUAUAAAGGUGCUCUACAUGUGUCUCCGAAGGUACAUGUUGGGUUGGCGUAUUUAGAGAUUAGGAUUUGUCACUCCGAUUGUCGGAGAGGUAUCUCUAGGCCCUCUCGGUAAUACACAUCACUUAAGCCUUGCAAGCAUUGCAACUAAUGAGUUAGUUGCGGGUUGAUGUAUUACGGAACGAGUAAAGAGACUUGUCGGUAACGAUAUUGAACUAGGUAUUGAGAUACCGACGAUCGAAUCUCAGGCAAGUAACAUACCGAAGACAAAGGGAACAAUGUAUGUUGUUAUGCGGUCUGACCGAUAAAGAUCUUCGUAGAAUAUGUGGGAGCCAAUAUGAGCAUCCAAGUUCCACUAUUGGUUAUUGACCAGAUACAUGUCUUGGUCAUGUCUACAUAGUUCUCGAACCCGUAGGGUCCGCACGCUUAACGUUACGAUGAUAGUUAUAUUAUGAGUUUAUAUGUUUUGAUGUAUCGAAGGUUGUUCGGAGUCCCGGAUGUGAUCACGGACAUGACGAGGAGUCUCGAAAUGGUCGAGACAUGAAGAUUGAUAUAUUGGAAGCCUAUGUUUGGAUAUCAGAAGUGUUCCGGGUGAAAUCGGGAUAUUACCGGAGUACCGGGAGGUUACCAGAACCCCCUGGGAGGUUAAUGGGCCUUAGUUGGCCUUUACGGAGAAGAGGAGAGGCAGCCAGGGCUCGGCCGCGCGCCCCUCCCCCCUAGUCUGAAUAGGACAAGGAGAGGGGGCGGCGCCCCCUUCCUUCCUCUGUCCCUCCUCUUUCCCCCCUCCCAAGUCCUAAUCCAACUAGGAAAGGGGGGGGGGGAGUCCUACUCCCGGUGAGAGUAGGACUCCUCCCAGCGCGCCUCUCCCCUUGGUCGGCCGCACCCCCCCUUGCUCCUUUAUAUACGGGGGCAGGUGGGCACCCUAGAGACACAACAAUUGAUCAUUUGAUCUUUUAGCCGUGUGCGGUGCCCCCCUCCACCAUAGUCCACCUCGAUAAUACUGUAGCGGUGCUUAGGCGAAGCCCUGCGUCGGUAGAACAUCAUCAUCGUCACCAUGCCGUCGUGCUGACGAAACUCUCCCUCAACACUCAGCUGGAUCAGAGUUCGAGGGACGUCAUCGGGCUGAACGUGUGCUGAACUCGGAGGUGCCGUAUGUUCGGUACUUGAUCAGUCGGAUCGUGAAGACGUACGACUACAUCAACCGCGUUGUGCUAAUGCUUCCACUUAGGGUCUACAAGGGUAUGUAGACAACACUCUCCCCUCUCGUUGCUAUGCAUCACCAUGAUCUUGCGUGUGCAUAGGAUUUUUUUUUGAAAUUACUACGUUCCCCAACAGUGGCAUCCGAGCCUGGUUUUAUGCGUAGAUGUCAUAUGCACGAGUAGAACACAAGUGAGUUGUUGGCGAUAUAAGUCAUACUGCUUACCAACAUGUCAUACUUUGGUUCAGCGGUAUUGUGAGAUGAAGCGGCCCGAACCGACAUUACGCGUACGCUUACGCGAGACUGGUUUCACCGCCACGAGCACUAGUUGCUUAAAGGUGACCGGCGGGUGUCUGUCUCUCUCACUUUAGUUGAACCGAGUAUGGCUACACCCGGUCCUUGCGAAGGUUAAAACAACACCAACUUGACAAACUAUCGUUGUGGUUUUGAUGCGUAGGUAAGAACGGUUCUUGCUCAGCCCGUAGCAGCCAUGUAAAAUUUGCAACAAAAAAGUAGAGGACGUCUAACUUGUUUUUGUAGGGCAUGCUGUGAUGUGAUAUGGUCAAGACAUGAUGCUAAAUUUUAUUGUAUGAGAUGAUCAUGUUUUGUAACCGAGUUAUCGGCAACUGGUAGGAGCCAUAUGGUUGUCGCUUUAUUGUAUGUAGUGCAAUCGCCCUGUAAUGCUUUACUUUAUCACUAAGCGGUAGCGAUAGUCGUAGAAGGAUAAGAUUGGUGAGACGAUGAUGAUGCUACGAUGGAGAUCAAGGUGUCGCGCCCAUGACGAUGGUGAUCAUGAUGGUGCUUCGAAGAUGGAGAUCACAAGCACAAGAUGAUGAUGGCCAUAUCAUAUCACUUAUAUUGAUUGCAUGUGAUGUUUAUCUUUUAUGCUUCUUAUGUUGCUUUCAUUGACGGUAGCAUUAUAAGAUGAUCCCUCACUAAAUUAUCAAAGUAUAAGUGUUAUCCCUGAGUAUGCACCGUUGUGAAAGUUCUUCGUGCUGAGACACCACGUGAUGAUCGGGUGUGAUAGGCUCUACGUUCAAAUAUAACGGGUGCAAAACAGUUGCACACGCAGAAUACUCAGGUUAAACUUGAUGAGCCUAGCAUAUAAAAGAUAUGUCCUCGGAACACGGAGACCGAAAGGUCGAGCGUGAAUCAUAUAGUAGAUAUGAUCAACAUAGUGAUGUUCACCAUUGAAACUACUUCAUCUCACAUGAUGAUCGGACAUGGUUUAGUUGAUUUGGAUCACGUGAUCACUUAGAGGAUUAGAGGGAUGUCUAUCUAAGUGGGAGUUCUUAAGUAAUAUGAUUAAUUGAACUUAAAUUUAUCAUGAACUUAGUACCUGAUAGUGUCUUGCUUGUAUAUGUUGAUUGUAGAUAGAUGGCCCAUGCUGUUGUUCCGUUAAAUUUUAAUGCGUUCCUUGAGAAAGCAAAGUUGAAAGAUGAUGGUAGCAAUUACACGGACUGGGUCUGUAACUUGAGGAUUAUCCUCAUUGCUGCACAGAAGAAUUACAUCCUGGAAGCACCGCUGGGUGCCAGACCUGCUGCAGGGCAACACCAGAUGUUGUGAAUGUCUGGUAGAGCAAAGCUGAUGACUACUAGUUCAGUGUGACAUGCUUUACGGCUUCGAACCGGGACUUCAACGACGUUUUGAACGUCAUGGAGCAUAUGAGAUGUUCCAGGAGUUGAAGUUAAUAUUUCAAGCAAAUGCCCAGAUUAAGAUAUAUGAAGUCUCCAAUAAGUUCUACAGCUGUAAGAUGGAGGAGAAUAGUUCUAUCAGUGAGCAUAUACUCAAAAUGUGUGGGUAUAAUAAUCACUUGAUUCAACUGGGAGUUAAUCUUCCGGAUGAUAGCAUCAUUGACAGAAUUCUCCAAUCACUGCCACCAAGCUACAAGAGCUUCGUGAUGAACUAUAACAUGCAACAGAUGGAUAAUAUGAUUCCCGAGCUCUUCGCAAUGCUAAAGGACGCGGGGGUAGAAAUCAAGAAGGAGCAUCAAGUGUUGAUGGUCAACAAGACCACUAGUUUCAAGAAAAAGGGCAAAGGGAAAAAGAAGGGGAACUUCAAGAAGAACAACAAGCAAGUUGCUUCUCAGGAGAAGAAACCCAAGUCUGGACCUAAGCCUGAGACUAAGUGCUUCUACUGCAAGCAGACUGGUCACUGGAAGCGGAACUGCCCCAAGUAUUUGGCGGAUAAGAAGGAUGGCAAGGUGAACAAAGGUAUAUGUGAUAUACAUGUUAUUGAUGUGUACCUUACUAAUGCUCGCAGUAGCACCUGGGUAUUUGAUACUGGUUCUGUUGCUAAUAUUUGCAACUCGAAACAGGGGCUACGAAUUAAGCGAAGAUUGGCUAAGGACGAGGUGACGAUGCGCGUAGGAAAUGGUUCCAAAGUCGAUGUGAUCGCGGUCGGCACGCUACCUCUACAUCUACCUUCGGGAUUAGUUUUAGACCUAAAUAAUUGUUAUUUGGUGCCAGCGUUGAGCAUGAACAUUAUAUCUGGAUCUUGUUUGAUGGGAGACGGUUAUUCAUUUAAAUCAGAGAAUAAUGGUUGUUCUAUUUAUAUGAGUAAUAUCUUUUAUGGUCAUGCACCCUUGAAGAGUGGUCUAUUUUUAUUGAAUCUCGAUAGUAGUGAUACACAUAUUCCAAAAGAUGCAGAGUUGAUAAUGACAGUGCAACUUAUUUGUGGCACUGCCGUUUAGGUCAUAUCAGUGUAAAGCGCAUGAAGAAACUCCAUACUGAUGGACUUUUGGAACCACUUGAUUAUGAAUCACUUGGUACUUGCGAACCGUGCCUCAUGGGCAAGAUGACUAAAACACUGUUCUUUGGAACUAUGGAGAGAGCAACAGAUUUGUUAGAAAUCAUACAUAUAGAUGUAUGUGGUCCAAUGAAUGUUGAGGCUCGUGGUGGACAUCAUUAUUUUCUCACCUUCACAGAUGAUUUAAGCAGAUAUGGGUAUAUCUACUUAAUGAAACAUAAGUCUAAAACUUUUGAAAAGUUCAAAGAAUUUCAGAGUGAAGAUGAAAAUCAUCGUCACAAGAAAAUAAAGUUUCUACGAUCUGAUCAUGGAGGAGAAUAUUUGAGUUAAGAGUUUGGUCUACAUUUGAAACAAUGCGGAAAACUUUCGCAACUCACGCCACCUGGAACACCAUAGCGUAAUGGUGUAUCUGAACGUCGUAAUCGUACUUUACUAGAUAUCGUGUGAUCUAUGAUGUCUCUUACUGAUUUACUGCUAUCGUUUUGGGGUUAUGAUUUAGAGACGGCUGCAUUCACGUUAAAUAGGACACCAUCAAAAUCCGUUGAGACGAUGCAUUAUGAACUAUGGUUUGGCAAGAAACCAAAGUUGUUGUUUCUCAAAGUUUGGGGCUGUGAUGCUUAUGUGAAAAAGCUUCAACCUGAUAAGCUCGAACCCAAAUCGGAGAAUGUGUCUUCAUAGGAUACCCAAAGGAGACUGUUGGGUACACCUUCUAUCACAAAUCCGAAGGCAAAACUUUUGUUGCUAAAUUCAGAAUUUUUCUAGAGAAGGAGUUUCUCUCGAAAGAAGUGAGUGGGAGGAAAGUAGAACUUGAUGAGGUAACUGUACCUACUCCCUUAUUGGAAAGUAGUUCAUCACAGAAACUGGUUCCUGUGACAUCUACACCAAUUAGUGAGGAAGUUAAUGAUGAUGAUCAUGGAACUUCAGAUCAAGUUGUUACUGAACCUCGUAGGUCAAACAGAAUAAGAUCCGCACCAGAGUGGUACGGUAAUCCUGUUCUGGAGGUCAUGCUACUGGAUCAUGAUGAACCUACGAACUAUGAAGAAGCGAUGGUGAGCCAAGAUUCUGCAAAAUGGCUUGAGGCCAUGACAUAUGAGAUGGGAUCCAUGUAUGAGAACAAAGUAUGGACUUUGGUUGACUUGCCCGAUGAUCGGCAAGCAAUUGAGAAUAAAUGGAUCUUCAAGAAGAAGACUGACGCUGACGGUAAUGUUACUGUCUACAAAGCUUGACUUGUUGCAAAAGGUUUUCGACAAGUUCAAGGGAUUGACUAUGAUGAGACCUUCUCACCCGUAGUGAUGCUUAAGUCUGUCCGAAUCAUGUUAGCAAUAGCUGCAUUUUAUGAUUAUGAAAUUUGGCAAAUGGAUGUCAAAACUGCAUUCCUGAAUGGAUUUCUGGAAGAAGAGUUGUAUAUGAUGCAACCGGAAGGUUUUGUCGAUCCAAAGGGAGCUAACAAAGUGUGCAAGCUCCAGCGAUCCAUUUAUGGACUGGUGCAAGCCUCUCGGAGUUGGAAUAAACGCUUUGAUAGUGUGAUCAAAGCAUUUGGUUUUAUACAGACUUUUGGAGAAGCCUGUAUUUACAAGAAAGUGAGUGGGAGCUCUGUAGCAUUUCUGAUAUUAUAUGUGGAUGACAUAUUACUGAUUGGAAAUGAUAUAGAAUUUCUGGAUAGCAUAAAGGGAUACUUGAAUAAGAGUUUUUCAAUGAAAGACCUUGGUGAAGCUGCUUACAUAUUGGGCAUCAAGAUCUAUAGAGAUAGAUCAAGACGCUUAAUUGGACUUUCACAAAGCACAUACCUUCACAAAGUUUUGAAGAAGUUCAAAAUGGAUCAAGCAAAGAAAGGGUUCUUGCCUGUGUUACGAGGUGUGAAGUUGAGUAAGACUCAAUGCCCGACCACUGCAGAAGAUAGUGAGAAAAUGAAAGAUGUUCCCUAUGCUUCAGCCAUAGGCUCUGUCAUGUAUGCAAUGCUGUGUACCAGACCUGAUGUGUGCCUUGCUAUACGUCUAGCAGGGAGGUACCAAAGUAAUCCAGGAGUGGAUCGCUGGAUAGCGGUCAAGAACAUCCUGAAAUACCUGAAAAGGACUAAGGAUAUGUUUCUCAUUUAUGGAGGUGACAAAGAGCUCAUUCUAAAUGGUUACGUUGAUGCAAGCUUUGACACUGAUCCGGACGAUUCUAAAUUGCAAACUGGAUACGUGUUUACAUUGAACGGUGGAGCUGUCAGUUGGUGCAGUUCUAAACAAAGCGUCGUGGCGGGAUCUACAUGUGAAGUGGAGUACAUAGCUGCUAUGGAAGCAGCAAAUGAAGGAGUCUGGAUGAAGGAGUUCAUAUCCGAUCUAGGUGUCAUACCUAGUGCAUCGGGUCCAAUGAAUUUUUUUGGUGACAAUACUGGUGCAAUUGCCUUGGCGAAGGAAUCCAGAUUUCACAAGAGAACCAAGGACAUCAAGAGACCCAUCAAUUCCAUCCGGGAUCUAGUCCAGGUGGGAGACAUAGAAAUUUCCAAGAUACAUACGGAUCUGAAUGUUGCAGACCCGUUGACUAAGCCUCUUCCACGAGCAAAACAUGAUCAGCACCAAGGCUCCAUGGGUGUUAGAAUCAUUACUGUGUAAUCUAGAUUAUUGACUCUAGUGCAAGUGGGAGACUGAAGGAAAUAUGCCCUAGAGGCAAUAAUAAAGUUAUUAUUUAUUUCCUUAUAUCAUGAUAAAUGUUUAUUAUUCAUGCUAGAAUUGUAUUAACCGGAAACAUAAUACAUGUGUGAAUACAUAGACAAACAGAUUGUCACUAGUAUGCCUAUACUUGACUAGCUCGUUGAUCAAAGAUGGUUAUGUUUUCUAGCCAUAGACAUGAGUUGUAAUUUGAUUAACGGGAUCACAUCAUUAGGAGAAUGAUGUGAUUGACAUGACCCAUUCCGUUAGCUUAGCACAUGAUCGUUUAGUAUGUUGCUGUUGCUUUCUUCAUGACUUAUACAUGUUCCUAUGACUAUGAGAUUAUGCAACUCCCGUUUACCGGAGGAACACUUUAUGUGCUACCAAACGUCACAACAUAACUGGGUGAUUAUAAAGGUGCUCUACAGGUGUCUCCGAAGGUACAUGUUGGGUUGGCGUAUUUCGAGAUUAGGAUUUGUCACUCCGAUUGUCGGAGAGGUAUCUCUGGUCCCUCUUGGUAAUACACAUCACUUAAGCCUUGCAAGCAUUGCAACUAAUGAGUUACCUGCGGGUUGAUGUAUUAUGGAACGAGUAAAGAGACUUGCCAGUAACGAGAUUGAACUAUGUAUUGAGAUACCGACGAUCGAAUCUCGGGCACGUAACAUACCGAUGACAAAGAGAACAACGUAUGUUGUUAUGUGGUCUAACCGAUAAAGAUCUUCGUAGAAUAUGUGGGAGCCAAUAUGAGCAUCCAGGUUCCGCUAUUGUUUAUUGACCAGAGACAUGUCUCGGUCAUGUCUACAUAGUUCUCGAACCCGUAGGGUCCGCACGCUUAACGUUAUGAUGAUGGUUAUAUUAUGAGUUUAUAUGUUUUGAUGUACCGAAGGUUGUUUGUAGUCCCGGAUGUGAUCAUGGACAUGACGAGGAGUCUCGAAAUGGUCAAGACAUGAAGAUUGAUAUAUUGGAAGCCUAUGUUUGGAUAUCCGAAGUGUUCCGGGUGAAAUCAGAAUUUUACCGGAGUACCGGGAGGUUACCGGAACCCCCCGGGAGGUUAAUGGGCCUUAGUGGGCCUUUACGAAGAAGAGGAGAGGCGGCCAGAGCUGGGCUAUGCGCCCCUCCCCCUAGUCCGAAUAGGACAAGGAGAGGGGGGCGCCCCCCCUUCCAGCCUCUCUCCCUCCUCUUUCCCCCCUCCCAUGUCCUAAUCCAACUAGGAAAGGGGGGAGUCCUACUCCCGGUGAGGGUAGGACUCCUCCCGGCGCGCCUCUCCCCUUGGCCGGCCGCACCCUCCUUUGCUCCUUUAUAUACGGGGGCAGGGGGCACCCUAGAGACACAACAAUUGAUCGUUUGAUCUUUUAGCCGUGUGCGGUGCCCUCCUCCACCAUAGUCCACCUCGAUAAUACUGUAGCGGUGCUUAGGCGAAGCCCUGCGUCGGUAGAACAUCAUCAUCGUCACCACACCGUCGUGCUGACAAAACUCUCCCUCAACACUCGACUGGAUCGGAGUUCGAGGGACGUCAUCGGGCUGAACGUGUGCUGAACUCGGAGGUGCCGUACGUUAGCUACUUGAUCGGUUGGCUCGUGAAAACGUAUGACUACAUGAACCGCGUUGUGCUAACGCUUCCGCUUACGUCUACAAGGGUAUGUAUACGACACUCUCCCCUCUUGUUGCUAUGCAUCACCAUGAUCUUGCAUGUGCGUAGGAACUUUUUUGAAAUUACUUCGUUCCCCAACACAUAGAGGCUAAACCCUAGAAGCUAGCCUAUGGUAUGAUUGUUGUUGUGUCCUACGGACUAAACCCUCCGGUUUAUAUAGACACCGGAGGGGGCUAGGGUUACACAGAGUCGGUUUACAGAGAAGGAGAUCUAUCAUCCGAAUCGCCAAGCUUGCCUUCCACGCAAAGGAGAGUCCCAUCCGGACACGAGAUGAAGUCUUCAAUCUUGUAUCUUCAUAGUCCAACAGCCCGGCCAAAGUAUAUAGUCCGGCUAUCCGGAUACCCCCUUAUCCAGGACUCCCUCACCCGUAGCAGCCACGUAAAACUUGCAACAAUAAAGUAGACGUCUAACUUGUUUUUGUAGGGCAUGUUGUGAUGUGAUAUGGUCAAGACGUGAUGUGAUAUACGUUAUUGUAUGAGAUGAUCAUGUUUUGUAAGAUAUCGGGCAACCGGCAGGAGCCUUAUGGUUUUCUCUUUAUUGUAUGAAAUGCAAACACCAUUUAAUUGCUUUAGUUUAUCGCUAUGAGUUAGCAAUAGUUGUAAAAGCAAUAGUUGGCGAGACGACCAUGUUGCAAUGAUGGGUCAAGGUGUCGAGCCGGUGAUGAUGGAGAUCAUGAUGAUUCUUUGGAGAUGGAGAUCAAAAGCACAAGGUGAUGAUUCCAUAUCAUGUCACAUAUUUUGAUUGCAUGUGAUGUUUAUCUUAUAUGCAUCUUAUUUUUCAUAGAAUGACGGUAGCAUUAUAAGAUGAUCCCUUCACUAAAUUUCAAGGUAAAAGUGUUCUCCCUGAGUAUGCACCGUUGCUAUAGUUCGUCGUUUUGAGACAACAUGUGAUGAUCGGGUGUGAUCGACUCUACAUUCACAUACAAUGGGUGUAAGACAGUUUUACACAUGCAGAAUACUUGGGUUAAACUUGAAGAGCCUAGCAUGUACAUACAUGGCCUCGAAACACUGGAGACCGAAAGGUCGAACGUGAGUCAUAUAGUAGAUAUGAUCAAUAUAGAGAUAUUCACGAUUGAUGACUACCCCAUCUCACAUGAUGAUCAGACAUGGGUUAGUUGAUUUGGAUCACGUAUCACUUAGUUGAUUGAGGGAUGUCUAUUUAAGUGGGAGUUCUUUAGUAAUUUGAUUAAUUGAACUUAAUUUAUCAUGAACUUAGUCUAAAUAGUUUUGCAUAUCUAUGUUAUAGAUCAAUAGCUCGCGAUAUAGUUCCUAUUUUGAUAUGUUCCUAUAGAAAGCUAAGUUGAAAUAUGUUGGUAUCAAUGAUGCGGACUAGGUCCGUGAUUUGAGGAUUAUCCUCAUUCUUGCACAGAAGAAUUAUGUCCUUGAUGCACCGCUACGUGACAGACCUGUUGCAGGAGCUGAUGCAAACGUUAUGAACGUUUGCCAAGCUCGAUAUGAUGACUAUUUUAUAGUUUAGAGUGCCAUGCUUUACGUCUUAGAAUCAGGCUUCAAAGACGUUAUGAACGCCAUGGAACAUAUGAGUUGUUCUAAGAGUUGAGAUUGGUAUUUCAGACUUAUGCUUGUGUUAAGAGGUAUGAGACCUCUGACAAGCAAUUUGUCUACAAUAUGGAGGAGAAUAGCUCAGCCAGUGAGCAUGUACUCAGAAUGUUUGGGUACUAUAAUCACUUGAAUCAAGUGGGAGUUAAUCUUCCAGAUAAGAUAAUGAUUGACAUAGUUCUCUAGUCACUCUCUGUUGGGAAACGUAGCAUGCAAUUUCAAAAAAAAAUCCUACGCUGACGCAAGAUCUAUCUAGGAGAUGCAUAGCAACGAGAGGGGGAGAGUGUGUCCACGUACCCUCGUACACCAAAAGCGGAAGCGUUAACUUAACGCGGUUUAUGUAGUCGAACGUCUUCUCGAAUCAAUCGAUCAAGUACGAAACCUAUGGCACCUCCGAGUUCUGCACACGUUCAACUUGAUGACGUCCCUCGAACUCUUGAUCCAGUAGAGGCACGAAGGAGACGAUGAGUUCUGUCAGCACGAUGGCAUGGUGACGGUGUUGGGGAGUGAUCCGCGCAGGGCUUCGCCUAAGCACUACGACAAUAUGACCAGAGGAGUAAACGAUGGAGAGAGAGAGGGAGGGAGAAGGAAAGAGGGGGGGGGGCCCUCCCCUAGUCCAAUUCGGACUCCCAUAGGGGGGCGCGCGCCACCUCCUGUUGACUGCCUCCUCCUCUCCCCUAUGGCCCAUGAGGCCCAUUAACUUUCCCAGGGGGGUUCCGGUAACCCCUCGGUUCUCCAAAAAAUCCCUAAAACAUUUCAGAACCAUUCCGGUGUUCGAAUAUAACCUUCCAAUAUAGCAAUCUUUACCUCUCGACCAUUUUGAGACUCCUCGUCAUGUCCGUGAAGUCAUCCAGGACUCCGAACAACCUUCGAUCACCAAAAAACAUAACUCAUAUAAUACCUAUCAUCAUUUAACAUUAAGCGUGCGGACCCUACGGGUUCGAGAACUAUGUAGACAUGACCGAGACACCUCUCCGGUCAAUAACCAAUAGAGGAACCAUGAUGCUCAUAUUGGUUCCCACAGAUUCUACGAAGAUCUUUAUCGGUUGAACCACAAUGUCAACAUACGUUAUUCCCUUUGUCAUCGGUAUGUUACUUGCCCGAGAUUCGAUCAUCUGUAUCCUCAUACCUAGUUCAAUCUCAUUACUGGCAAGUCUCUUUACUUGUUCCGUAGUUCAUCAUCCUGUAACUACCUCAUUAGUCACAUUGCUUGCAAGGCUUCGUAUGAUGUGCAUUACCGAGAGGGCCCAGAGAUACCUCUACGAUACUCAGAGUGACAAAUCCUAAUCUCGAUCUAUGCCAACCCAACAAACACCUUUGAAGAUACCUGUAGAGCAUCUUUAUAAUCAACCAGUCACAUUGUGACCUUUGAUAGCACACAAGGCAUUCCUCUGGUGUCCGGGAGUUGCAUAAUCUCAUAGUCGGAGGAAUAUAUAUUUGACACGAAGAAAGCAGUAGCAAUAAAACUAAAUGAUCAUUAUGCUAUGUUGAUACGUCUCCAACGUAUCUAUAGUUUUUGAUUGUUCCAUGCUAUUAUAUUACCUGUUUUGGAUGUUUAUGGGCUUUAUUUUACAUAUUUAUAUCAUUUUUGGGACUAACCUACUAACCGGAGGCCCAGCCCGUAUUGUUGUUUUAUUUUGCCUAUUUCAGUAUUUCAAAGAAAAGGAAUAUCAAAUGGAGUCCAAACGGAAUGAAAACUUCGGGAGCGUGAUUUUUGGAACAAACGUGAGCCAGAGGACUUGGAGUGCAAGCCAAGAAGCAGUCGAGGCGGCCACGAGGAUGGAGGGCACGCCCACCCCUACAGGGCGCGCCCCUUGUCUCGUGGGCCCCUCGGGCAGCCACCGAUGUACUUCUUCCUCCUAUAUAUACCCACGUACCCCGAAAACAUCCAGGGAGCCACCGAAACACAAUUUCCACCGUGGUAACCUUCUGUAUCCGCGGGAUCCCAUCUUGGAGCCUUCCCUGGCGCUCCGCCGGAAGGGGGAUCAACCACGGAGGGCUUCUACAUCAACACCAUAGCCCCUCCGAUGAGUUGUGAGUAGUUUACCACAGACCUUCGGGUCCAUAGUUAUUAGCUAGAUGGCUUCUUCUCUCUUUUUGGAUCUCAAUACCAUGUUCUCCCCCUUUGUUGUGGAGAUCUAUUUGAUGUAACUAUUUUUGCGGUGUGUUUGUCGAGAUCCGAUGAAUUGUGGGUUUAUGAUCAAGUUUAUCUAUGAGAAAUAUUUGAAUCUCGUCUGAAUUCUUUUAUGUAUGAUUGAGUUAUCUUUGCAUGUCUCUUCGAAUUAUCAGUUUGGUUUGGCCUACUAGAUUGAUCUUUCUUGCAAUGGGAGAAGUGCUUAGCUUUGGGUUCAAUCUUGCGGUGUCCUUUCCCAGUGACAGCAGGCGCAGGAAGGCACAAAUUGUAUUGUAGCCAUCGAGGAUAAAAAGAUGGGGUUUAUAUCAUAUUGUAUGAGUUUAUCCCUCUACAUCAUGUCAUCUUUCUUAAUGCGUUACUCUGUUCUUAUGAACUUAAUACUCUAGAUGCAUGCUGGAUAGCGGUCGAUGUGUGGAGUAAUAGUAGUAGAUGCAGGCAGGAGUCGGUCUACUUGUUGCGGACGUGAUUCCUAUAUACCUGAUUAUGUCUAGAUAAUCUCAUAAUUAUUCGCUUUUCUAUCAGUUGCUUGACAGUAAUUUGUUCACCCACCGUAAUACUUAUGCUAUCUUGACAGCUAGUGAAACCUAUGGCCCCCAGGUCUAUAUUUUAUCAUAUAAGCUUUCAAUCUACUUUUAUUUGCAUCUUUACUUUUCCAAUCUAUAUUAUAAAAUACCAAAAAUAUAUUUAUCUUAUCGUACUAUCUCUAUCAGAUCUCACUUUCGCAAGUGGCCGUGAAGGGAUUGACAACCCCUUUAUCGUCUUGGUUGCGAGUUCUUUGUUUGUUUGUGUAGGUGCGCCGGAAUUUUGAGGAUCCUCCUAUUGGAUUGAUACCUUGGUUCUCAGAAACUGAAGGAAAUACUUACGCUACUAUUGCUGGAUCACCCUUUCCUCUUCAAGGAAAACCAACGCAAGCUCAAGACGUAGCAAAUGCUAACAUAUGGGUCUUGUCCAUCACAUUAUUAUCCUAAUAAUGUGAUCUCGUUCAUCAAAUGACAACACAUGUCCAUGGCUAGGUAACUUAACCAUCUUUGAUCAAUGAGCUAGUCUAGUAGAGGCUUACUAGGGACACAGUGAUUUGUCUAUGUAUUCACACAUGUAUCAAGUUUCCGGUUAAUACAAUUCUAGCAUGAAUAAUAAACAUUUAUCAUGAUAUAAGGAAAUAUAAAAUAACAACUUUAUUAUUGCCUCUAGUGCAUAUUUCCUUUAGUCUCCCACUUGCACUAGAGUCAAUAAUCUAGUUCACAUCUCCAUGUUAUUUAACACCAAUAGUUCACAUCUUUAUGUGGUUAACACCCAUAGUUCACAUCGCCAUGUGACCAAUACCCAAAGGGUUUACUAGAGUCAAUAAUCUAGUUCACAACGCUAUGUGAUUAACACCCAAAGAGUACUAAGGUGUUAUCAUGUUUUGCUUGUGAGAGAAGUUUAGUCAACGGGGCUGCCACAUUCAGAUCCGUAUGUAUUUUGCAAAUUUCUAUGUCUACAAUGCUCUGCAUGGAGCUACUCUAGCUAAUUGCUCCCACUUUCAAUAUGUAUCCAGAUUGAGACUCAAAGUCAUGCAGAUCGGUGUAAAAUCUUGCAUCGACGUAACUCUUUAUGACGAACUCUUUAUCACCUCCAUAACCGAGUAAUAUUUCCUUAGUCCUCUUAGGUAACUAAGGAUAAAGUUGACCGAUGUGCAUUGAUCCACUCCUGGAUCACUAUUGUACCCCCUUGCCAAACUCAUGAUAAGGUACACAAUAUUUCUGGCGCACGGCAUCACAUACUUUAUAGAACUAAGGCUGAGGCAUAGGGAAUGACUUUCAUCCUCUUUCUAUUUUCUGUUGUGGUCGAGUUUUGAGUCUUACUCAACUUUACACCUUGCAACAUAGGAAAGAACUCCUUCUUUGACUGUUCCAUUUUGAACUACUUCAAAAUCUUGUCAAGGUAUGUACUCAUUGAAAAAUCUUAUCAAGCGUCUUGAUCUAUCUCUAUAGAUCUUGUUGCCCAAUAUGUAAGCAGCUUCACCGAGGUCUUUCUUUGGAAAAACUCCUUUCAAAUUCUCCUUUAUGCUUUCCAAAAAAUUCCACAUCAUUUCUGAUCAACAAUAUGUCAUCCACAUAUACUUAUUAGAAAGGUUGUAGUGUUCCCACUCACUUUCUUGUAAAUGCAGGCUUCUCCAUAAGUCUGUAUAAAAUCAUAUACUUUGAUCACCUUAUCAAAGCAUAUAUUCCAACUCCGAGAUGCUUGUACUAGUCCACAGAUGGAUUGCUAGAGCUCGCACACUUUGUUAGCACCUUUAGGAUUGACAAAACCUUCUGGUUGCAUCAUAUACAAUUCUUCUUUAAUAUCCAUUAAGGAAUGCAGUUUUGAUAUCCAUUUGCUAGAUUUCAUAAAAUGGAGCAAUUGCUAACAUGAUUCGGACAAACUUGAGCAUCGAUAUGAGUGAGAAAAUCUCAUCAUAGUCAACACCUUGAACUUGUCAAAAACCUUUUGCAGCAAUUCAAGCUUUGUAGAUAGUAACACUACUAUCACCAUCCAUCUUCCUCUUGAAGAUCCAUUUAUUUUCUAUGGGUAGCCGAUCAUCGGGCAGAUCCACCAAAGUCCACACUUUGUUCUCAUACAUGGAUCAUAUCUCAAAUUUCAUGGCCUUAAGCCAGUUAUCGGAAUCUGGGCUCAUCAUAACUUCUUCAUAGUUCGUAGGUUCUUCAUGGUCAAGUAACAUGACCUCCAGAAUAGGAUUACUGUACCACUCUGGUGCGGUUCAUGCUCUUUUUGACCUAUGAGGUUCUAUAGCAACUUGAUCUGAAGUUUCAUGAUCUUUAUCAUUAGCUUCCUCUCUAGUUGGUGUAGGCAUCACGGGAACAAAUUUCUCGGAUGAGCUACUUUCCAAAUUGAGAGUAGGUACAAUUACCUCUUCAAGUUCUACUUUCCUCCCACUCACUUCUUUCGAGAGAAACUCCUUCUCUAGAAAGGUUCCGUUCUUAGCAACAAAUAUCCUGCCUUUGGACUUGUGCUAGAAGGUGUAACCAAUUGUUUCCUUAGGGUAUCCUAUGAAGAUGCACUUCUCCGAUUUGGGUUCAAGCUUAUCAGGAUGAAGCCUUUUGACAUAAGCAUCACAUCCCCGAACUUUAAGAACCAUCAGCUUAAGUUUGUUGCCAAACCAUAGUUCAUACGGUGUCGUCUCAACGGAUUUUGUUGGUGCCCUGUUUAACGUGAAUGCAACUAUCUCUAAUGCAUAACCCCAAAACGAUAGUGGUAAAUUGGUAAGAGACAUCAUAGAUCGCACCAUAUCUAAUAAAGUGUGGUUACGACGCUCGGCAACACCAUUAUGCUAUGCUGUUCUAGGUGGCGUGAGCUGUGAAACUAUUCACAUUAUUUUAAAUGAAGGCCAAACUCGUAACUCAAAUAUUCACCUCCACGAUCAGAUCAUAGAAACUUUAUUUUCUUGUUAUGUUGAUUCUCCACUUGACUCUGACUUUGAACUUUUCAAAUGUUUCAGACUUGUGUUUCAUUAAGUAGAUAUACCCAUAUCUGGUCAAAUUAUCUAUGAAGGUCAGAAAAUAACGAUACCUGCCAUGAGCCUCAAUACUCAUCGUACCACAUACAUCGGUAUGUAUUAUUUUCAAUAAGUCAUUAGCUCGUUCCAUUGGUCCAGAGAACGGAGUUUUAGUCAUCUUGACCAUAAGGCACGGUUUGCAAGUAUCAAAUGAUUCAUAAUCAAGUGAUUCCAAAAGUCAAUCUGCAUGGAGUUUCUUCAUACGAUGUACACCGAUAUGACCUAAACAACAGUGCCACAAAUAAGUUGCACUAUCAUUAUCAACUUUGCAUAUUUUGGCAUCAAUAUUAUGAAUAUGUGUAUCACCACGAUCGAGAUUCAAUAAACCAUUGACAUUGGAUGUAUGACCAUAGAAGGUUUUAUUCAUGUAGACAAAUUAACAAUUACUCUCUGUCUUAAAUGAAUAACCGUAUUGCAAUAAACAUGAUCUAAUCAUAUUCAUGCUCAACGCAAACACCAAAUAACAUUUAUUUAUGUUCAACACUAAUCCCGAAAGUAUAGGGAGUGUGCGAUGAUAAUCAUAUCAAUCUUGGAACCACUUCCAUCACUCAUCGCCACUUCACCCUCAACUAGUCUCUAUUUAUUCUGCAACUCCUUUUUCGAGUUACUAAUCUUAGCAACCGAACAGGCAUCAAAUACCCAGGGGCUAUUACGAUCACUAGUAAGGUACACAUCAGUAACGUGUAUAUAAAAUAUACCUUUGUUCACUUUGCCAUCCUUCUUAUCCGCCAAAUAUUUGGGGUAGUUCCACUUCCAGUGACCAUUUCCUUUGAAGUAGAAGCACUCAGUCUCAGGCUUAGGUCUAGCUUUGGGAUUCUUCACUUGAGUGACAACUUGCUUGCCAUUCUUUUUGAAGUUCCCUUUCUAUCCCUUUGCCCUUUUAUUAAAACUAGUGGUCUUGUUUAAUCAUCAACACCUGACGCUUUUUCUUGAAUUCUACCUUUGUCGAUUUCAGCAUCACGAAGAGCUCGGGAAUUGCUUUCGUCAACCCUUGCAUAUUAUAGUUCAUCACAAAGUUCCGGUAACUUGGUGAUGGUUACUAGAGAACUUUGUCAAUCACUAUCUUCUCUGGAAGAUUAACUCCCACUUGAUUCAAGCGAUUGUAGUACCCAGAAAUUCUGAGCACAUGCUCAGUAGCUGAGCUAUUCUCCUCCAUCUUUUAGGCGAAGUACAUGUCAGAGGUCUCAUACCUCUUGACACGGGCAUGAGUCUGAAAUAACAAUUUCAGCUCUUGGAAUAUCUCAUAUGCUCCGUGGCGUUCAAAACGUUGUUGAAGUCCCAGUUCUAAGCCGUAAAGCAUGGUGCACUAAACUAUCAAGUAGUCAUCGUAUUGAGUUAGCCAAACAUUCAUAACGUCUGCAUCUGCUCCUGCAAUAGGUCGGUCACCAAGCGGUGCAUAAAGGACAUAAUUCUUCUAUGCAGCAAUGAGGAUAAACCUAAGAUCAUGGACCCAUGUAACGACCCGACCCGAAAUCGGUCAAGUCUCUAUGUAGCUAUACCAUCCCAAGAUCAUGCUGGCACACACAAUACAUUGAUGAAAAGAUUCAAAGUUCAAUCACACCUAAAUUUAUUACACAAUUCUCAUAUCGAGUCUUUAUUACAACAUAAUAAAUUCGGCCGAAGGCCAACUCAUGAGAAAUAAACUAAGUAAAGCUGCGGAAGCAUAGACGAAUAGCGAGUCCAUCCGACUCCAUAGGGAAAUCGCCAAGCAUGGAUCGCAGCCUCACUCCUGGUCGGAAAACUCCUCUGGAACAUAAGAUGUUGCAAUCGUGUAGGUCAGCAUUUUCGAAUAUGCCAGCAAGUCCUGAAGAUAGAACAACCAUAAAAUUACUAAUACUAUAUGCAAUUUGGCUCUGGGGCUCUAAGUUUCUCUGUUUUUGCAAAAAAGCCAGUUUUUUUCCUACAACAAAGAAUUUUUAUGCAAUUACUACAAAAUGUUGGUUGUUAUUGAGAUGGUUCCGCCAACCAAUGUCUCACUCCCAAUUCUUAAAUAACCCCUCAAUUAAUUUAUUAAGUUCGGUGUUGAGAUAUCCAAAAUACUCCAAUUUCCAGAGGCUCAAAUUGUCCAUAAGCGGGGACACAGCUAAUCGAUUAGGUCUUCACUCUGCAGAGUCUUGUGCACUUUACCCGCAAGAAUCGUUCCCUCCUUUUAAGUCUUCACACUGCCUGGUGUUUAAAGACGGGAUGAACGAAACAGGGUCUUCCGAAGAGUUCCACUGGGCCACUGCCGGUGCCCAUCCAAUCCUACCAUUCUUCUACAUCUCGUAGCACCGUCCGGCCAAAGUCACGCCUAGGGUCGAACAAGCCAGGGCCCAUAAUGGCUUGCGGCUGCACAUGUAAGCUUCCGGUCAAUGGGGUAUCCAUCCAUCUCUUCGUGGCUGGGUGAAGCUUUCCGCAAGAUGUCAUGGCGCUUCUCCAUGCAUCCCGACCAUCCGCUGGUUUCUCCAGGGUGCCCGUCAACCGUCCUCCAUCCAGUAGUGAAUUUUGAAGUCCAUCUUGAGCUUGAAGUCAUGGGGUUGUCAUCAUGUUGACUCUCACAUCUCCCUUAUGAAUCACUCAACCAACCCCGUCUACGAAAGCAUAACAAUCAACUACAUCGUCCCCGGCAUUGGUAACAAGGGAAAAGGGGUUCAUCCUACCUCAUGAUACUACUCAAGAACAUAACUUAAAAUUCUCCUACUGCAUGCAUGGUGGGGAGGAAAUAAUUCUAAUGCAAUAAAUCAUAGGUAUUGUAAAACAUGAUCAAAUGACUUGCCUGGUUGACGGUCUUCGAAAGCUAGCGACUCGUAAUAGCAGGCCUCACACUCUGGGAAUUCUACCGAGUCAGACAAUAGCACAAAUAAGUAUACCACAAAGUAACAUAACAGCAAGUUAAAGUAAAUCAUACAAGCACUCAAACCAAAACUAAAGAAAACUCGAAGAAAAACAAAUCAAGGUUUUCAUCACUUCAAGCAACAACUAAUAAAUAGUUUUAUGCUAGUAAAACUAUUCUAAACAGAAUCUAAACAAGGGUUGAACUAACUAAUAGAAAGGAAAAUAACAUAAAAACUAGGUGCAAAAAGAAUCACCUCAAAAGCUAUUGUAGAACUCCUAUUAUGCCUAGAACAAAACUAGCACUGAAGUAAAAUAAAAAAAAUAUUCUACUGUAAAUAAAAGUGCACCCUCUGUAACUACAGAAACUAAUCUAAAAUAAAUUAUAACACAGGAAAAAUAAAAAUACAUAAUAACUAGAACAGCAGGAAAACAGUAACAAGCUAAACAAAACUAGAAAAGCUUGAUUUCGGCUAAAACUAAUUUUAUUUAAAUCUAAAAAUACACAAACAAGUUCCUAAUUCUAGGCAAGGUCAAAACUAAGCAGUAGCAAAAAAAUCACUAAAAUAAAAUUAUUCUAGCGCCAUUUAUGGCAGAAAAACUAAUCUGACUACAACUAAUAUAAAACUAUUUUUUAAACAUAAACAUGGCUAAACCUAAUUUCUGCAGAAACUACAAGAAAUUUGUAAACUAACAAAAAAAGAAUCAACUAAAAACAAUAAACAACCUAAAAGAUGCAACUAAAACACAAACAUAACUAUUUCUGCUAAAAACAAAAACUAAAACUGUCGUGGAAUUGUCACGUCAGAUGUCCUCGUGAAAGGACUUAGUUGUGGAUCCAUCGCAACUAGGAAGCUUGAAGGGGUUAAUCGGGACAAAGGACAUGAGAGAUUUUAUACUAGUUCGGCCCCUUACGGUGAAGGUAAGGCCUACGUCUAGUUUGGUUGGUAUUGAUGUUUCGAUGACUAGGGAGUGAGAUAUACUAUGCCUGGCUCUCAAUGAGUUGUUUCUUGCCCUAAGCCGCCAGCGGGUCGUUCCCUUAUAUACACGGGUCGACGCCCUGCGGCUUACAGAGUCCCGGCCGGCUUAUAAACAAUGUCCGGCUCGGUGACUAGUUAAGUCUACCUUAUGAUACAAGUAAUAUUAUUACAACAGUUUAUUACAACGGGCCUUAAGUCGCCUGCGGGCCUUAAGCUCUCUAUGAACCGCCAUCUUCAUACUUUGGUCUUGGGCUUCUCUCUGGUGAGUCCUCUUUGCGUAACCCGGCCCCUCCUAGGCAGCUUACACAAAUAGUUAUAUCCCCAACAUUAGGCCCCAGAUUGAUUUGAACCUGUUCAUGUCAAUCUUAAAAUACCUUAUGGACUAUCCUGCAGUCCUUUGUCUUGAAUGAAGAAUUUUAACCCGCCGUGACGUCAUCAUCUGGAUCCGGGUUAAAUCAUCAUGAUGUCAUCUUCAAUAAAAAUUAAUUUUUUACUCCGUCGUAUCUUGAACGGAUCUUUGUCUUUACUGACCAUCCCGAGAAUCAAGGCGCCAGAGCCGCUGGAUAAUAAAUGUUAUCUCCUCGUCUUUCGCGCCCUCUCGGUCAGUCUUCCCUUAUAAAUAGGGCGAUCUAGGUCUUUUCCCCAGUCGUCUUCUUCCUCUCCUCUUUGCCACUCGAGCUUCGCUGCUGUCGCCAUCGACUUCCUCAUCUUCAUCGACUCAGGCCGCUGCAUCGACCUGACCUUGACCAGAGAUCGACGGCGAACCUCCGCAGCUCAUCUGCAUCUAUGAGUUCCUUUCAUUCCCUUUCUCAGAUCUGCAUUAGGUCCUUAUCGAGUUCGUCGGUGUUCAUCAUUGGCCGACACCAAAUCCUUGCUAGUUCCUUCCAAUGCCCUGUUUAGAUCGUGAAAACCACGUAGAACUGCUGCGGUGUUUGUUUGUGUUGAUCUUGCAUAAAAAUAGAUCUCCUUUCCCUUGUUUAGGAACCCUCUUCGAGUGCAUGAACUUCUCUACCUCGUUUUAGGUCUAGAAAAUUUCCUUUCAGAGCAAUAUUUUGAUCCAGAGUAAUAACUAUUAUCUGUGAAACUUGCUUUUAUCACCCGAAAAACCUCUUCUGGUAAAUGCUCGGAAAUACAACCGCCGAGGUGUCCGGCUUAAAUGACACAGAACUUUAAUUGCUCCUCAUGACCUGGAAAAAAUUGUGAACUGCACUUGAUACUUGUAGCGGCUUAAGUAUUGUUGCAUAGUCAUCCUUACAUCAUUAGGCCCCUUAUUAAGCCGCCACUUUCAAUAAUUAGAAUCUUUUUCCCAGGUUAAAAUUGAACCGGAUCUUCUUGUUUUUCCAUAGGCCAAUUGCUGCGAUGGCUCCUAAGGCUACCAAGGCCCCUGUAACUUGCAAUUGGGUUCCAUCCAUAGUUACCAAUAGAAAACUAGCUGCGUUUGUGAAGUCUGGGCAUCUGCCAAAAAAGGAUGUCAUGUCUUACCGUGCCCCUGACCCGUCUGAAGAAAAGCCUCAUCCCAAAGCAGGGGAAGUAAUAAUUUUUAUGGAUCAUAUGAGCCAUGGAUUUUCUCCUCCCAGCUCAAAAUUCUUCAGGGAGGUUUUGAAUUUCUUUGACCUUAGACCUCAAGACAUCGGACCCAAUUCCGUGUCAAAUAUUUGUAAUUUUCAAGUCUUCUGCGAGGUGUACCUGGGUGAGGAGCCAAGUCUGCUAUUGUUCAGGGAACUUUUUUACAUGAACCGGCAAAAUGAAUGUGCAAACGGGCCCAGUCUUGAGCUUGGCGGCAUCUCAAUCCAGCGACGGAGAGUCUGUCUUUUCCCUUAUGCUGAGUUACUGAGUCACCUUAAAUCCUGGAACCAGACAUGGUUCUACUUUGAGGACACUUCUCCGGCUGAUGAAAAACCUCUGCCCGACUUUCGUGCCCUGCGCCUUGAGUCCAAUCAUCCACUACCAGACAAGCUGACAACCCUUGAACGCGUGCCUCUUAGUUCCACCAUCAAGAAGAUUAAAGCUCUAUUGGGAAAUGGUUUAAACGGCAUCGAUCUGGUCUGAGUCUGGGUCACUUGGCGUAUACUUCCAUUAAGCCGCCGCCCCGGCUUAAUGUGUACUUAUACUGGAGAAAAGAAUGAUCCGCUACGCCAUAGCCCUGAUGACUUACCAGAUGAUGUGGUGGAUGCUACAACCCAGUCACUGCUGAAGGAGGGCACUGUGACGAGCAACGCCUUCGGCUUACUUUCAUUUUGCAAGAAUAACCCAGCCCCUGCGGUAAGUUAUGAAUCGUAACAAAUGUUUACAGAUAUAUUAUACCUUUCUUGAUACUCAUAAUUCUUUAACUUUUUCCACAGACCAGUGAUGACUUCUGGAAGGUCAAAUAUGACCAUGAAGCUGCCAAACAGGCCAGGACAACCAAGAAAGCUGAACGGAAAGCUGCCAAGGUAGGAACCUCAAAGAAGAAGAAACCCAGCGCAUCCGACUUACUCAGAUUGGAGGAUAGCUCUUCGGAUGAGGAAGAGGUAAUCUUUAAAUUUUCUUAAGUCCCUUCUUAUCACCUGUCUGAAAUUUUAUACCUUCAGGAGGAUACGAGGAACAGUCGAGCAGCCAAUGAAGAGGUAACUAUAAUCUCCUCUAACUCAGAGCCUUUGCCAAAGCAAAAGAUCCGAAGGGUGACUCGGAAAGUAAGAUUUUCACAUGCACUUGCUUAUCAAGAUCCUCAAUUUCUUUUGAAGCAACAACAACUUGAGAACCGGAGGCAAACUCAGGCCACUCAAGACGCCGAACUCUCCUCCGGCUUACCUGAUGUAACCAAGAAGUGUCGAACCGAGGUUACCUCCAAUUUACAUUCUGCUUUUCCUUUGGCGAGUCUAAUUCGCCAACCUCUCAAUUCAUUUGACUCCAAUUAUCAGGAUGCUUCUCCGUCUUCCGACGAGUCGAUGCAAUCAAACAUGCCGGUUUUUAAAACAGCUCCCGGGUAAUGCAACCUUUCUUACUUUAAGUUUUUCCAUACUUAUACGUCGAUACUCAUCCUUCCACUUUGAUUGACAGCCUUCAAGUGAAGCCUAGCAAGAGGGAAAAGAAGAAUAAGCCGUCCCAAGACCCGGUGGUCCCUGAAUCGACAAUUGACUCAUCCGUUCCUAACGGCUCCAGUCAUCAGCCACCGCCUGAACCGGCUCUUGAUAUUCCAGUGUCAACCUCUGACCCACCUACAGAAGACGUUGUCCACAAUUCUGAUAACCCGGAAAUUCAUAGCCCGGUCAAGACAACUGAUCCAGAAGUUGUGUUUCUGAAAAACCAAUAUGUUGAACUGGGCCAGCCCACUGUUCUUGCUCAGCGCACUGCCAAGGAGGAGUUUCCCAACGUCGGAAAGCUAAACAAGAUAUCACUUAUUAUGCUCACCUAAGCAUUGGUGAUAUAGUCUCGGGUUAUCUGAACCAAGUGCACAAGAGCUGUGACCUGGAAAUUGACAUGGUGAAGCAAAUACAUCAUAAAUCUGAGGUAUAACUUUAACUUUUCCUGAACCUUACUUACUGUACCAGCCCCCAAGUCUAUCGUUUAUGAAUGAAUAUGCUAUAGACUUAGAAAUCUACUUACUACUAGUUUGUCCGGUUUAAAGUGAAUAAUUUUAACCUGUUGAUAGCAUGAAACUUUGAAUUGACACAUUAGUCCCCAAGUGUCAAGUAUCUUUACUUGUAAAUUGCUUGAGACUUUAAUAUAUGUGACCCGGCAAGAGAAGGUUUACAAUUCUUCAGCAUACAUUAUCCCCCAAGUGUCAAGUAUCUUUACUUGUAAGGUGCUUGAGACUUUUAAUGUUACCUUAUAAUCCUUACCAGAACCUGGUGUCAAUGCAGGUCACCAUAAGUCAAUUUGAAUCGGAGAUUGCUGACCUGAAGAGCCAGCUGAAGCUUCAAGAGCUUGAAACUCAAAAAGCAAACUCCAAGUUUGAAUUUAGCAUCUCUGAACCAGAGAAAUUGAAGAAAAAUUUUGAGUCGGAGAAAAAAGCUUGGGUUGAUGAAAGGGCUUCAUUAGUGGCUCGGGCCGAAACGGCAGAAGCAUCACUUGCAGAGGCAACAACCGAACUGUCCGACUUAAAGCGGCAGAUAUCCCAAAUGGUCUCAGCCAUCUUUGGUAAGUCACUCUAAGCCUUUAAACAUUGUAAUCUUCCAAGAUUUAGUGUGACGAGUAUCUCCAGCUUAUUGUUAUGCUUGUGACCAUAUAGGCCCCAGGAGAACCAACCUCAAGCAAAACAUGCUGACCAAGCUCAAGGCGGUUUACACCCUUGUGGAGCAGCUGUACUCCAGGUCACAACGUGCCUUGGCCGUUGUAGCUUUAUCAACUCCACAUCCCCGCCUUCUGCAAGAUGUAUUGAAGAGCCUCGCUUUUCUUCCUCAGCGGAUCCAAGAUUUAAGGCGGGUGUCCUCAAGAGCCGAAGCCGUAGCCGCAUUGAGUCGGGCCAAAGCAUGGCUCCCAGAACUAGACCCGGCCGACCUUGCCCUUGAAUACCCAAGUCUGAAGGAGGACGACAUUGCCUUUGAUGACCAUGACUUCAACGCCUGUGUCAAAGCCAUUCGUCCCGUGGCAACCCUUAUUGGAAACGACACAGAUCUUAGCAAGUAUGCACCGGCUUAUGACAGUGAAAACCGGAGAAUCCCAAACGCUCCAUAUUAUCAAAUCAGCCUGAUCCCUCCAAUUCGUAAGCAUACUUUCCCCCCUGAAGUGGACCCAGCCGGUUGAAUAGAUGCUGAAGCUGAAUUUAAAGCUUUGAGCAGUAUUGAUUGGGCCUCAUCAACUUUCCAGGACAAAACCGCCGACGGAGAAGCGGAGAAGGAUAACCCGGAGCCCUCAAGCCCGUCAAAGGAGUAAAUCGCCAAGUGUUUGGCCAAAAAACAAUGCUUCAUCAAUUUCAGACUCGGGGAGUCUUGUAAUAGGGUAGAAAAAAAACUUCCCCAUGUCUAUCAUGCCUUUGUGCAUGCUUAAUACUUUUCGUAAGCUGCCAUGGCUAUAUAUUUCUGGCUUUUGCUUCCUUUGUGUUUUAAACUUUCCUUGCCUUUUUCUGCAAUCCUUGGAUAAUCUUCCCGGCUCAUAUAAUGUUUACCUAGCACUUAACAACCUGGGGUGACGAAUAUUAAACCGUCAAGACAAAAAACAUCUAAAAUGCUUUUCACAAGGUUUCAGGAUAAUCAAAAUACUUUACAGGCUUCUGAUUCGGAUACGAUAAGUAAACUGUUCCAAAGGGGUUAAGCUAAGAUUCAGAUACGAUCAUAUAGCCCCCAGUGGCUUGGCAAUGCCGAUCAAGUGGGUAUCGACAACUAUGUUCUCUUUGGUUCGAAUACGACCUAUGUUUGAAUAGGAAGCCCCCAAGUGACCAUAUGAUUUGUUUAAUGAUGUUGAUUCGUAUACGAUCCACGUCAGACCUAAAGGGGUUAAGCUGUGAUUCAAAUAUGAUCAGGAAGCCCCCAAGUAGGCUUGGCAAGUAUUCCGAUCAAGUGGGUAUCGACAGCUAUGUUCUCUUUGGUUCGGAUACGACCUAUGUUUGAACAGGAAGCCCCCAAAUGACCAUGACUUGAUUCAGAUAUGAUCAUAAGCCGGACCAAAGGUAAAGCCGGAUUCAGAUAUGAUCCGGUCCCUAUUGGUUGUUUCCACCACCUGUCAAAAAGUCAUAUACACUUUUUUGAGGGUGAAAAAAGGACAGAGGUCCUGCUUUAUUACUUUAUAUAAUAUGUACAUUGUCCAAAAAAUAUGUACAUCUAAAGAGCCGGUGGCUUAAGUAUAAUAAGGCCGAAGAUGGGCUAUAUUCCACGGCCGGCGGGUCUCCUCCUCCGAUUUACCUGAAUCCUUGUGCUCUCGAAUAUCAAUGAGGUAGUAUGACCCAUUGUGCAGAUUCUUGCUGACCACAAAAGGUCCUUCCCAAGGAGGGGAUAGCUUGUGCAUAUCGGACUGAUCCUGGAUGAGCCGGAGCACUAAAUCGCCUUCCUGAAAUGUUCUGCUUCUGACCCGGUGGCUGUGAUAGCGACAAAGGUCUUGCUGGUAAAUCGCCGAACGGGCUAUUGCCAAGUCUCGCUCCUCAUCCAACAAGUCAAGAGCCUCCUGUCGAGCCUUCUCAUUAUCAGCCUCAAUGUAAGCCGCCACACGGGGCAAAUCGUGCUGGAUAUCAUUUGGCAGAACUGCCUCUGCUCCAUAAACCAUGAAAAAAGGCGUGUAACCCAUUGAUCUGUUAGGCUUAGUGUUGAUGCUCCACAGCACAAAGGGCAACUCUUCCACCCAACAACCCAGAGUCCGCUGUAAAGGGACCAAAGCCGUGGUUUGAUACCCCUUAAGAUCUCCUGAUUAGCUCUUUCUGCUUGACCAUUGGAUUGAGGAUGAGCAACAGCUGAAACAUCAAGCCGGAUAUGUUCCCGUUGACAGAACUCCCCCAUGGCACCCUUGGAGAGAUUAGUGCCAUUAUCAGUUAUGAUGCUAUGUGGAAAACCAAAACGAAAGAUCACCUUUUUGAUGAACUGAACUGCUGUGGCCGCAUCACACUAACUGACCGGCUCUGCCUCAAUCCACUUUGUAAAUUUAUCCACUACCACUAGGAGGUGUGUCUUUUUAUCCUUUUAGACCUUUUAAAAGGUCCCACCAUGUCAAGCCCCCAGACUGCAAGCGGCCAAGUAAUUGGAAUCAUGCUCAAUUCCUGAGCCGGCACAUGAGCUCGUCGUGAGAAUUUUUGACAUCCGUCACAUUUGCUAACAAGUUCUUCUGCAUCAGCAUGAGCCGUCAGCCAAUAAAAACCAUGACAGAAAGCCUUGGUCACCAGAGAUUUUGAACUGGCAUGAUGACCACAAUCUCCUUCAUGGAUUUCUCGAAGUAUCUCGUGACCCUCUGCAGGCGACACACAACGCUGGAACGCCCCUGUGACACUGAGAUGAUGUAACUCGCCGUUAACAAUUGUCAUGGAUUUGGACCGCCUGACAAUUUGUCUCGCCAAGGUCUCAUCCUCAGGCAGCUCUCCCCGGGUCAUAUAAGCCAAAUAUGGCAAUGUCCAAUCCGGGAUGACGUGAAGUGCUGCCACCAACUAUGCCUCCGGGUCUGGCACUGCAAGCUCCUCCUAUGUAGGUACCUUGACAGAAGGAUUAUGUAAAACGUCAAGAAAGGUGUUAGGCGGCACCGGCUUGCGCUGAGAGCCCAACCGGCUUAAAGCAUCAGCCGCCUCAUUCUUCCUUCUGUCAAUGUGCUCCACCUGAUACCCUUUGAAGUACCCAGCUACGACAUCAACUUCAUGGUGAUAAGACACCAUAAGGGGAUCCUUAGAAUCCCAUGUGCCUGAGACCUGUUGAGCCACGAGGUCUGAGUCGCCCAAGCACCUUACCCGUCUUAAAUUCAUCUCCUUAGCCAUCCGGAGACCAUGGAGCAAGGCCUCGUAUUCAGCUGCAUUGUUAGUACAAGGAAACAUGAGCCGGAGCACAUAACGAAAUUUAUCACCUCGUGGGGAAGUUAAGACAACUCCAGCCCCUGAUCCUUCUAACUGCCUGGACCCAUCAAUAUGAAUAGUCCAAUACAUAUUGUCCGGCUUCUCCUCAGGUGCCUGCAACUCUGUCCAAUCAUUGAUAAAAUCCACCAAGGCCUGAGAUUUGAUGGCAGUACGGGGCAUAUACUUUAAACCAUAAGGCCCAAGAUCAAUGGCCCACUUGGCGAUGCGUCCUGUAGCUUCCCUAUUCUAAAUGAUAUCUCCCAAAGGAGCCGAGCUCACCACCGUUAUAGGGUGAAUUUGGAAGUACUGCUUCAGCUUCCGGUUUGCCAUGAACACACCAUAAACAAGCUUCUGCCAAUGUGGAUACCUUUGUUUAGACUCAAUGAGCACCUCGCUGAUGUAGUAAACCGGCCGUUGAACCGGAUGCUCCUUGCCUUCCUCCUUACGUUCUACCACGAUGGCAACACUGACAGCCCAUGAGUUAGCAGCCGCAUAUAACAAUAGCAGCUCUUUAUCAAUGGGAGCUGCAAGAACCGGUGGCUCAGACAACUGUCUCUUUAAAUUUUCAAAGGCAGUGUUAGUAGCAUCGCUCCAGACAAAAGUGUCUGUUUUCUUCAUCAUCUGAUAUAGCGGUAAGGCCUUCUCUCCUAACCGGCUUAAGAACCGGCUUAAAGCAGCAACCCGUCCCGCCAGGUGCUGAACAUCAUUGAUACAUGCCGGCUUAGCCAGAAAGGUAAUCGCCGUGAUCUUCUCCGGAUUAGCUUCAAUGCCUCUAUUUGACACCAGAAAACCCAAAAGCUUACUUGCAGGUACACCAAACACACACUUGGCCGGGUUAAGCAUCAUCUUGUAAACCAGGAGAUUGUCAAAGGUCUCUCUCAAGUCGGAUAUUAAAGUUUCCCUUUCUCUGGACUUCACCAUGAUGUCAUACACAUAAGCAUGAACAUUGCUCCCAAUUUGAUCGUGCAAAUAGUUCUGCACGCAUCGCUGAUAAGUUGCCUGGGCACUCUUGAUCCCGAACGGCAUAGAUACAUAACAGAAGGCCCCAAACGGAGUGAUGAAAGCUGUCUUCUCCUAGUUCUUAACCGCCAUCUUAAUCUGAUGAUAGCCAGAGUAAGCAUCCAAAAAGCUCAAACUUUCACAACCCGCCGUAGCAUCAAUGAUUUGAUCAAUACGGGGGAGAGCAAAGGGAUCAGCCGGGCAAGCCUUAUUUAAGUCUGUGUAAUCCACACACAUCCGCGAGGUGCCGUUCUUCUUGAGCACUAGCACCGGGUUAGCCAACCACUCCGGAUGAAAAACUUCAACAAUAAACCCGGCCGCCAAGAGCCGGGCCACCUCUUCCCUAAUGGCUGUCUGUCUCUCUUCAUUGAAUCGUCGGAGAAACUGCCUGACCGGCUUAUACUUCGGAUCAAUAUUGGGAGUGUGCUCAGCGUGUUCCCUCGGUACACCCGGCAUGUCAGAAGGUUUCCAUGCAAAGAUGUCCCGGUUCUCAUGGAUGAACUCGAUGAGCGCGCUUUCCUAUUUAGGAUCCAAAUUGGCUCUAAUACUGAACUGUUUAGAGGCGUCUCCCGGGGUGAAGUCGACAAGCUUUGUCUCAGCGGCCGAUUUAAACUUCAACGCCGGGUCAUGCUCAGUAGUUGGUUUCUUGAGGGAGGUCAUAUCCGCCGGCUCAACAUUGUCUUGAUAGAAUUUGAGCUCCUCCGCAGCACAGGCCGUCUCAGCGUAAGCCGCGUCGCCUUCUUCGCAUUCCAAGGCCACCUUUCGACUCCCAUGUACGGUGAUGGUGCCCUUGUAACCCGGCAUCUUGAGUUGUAAGUAAACAUAACACGGCCGUGCCAUGAACUUAGCAUAAGCCGGUCGCCCAAAUAGAGCAUGAUAUGGGCUCGUGAUCUUGACCACCUCAAACGUCAACUUCUCAGCCCUGGAAUCAUACUCAUCUCCAAAAGCCACCUCUAAUUCAAUCUUACCAACUGGGUAAGCCGACUUACCUGGAACUACCCCGUGGAAAAUAGUGUUGGAUGUCCUCAGAUUCUUCUCAGUCAACCCCAUAUGUUGGAAGGUCUCAUAAUAAAGGAUAUUGAUGCUGCUACCUCCGUCCAUGAGUACUUUAGUGAAUUUAUAUCCACCAACCUGGGGUGCUACAACCAAGGCUAACUGACUCGGAUUAUCAACUCGUAGUGGGUGAUCCUCUCUGCUCCAAAUGAUAGGUUGCUCUGACCAUCUCAAAUAACGAGGGACCACCGGCUCAACCGAAUUUACAUCCCUCUUAUGAACCUUCUGGUCACGUUUGCAUAAGCUAGUGGUGAACACAUGGUAUUGCCCACCGCUCAACUGUUUCGGCUGGCUCUGGUAACCUGACUGCUGCUGCUGCUGUUGUCCUCCUUGACCAGCUUGCUGUUGAUUAUUUCCACCCGGGUGUCCCUGAAAACCGGAAUUUGAACCGCCACCCGGGCCAUGAAAGCCACCGGCCCCUGAACCGCCACCAGGUCCAUGACCACCCGGGCCAUGAAAGCCGCCACCCGUUUUUAAAUGCCUUCAUGAUCGCACAAUCUUUCCACAGGUGCAUAGCGGGGUGCUCCCCGGUGCUGUGUUUCAGACAGGGCUCGUUGAGUAGCUGCUCAAGAGAUGGACCUGACCCGCCAGUUCGAGGCCACUUACCCUUGUGUCUUUGAUUGUUACCCUGUGUACUCGCGUUAGCCACAAGCUCCGGGCUGCCGUCCGCCUUACGCUUAUUGCCGCCUUGAUUCCCCUGGUUGUGCUGUUGACCCUUUGCAUUACCGUUCCUUUUACCCUUCCCUGUCUUCUCAUCAUCAGACGCAGGGUCCUUGGUAUUAUCAAAAUCGGCAUAUUUGACUAAAGCCGCCAUCAGCGUUCCCAUAUCGGUGCAGUCAUGCUUAAGGCGUCCCAAUUUCUGCCUCAGCGGCUCAAAGUUGCAAUUUUUCUCCAACAUGAGGACUGCAGAGCCGACAUCCAUCUUAUCAGAUGAAUGAAUUAUCUCCUUGACUCGCUGUACCCAAUGGGUGGUGGAUUAACCCUCCCCCUGCUUACAACUCGUCAAGUCCAUGAUUGACAUGGAUUGCUUACAGGUGUCCUUGAAGUUCUGGAUGAAACAGGCCUUUAACUCCUCCCACGAACCAAUGGAAUUAGGUGGUAAACCUUUUAGCCAAGACCGGGCCGUUCCAUCUAACAUCAUGGUGAAGUAUUUAGCCAUUGCCGCGUCACUGACCUCCAACAGUUCCAUGGCCAUCUCAUAACUCUCAAUCCACGCUCCGGGCUGUAAGUCAGCCGUGUAAUUCGACACCUUUCGAGGCCCCUUGAAGUCCUUAGGCAGGCGCACAAUGCGCAAAGCCGGUACCAAACAAGGAACUCCACUGGUUCUGGUGGCUACUCCCAACUCAAUAGAAGUCGUUGGAUACUCUAGGAUAUCCUGAUGAGCCGCUUGUUGAGCCGCCCGCUCGUUCUCCUGAUGUACUCGGUCUUGCACCGGGUUAUAGCCACCAUGCUGGUUACGGCGUUGAGCGUUGCUUGAUAAAGCUUCGGACUCCAUGUGCCUGUUAUAACUUGGGCUCCGGUUCUGACGAGGCGGUGCUAACCAAGGCGGAGGGGUUGAAUGAAUCCUAUCCCGGCUGUAAGAAUAGGUAUCCUGCUGAGCCAAGGCCGUCUGGACAAGUUCCCUGAUCCUCCGGGUCUCCACUGCUGUUGGAUCAUCACCGUCCACUAGAAGAGCCGCCAGGCGCGCUGACGCUGCAAUUAAGUUCUCCAUGGGGUUGGAAAAGUGACCCUCCGGUACCGGCACAUAAUGCGGCGGCGCCAUGCUCAUAUGAGGAGGUGGCAUCUCCCGACGCUGAGCCGGUCCUCCCGCUCCGGAUGUCAUAAACUGAUUAGCAUCGGGCGGGUUACUUGGGCCGGCUCCGGGUGUAGCAAAAAGAACCCUCGGGUCACAGUUCGGAGGCAACCGGGAUUGGGUCUUCUGGUGGCUCCUCCUCAUUACCUCAUUGGACACGUUUAAACUCAUCAUGAGCUGAUAAGCCUCUGACUGCAACCGCUGUACCCGAGCAUCAAGAGCCGCCCGCUCUAUAGCUAGCCUAGUAUCCUCAGCUGCUAAGGCCUCCUUGGCCUGAGCUAUCUCCUCACGUACCGUGCUACCUCCGCGUCAUGCUCAUCUUUGUUUGUAGGGAUAACCGUGGUGGUAAACAGGGUCGUAAGCUUGUCCAUGAGGUCUAUCAGUACUUGAGCCAGAGGGCGCGCAGGGCCUCCUGCCCCGGCUGCUCCUAACUCCGAAGUAAUUGCGGCCGCGGCUGUAGAGUUUUGCCCGGGUUGGGUCCCAGCCAUAAAGACUCCUGCCCAAUUUGGUGACUCACAGAGGUCCGGAAUACUAAGGCCAUCGAAACAGCCCCCGAGCGCACCGUCUUGAACUCUGAUACAAAGAAUCUGUUGAACCGGUGGACGAAUCGCCGUCAGAGUGGACGGCCAUCUUACCACCAUCUUCAGGACCUUCAGAAAGUUCUUCUCAAUGGAAGCAGCCCACAAAGACACGCUUCAUGCCGGUUUGAACUCGGGCGGGUUUCACAUGUUGAGCCAUCUCGACGAGGUCGGUGCAGUUGUCCGGCUCAGGCCCCGGCUCACCAAUCUGGCCGAUGACGACGUGGAUCCCUCCGAAAGGGACCCUGUACCCGUACUCAAUUGAGCCGGCGUCGGGGCCCCAGCCUUCGUCGUCGAUGUAGAUCUUGCCGCGACGACUUUUGGUCAUCUGGCCCACUACGUAUCCCUUGAGCCCUUCAAAGUUGCCCUUCAAGAACUCAAAUCCACCGUGCGCUGGCCCCACGGUGGGCGCCAACUGUCGUGAAAUUGUCACGUCAGAUGUCCUCGUGAAAGGACUUAGUUGUGGAGCCAUCGCAACUAGGAAGCUUGAAGGGGUUAAUCGAGACAAAGGACACAAGAGAUGUUAUACUAGUUCGGCCCCUUACGUUGAAGGUAAGGCCUACGUCUAGUUGGGUUGGUAUUGAUGUUUCGAUGACCAGGGAGCGAGAUACGCUAUGCCUGGCUCUCGAUGAGUUGUUUCUUGCCCUAAGCCGCCAGCGGGUCCUUCCCUUAUAUACACGGGUCGAUGCCCUGCGGCUUACAGAGUCCCGGCCAGCUUCUAAACAAUGUCCGCCCCUUUGACUAGUUAAGUCUACCUUAUGAUACAAGUAAUAUUAUUACAGCGGUUUAUUACAACGGGCCUUAAGUCGCCUGCGGGCCUUAAGCUCUCUAUGAACCGCCAUCUUCAUACUUUAGUCUUGGGCUUCUCUCUGGUGAGUCCUCUUUGCGUAACCCGGCCCCUCCUGGGCGGCUUACACAAAUAGUUAUAUCCCCAACAAAAAUUAAAAGAAAGAAAAGAACAUAGAAGUUUCUGAGCCUAUCUAAAGCUUAGGCGCAAUAACUAAAACGUGCCCGUAGCUAAUAGAACAAAACCGGAACAGCCCGAUCUAACCGAACCAGUAACUAAACCGCAAAAACAAUUGUAACUAAAACCGGCUAUGAACCGAUCUAAUGCAAUCAACCUAACCGUUCGCUAGAUCUAAUCUAGGCCGCAGAAAUUAGAUCGGACGGCGGGGAGCGGCUCCGGUGACUUAGAGCGGUGGCGACGGUGACGACAGAUGACGGUGGCUUAGGCGAUGGUGGUGCGGUGGCUCCGGUGGUCGGGGAAGACGGCAGAGACGUCGGGCGGCUGCGGCGGGGUGUUGCGGAGGCGAGGGUGGAGUUGGUGGAGCUUGGGGCUGACGGAGGCGAUCGGGGCGAGCUCGGGUGGCGGUAAUGGCGCGGCGGAGGCUUCAGGCUCCGGCGAGAGAUUGCAAGGCGAGGGUGCGUCGGGUGNNNNNNNNNNNNNNNNNNNNNNNNNNNNNNNNNNNNNNNNNNNNNNNNNNNNNNNNNNNNNNNNNNNNNNNNNNNNNNNNNNNNNNNNNNNNNNNNNNNNNNNNNNNNNNNNNNNNNNNNNNNNNNNNNNNNNNNNNNNNNNNNNNNNNNNNNNNNNNNNNNNNNNNNNNNNNNNNNNNNNNNNNNNNNNNNNNNNNNNNNNNNNNNNNNNNNNNNNNNNNNNNNNNNNNNNNNNNNNNNNNNNNNNNNNNNNNNNNNNNNCUUGGAGAAGGGGGGAAUUGGGUGAGGCGAUGCCGCGAUCCCCGGGAUUCGGCGGCGGCGGAGCGACUCCGGCUCGUUUUUGUGGGCGAGGGGAAGAAGAGGGCGUGAGCCCCGCGUUCAGUGAGAGAAAGAGAGGGGGGUUUGGUCGGGCGACCGAAGUGGAGGUGAUUCGGGCGGGGCGCUGCGCUGGCUGGGCUGGCGGCUCAGGCGCGCUGAGCUGCGGCCUCGCCAGCUGGGCCGUCGGCCUGGCCAGCUCGGGGGGCGUUUUCUCUUUUUUUUAGAAUAACUAAAGAGAUAAAAACUAAUAGAGAAAAAUAUUUUUUUAUAUAGGACAUACAUAUAUUAAAAUUCUCAGGGAAAUUAAUCCUACAACGUGGAUAUUUUUCCAGGGGCAAAACACAGACUAAAAAAACAUUUUUCUGAAAAUCCCAAAUAAAAUUCAAAUUUGAAUUCAAACUUUUUGGCAAUAUUUUCUUCUGACAUUUUUUUGGAGUGUCAUGUUUACUCCUCUCAUACUUUUGCUCAAUUAUUUUUCAGGCACUUUUUUGAAAUAAAUUUCAAUUGCCAAUCAAGUUCAAAUUCAAAAAAAACUCCACUGCCUCUGAAAAUUUCAAAUGCCACUCAAUUUCAAACAAUAUGCAUAGAUGCUUAGCUAAAAUUGUAAAACAUUCCAAACUGAAAAUUUGGGAUGUUACCAACCUACCCAACUUAAGAUGAAUCUCGCCCUCGAGAUUCGGGUUGGCCAGCAAAUAGGUGCGAAUGGUCUCGGCGGAGAUCUUCUUCUCACUCCCAGGUGGCUUCCUCCUCGGAAUGGUGACUCCAUAGAACCUUGCAAAACUAGAUGAUCUUGCUGUGAGUAACUCUGUUUGCAGUCUCGAGAAUUCUGAUGGGUUUCUCCUCAUAAGUCCGAUCACUGUCGAGCUGUAUGGCCUCUAGGGGCACCGUGUCUCUCAAAGGAAUAUCGGCCAUCUCAGCAUGGCAUUUCUUCAGCUGGGAAAGAUGGAAGGCAUCGUGAACUCCAGACAAUCCUUCCGGAAAUUCCAGCUUGUAAGCAACUUCUCCACGAUGUUCAAGGAUUUUGUAGGGGCCAAUGAACCCGGGUGCCAACUUUCUUUUAAUACCAGACCUCUUGAUUCCAUGAAGUGGGGACACACGGAGAUAUGCUCGAUCUCCCGCUUCGUAUGUUACUUCCUUGCGUUUACUGUCGGCAUAACUCUUCUGGCUCGACUGAGCUACCUUGAGUCUAUCUCGAAUUAGCUUGACCUUUUCUUUGGAGUCUCUGAUAAGAUUGGGACCAAGAAGUUUUCGGUCUCCAACAACAUCCCACAACAAGGUUUUCUCCACCUCCUUCCAUAUAGAGCUUUGAAAGGGGCCAUCUUCAGACUGGUGCGAUAGCUGUUAUUGUACAAGAACUCUACAUAUGGCAAAUUAUCAUCCCAACUAGACCCGUAGUCUAGCGCACAAGCUCUCAACAUGUCCUAUAGAAUCUGGUUGACUCUCUUGGUCUGUCCAUCUGUCUGCGGAUGAAAAGUUGUACUGAACUCGAGCCUCGUGCCCAAAGUUUCAUGCAACUGAUUCCAAAACUUUGAGGUAAAUUGUGUUCCUCUAUCUGACACGAUACUCCUCGGAACUCCAUGCAGACAUAUGAUCCUGGUCAUGUAUAUCUUAGCUAACUUAGCGCUGGUAUAGGUAUUCUUUACGGGAAUGAAAUGAGCUACCUUGGUCAAGCGAUCAACCACUACCCAGAUGGAAUCAUAACCCGAACAGGUCCUGGGUAAUCCUUUGAUAAAAUCCAUUCCAAGUUUCUCCCAUUUCCACUCGGGAAUCGGCAGAGGUUGAAGUAACCCUACUAGCUUCUGAUGUUCCGCCUUUACUCGCUGGCAAACAUCACAUACUGUUAGGUACUCGGCAAUAUCCUUCUUCAUACCUGUCCACCAGAAACUUUCCUUCAGAUCUAGAUACAUCUUGGUGUUACCUGGGUGAAUUGAGUACGGUGAAUCAUGAGCCUCCUGAAGAAUUAGCUUCCUGAGUUCGGGAUCAUUGGGUACAUAAAUACGAUCCUUGAACCGUAUAGCUCCAUAUUCAUCCUUACGAAACCCUUUAGCUUUUCCUUCAUUCAACCUUUUCUUUAUCUCAUCAAUUUCCUUGUUCGACUUCUGGGCUUCAUGAAUUCUUUCAGCCAAAGUGGACUAAACUUCCAUUCCGGCAACAUAUUCUCUCGGAACUAUGUCCAGUCAAAGGUCUCCGAGGUCAUCGACUAACUCCUGGGGUAACUCUCCCGUUGUAAGAGUAUUCACAUAACUCUUACGGCUCAAGGCAUCUGCUACAAAUAUUAGCCUUUCCUGGGUGGUAAUGCAAUCUCAUGUCAUAGUCCUUGAUUAACUCUAGACAUCUCCUCUGCCUGAGGUUCAACUCCUUCUACGUGAAAAAUAUACUUCAAGCUCUUAUGAUCCGUGUAAAUAUCACAACUGUUUCCGACAAGGAAAUGUCUCCAAGUCUUGAGUGCAUGCACUACGGCUGCUAACUCCAGAUCAUGUGCGUAAUUCAUCUCGUGAGGUCAUAGCUGUCUAGAGGUAUAAGCUACAACCUUUCUUUCAUGCAUGAGUACUCUUCCAAGUCCCUGAUGAGAAGCGUCACAAUAUACUAGGUAAUCCUUGUGUAUGUCUAGAAAAAUUAGCACCGGGGCUGUAACCAAAUGUUUCUUCAAUUCCUGGAAAUUGGCUUCACAAUCCUCGGUCCAAAUGUACUUGGUGCCUUUAUUCAACAUCUCAGUCAUGGGCUUGGCAAUCUUGGAGAAACUCUCAAUAAACCUCUGAUAAUAUCAUGCGAGUCCGAGAAAACUGCGGAUCUCCUUGACUGAGGUGGGUAACUGCCAAUUGGUGACUGAUUCAACCUUGGUGGGGUCGACUGCUAUUCCUUCUCCUGAAAUAACAUGUCCGAGGAAUCCGACUUCCUUCAACCAAAAUUCACAUUUGCUAAACUUGGCAUAUAGCUGAUGUUCUCGGAGUUUCUCCAGAACUAGACGCAAAUGUUCCUUAUGCUCUUCCUCGCUCUUAGAGAAAAUCAGUAUAUCAUUGAUGAACACCACGACAAACUUGUCCAGAUAUUCCAUAAAUACCUUGUUCAUCAAACUCAUAAGAUAUUCCAGAUAUUCCGAAUGGCAUGAAGGUAUACUCAUAUAAACCAUACCUGGUGGUGAAAGCUAUUUUGGGUCAAUCCUUUUCAUGGAUCUUCAACUGAUGAUACCCGGAUCAAAGGUCGAUCUUGGAGAAUUCUUUGGCUCCAACUAGCUGAUCAAAUAAAUCAUUAAUCAUCUUUAGAGGGUACUUGUUCUUGAUGGUCGCGUCGUUCAAUGAACGAUAAUCCACGACCAUUCUCAGGGUUCCAUCCUUCUUCUCUACCAAAAGGACUGGGCUCCCCAAGGUGAUGAGCUUGGCCGAAUAUAUCCCUUCUCCAAUACCUCAUUAAUUUGCUUCUUGAUCUCUUCCAAAUCAUUCGGGGGCAUCCGAUAAUGCCUCUUGGAUAUUGGGGCUGUGCCGGGCAAUAACUCAAUAAAGCAUUCAAUGUCUCUGUCCGGUGGCAUUCCUGGUAAUUCCUCCGGAAACACAUCGGGAAAAUCCUGCAGUACCGGCACUUCCUCCUGAACAACUCCCGUGAGGGAAUUCAUCUGAUAUUUCAUCCGGGUGGGCCUGGAUACAUACUUGAUCCUCUUCUGCUCCGGGGUGGUGAGCAGAAUCGUCUUGCGGGCACAGUCGAUGUUCCCUUUGAACUUCGUCAACCAAUCCAUGCCUAGGAUUACGUCCAAAUUUUGGGAUUCCAAUAGUUAAAGUCAGCGAGAAAAUUAAGGUUUCUGAUGCCGAGGGUUGAACGACAGCCUAAGCCUGCCAUCAUUUCUCCUCCUGGGGAACUUACCUGAAGAGGGCUUCUAAGGGUUCUAGUGGGCAACCCGUACUUUUCCACAACUACCCUUGAUAUAAAUGAAUGCAUUGCACCAGAAUCAAAGAGUACCAAUACUGGACGUGAAUUCAAUAAAAACUUACCAACCACAAUUUCUGGCUAAUCAUAGACGUCCUCCACGUCAAUGUGAUUCACUUGAGCAUGAGGAAAAGGGUUGGGCUUUUUUGUUGAGCUUCCAUUGUCGUUGUCGUUUCUAUUCCUCUGCUUGGCCUCUGGGCAGUCGGUUGCAUAGUGCCCUAUCUUCUAGCACUUGAAACAUGUGAUGUGACUCAGAUCCUUCUGAGCUGGGGCAGAACGAUGCUGGUUGCCAUUGCCUCCAUUGCCUGACUUGGAGUUGUUGUCGUGGUUACAAUUGUCACUACAGAAAAAAUACACUUCCGUGAUGAUACAUGUUUGUCACAGUAGGUCACAUUUUUUGUCAUGCAUGUACAUCCAUGAUGAUUUUAUGACAGAAUCAGGAUAGUCAUACCUGUGGUGUCGUAGAAGUGAUCCAUGACAUUAACAAAAUUAUCAUCACGGAAGUGUCCACUUCCAUGACGAUAAAUCGCGCGUAACAGAAGUGCUUUCGUCAAGGGUGACCGACAUGUGGCAUCCACCAUAACGGAACGCCGUUAAGCUAUCGGGUCCGGCUUUGGAUCCGAUAACCCGUUAAUUGCCCCGACCAAUGGGGAUUUUCCAUGUGUAAAAUCAUCAUUGGCUGGAGGAAACACGUGUCGGCUCAUCGUUGGGACAGAUGUCAUCCACUCAUUGGACAGAAGGUGCCUAUGAUACCUCGACACGUGGCACGGCCCAACAGAGGCCCAUUCCUGUGAAAAGGCCGGCCCGUUUGACUUGGUCAAAAGGUGGCGGGCCGGCCAACUGAAACCAUGUUAACGGCCUAUUCGCAUAUAGCCCAUUUACAGCCCGCUAACCUAGAGCCCGUUAUAACCUAUCCGAAUUAGGCCCAGUAGCGUCAUAUGGACCAUCCAAUAUGAUUCCAACCCAUUUUAUCUUCCGGCCCAUGUAUGGCCCAUGACGUCUUUUGGCCCAUAUGAGGCCCUUUGUAACUCUUGGCCCAUUAACGACCCGUGGUGAAACUGGCCCAUAAUAAAUAGUGUAUCACUUUAUACCAAUUAACAGCCCAUUAUUCCAUUGGAUUGUUUCCAGCCCAUGUUAUCUUUCGGCCUUCUCAGGGCCCAUUUAUUCUUGGGCUCAUUUCCAGCAUUCGGUUACUUACGACCUGUUACUGUCAUUUUCUGCUUGUGGGCCAAAUUCAGCCCGAUGUUACAGUCGGCCCGUUUGUGGCCCGUUAAUACGUUGAGCCAUUUUCAUAGCGUCAUCAAAUAUGGACUAUUAACAACGUCCCGUUAUGGUCGGCCCAUGAACGGACAAUUCCAUCUCUAGCCCGUUUACGGCCAUAAUGCGGUCUGUUAUUGGCCCAUGUUUGGCCAAUCGAUCAUACGGCCCAUAUAAGGCCCAUUGAUGAUACGGCCCAUAGAAGGCCAUUGUUUCUAUGACCCGUAGAAGGCCCAUUGUUUCUACGGCCCGUAGAAGGCCCAUUGUUUCUAUGGCCCGUAGGAGCCCUAGUGUCACUAUAGUAAAUAUGUAGCCAUAUUGUGGCCUAGUUUUUAAAAAAUAGGUUAUUGCCACUAGCAAACCACGGAAAAAGAACCGCACUGACUACAAGCAAACAAAUAAACAAGACAACAAGGAAAUAAAUAAGCAAGAAACUAACGCUAGGCUAUCACGGCUAUUACACAUAUUACAUCCACUGGGAAUCAAAGUUCGCCACCAGUGCAAAUAUAGGGAACAAAGCAGCAUAUCAUAUACACUGGUUGUCAAAGUUGGCGACCAGCGCAAAUAAACACCGCAGCAAAACAAAUCCAGAACUGAAACCACUUCAGAAGAUCUCAAGAAACAAUAUCCUGGGUACCCAUAAUGCUGGCAAGAUGCUUAGAAAGCUUAUUAACUUUCUCUUGUUUGGUGCUUAAAUCCUCCAGCGCUUGCUAUUGCACCAGGAAGUAUGCAUCUGAAUUUUGCAGGGACUUCUUGAGUCCUUCGGCUUCCUGUCGCAGCACAUCCGAUUGAUGUCUUUCAACUUGAAGUUGAGAUUCAAGAAUACGAACUGAUUUAGGCACCAAGUUCGAAGAGCUUGGGCUAGCAAUAGUGGCCAGUAACUCGAACACUACAUCAAGACAGGACUUUUGGGUUCUCCCACUGUCGUCAAGAUAGUUUUUAUCAGCUUUCUUGGAGACCAACAGGGAUGUCUCACUAUCUUGAACCUUAUCUACAUUACUUCCUUUACCAUUGCAUAACGCGGUAUUGUUCGCCAAUAUUUUGUCCGCAUUCUAAAAGAGAAACAAGCAAACACAUCACAGGUUUACCAUGUUGUAUAUGAAACUCAUUUUGGUAAAUGAGUUCAGUAGUAAAGUGGACAGGAUAACAAAAUGAAACAAACAUAUAUCAAUGUACCAUGGUCACUUUAUGGUCUAUAUCAUUCUAGUUUUUGUUUCCAAAUCAAGAUAGAGACACAGUUCAAAUAAUAUUUGUUCAAGACAAAGCAAAAUAGACAGAAUAUAAGUGUGGGAAACUAUAGAGCAAUAACAACACUUGUAAUGUGCAUGACAUCAGAACAUAACUGUUUAUUUAAUUGAAACUGAAAUCAACAUAGAGCAGGUUACAACAGCAAACCAGUUAAAGAAACAUGUUUAAAACAUACCUGUUGCGCCAUUGGAGUUUCAAUUCCAUCCUUCAAAUUUGAAAAUAGUUGGUAUGAGUAAAUACAGUAAUUAAAGAGCAAAGGAGUAUGAACCAUAGCUACAGAACCUGACCUAAGAACAAAUCUUCUUCUCCUUUAAGCGUUGAGUUGGGAUUCGGAGUGGUGGUCCUCGUGCUUUGGGCACUGCAGUUCCCUUACUAACUGCUCAUGUUUGGGUGCUCAGUAGUGGAGACGGUGUUGUGUCAACUGGAACUGGGUUACUAUCUGCCGAUGUUGGGGUUAGAAGGGGUGUAGCUGGUUCUCUGUCCAACUGGGUAGGGGUACAAUCUGUGAGAGUCUGGGUUAUGUGUGGUGGAUCUGGUCCUUUGGCAAGUACAACCGUGGUUCUAUCUGCAUCAACUGGUAGCACUAUCUUUUCUGAAGACCGUGUUGUUACUCCCUUAGAUACUGCCAUCACCCUCUCCAGAUCAAAUGGCUCAUAGACAAGAAAAGUAAUUGAAAGUAUAGACAUUGUAUGAUAGACAGGUGCAAUGGAUAGUGGGGAAUAAAAGAGGGCAUGAAAUAAUUCACAUUUAUGUUGUCUAACCAAACAGGAUAGCAUGACACAAUUUCACAUAUAUGAUGGCUAACUAAACAGGAUAGCAUGACACAAUUUUACAUUAUGAUGGCUAACUAAAAAAGAUGGAAAGACAUAAUACAAAAUAUGAUGACUAUGUAAACAGGAUGACAUGAUAUAACAAUAUAAUGUGUUUAUUAAAUAGGUUGGCAUGCCAUAAUUCACAUACAUUCACAGAUAGAAUGCCAUAAUUCAAAAUAUGAUGACUGUAAACACUAAACAGGAUGAGAUGAUAUAACUAUAUGAUGUCUUUAUUAAAUGGGUUGCCAUGCCAUAAUUCAAAUAGAUGAUGUGUAUGUACUAUGUAAACAUGAUGUCAUGAUAUAAUUCAAAUAUAUGAUUUAUACAGUAAGCAAGUAAGCAGAUGGCAAUCCAUGUAUGAUGUAAAAACUAAGCAAUGCAAGACAACAUGCAUGACAUGGGUAAUAUAACCCUGCCAAGUUUGAGCAUAGACCUCAAGGGGCAAAUAGGACUGGUCAUCAGUCUCUGAAUCCUCCUCUGAGGAGCUCUCUGUAACCAGCAAGAUGUCUGCUUCAGCAGGUAGCAUUGUCUGCUCUGAAUACCUUGUUUUCACUCCAGAUACUUCUAUCACCACUUCAAAUGGCUGAUGCACAGGAAGAGUAGUUGAAUAUACAAACAUUGUCGACAAAUGGAACACGUAAUACAAAAAACUGAUAGCAUGAUAUAAUUCACAUACAUGAUGAUUGGCUAAACAACAUGACAUUGCAUAAUUCACAUAUAUAAUGCCUUUGCAACAAGAUAGCAUUGCAUAAUUCACAUAUAUAAUGUCUUGCAACAAGAUGGCAAUGCAUAAUUCACAUAUAUGGUAAUUAGACACUGAACAGGUGGCAUUCACACAAAGCAUUUCUAAACUAAUCAAAUGACAUAGCAAUGGAGACACCACACACAUGAUAUGAGCAACAUAACCCUGCCAAGUUAGAGCAUACACCUCAGGGGGGAAUAGGACUAGUCAUCUGUCUCUGAAUCCUCCUCUGAGGAGCUAUCCGUAACCAGCGAGAUAUGCGCUUUGUUAGAUAGCAUAGUCUGCUCUAAAGACCUUGUUUUCACUCCAGAAUUUGCCAUCACCAUGCCAAAUGGCUGGUGCGCACGAAGAGUAGUUGAAUGUACUAACAUUGUUGACAAAUGUAAUAUGUAACGAAAAAAGGAUGGCCUGAUAUAAUUUACAUAUAAGAUGACUGGAUAAGCAGGAUGGCAUUGCAAAAUUCACAUAUAUGAUGCCUGGCUAAACAAGAUGGCGUUGCAUAAUUCACAUAAAUGAUGAAUAAACUAAAUAGAUGGCAUUCGCACAAAGGAUGUCUAAACUAAGCAGAUGACAUAUUUGAUGUAUAAAGUAAGCAAUGCAAGGCACCAUAUGCAUGAUAUAACCAACAUCAGCAUGCCAAGUUAGAGCGAAGACCUCAGGGGGUAAAUAGGAGUUGUCUUCUCCUUCUGAAUCCCCCUCAGAACAUAUAUCUUCUCUCAAUUACAAUCCGAAAUGCGUGGAGGAGGGGCUACCUUUGCGCCUACCAUGGAGCGACGUCUGCAUGAAAUUUUAUUCCCAUGCAAGGCUCGUCUCUUUUGCUCUACCUGUUCAGUUCCAUUGUUUACAAUAACUGUCAUACAUAGGAAUAAAACAUAGUUAGAUUAUGUAAGGAGUGCAUGCAGAAAUCCAAAGUGAUGGUAGCAACCUGUGGAUAGACCCAAAACCAAUAAUAGCAUGCAGAUAAUGGCUUCAGUUAAAAAAUACAGAGAAUGGCUUCUUUACUAUUUGUAUCCCACCCAACAUGAAACUCAUAGUAGACACCGGAGAUUAACCAGAUAGUAGAUAGAUACUAUUGAUUGCAGCCCCGAUAUGUACCCCAGAACCAUUUAAAAACUCAAGUUUGACCAUUAGUUUGGAGCUGAUUCAGAGUCUAAUCAGUGAACAGGACGAUAAAGUAGCAUCUAAUAUUAAGCGAUGCAUAGCGUAAGCAGGCAAGAAAGAGUGCGACCUCUCUUGCAGACCCGUGUAGUCCUCGAGGUCAUCUGCUUGGUUGAUGAUGGUAAUGCACUUUUCAUGGCUACCGGUGGCGGGGAAGAAGAUCUGAGGCGGCGAAAGACAGUCUGGAGGCUGGAUCCCUACUGUGCUGGACCCUUCUAUCGUUGGAGCAGCUGAGCUGGGGUGGACGACGGUGCAGCAGGAGUGGGACAAACCACACAAGGUUUUAUUUGACAACUAUUUGUAAGAGAAGUAAUUCUGUAAGGGCUCGUUUGAAUUGGAGGACUCCAACAAUGCAGGGAUAGGAAAUAGACAGGAAUAGGAUAGGAAUGCACGUGCAAAACAGAGAAUUUAAAAACACAGGAUUUCUGCCAAUCUGGGUGUUUGAUUCACAACAAUUGGAAGAUCACAGGAUGUAAAGAAGCAUGGUGAGAUUAAGUCAAACCAUAAGAAAACAUAUGGUUAUAAUGCUAUUAUGCUACUAUCUCUUAGUCUUGUGCUUCAUGAAUAGGAAUUUGAAAAGGAGGACAAGUGAAAAUUAAAAUUCCUACGUUUUUUCUUUCAAGGAGACACUAAAGGAACAAAUCCUACCGUUUUCCUUUGCUCCAUUCCUUUGAACCAAAUUCAUGAAUAGUAGUACCAUAGGAAACUUUCCAAUUCCUAUGUUUUUCAUUCACUUUUCCUUUCAAGCACUGGCGAUUCUAGUAGGCAGGCUUGAGAAAGGAAAAGCCUACACUAAAAAAUGUUUUUGUGCUACUUCUAUUACUUCGGACCCAGGCCACUGCCCUACUAGCUCAACUCCCAGGGCCAUCGACAAAUGCACAGCUCAAGCGCGCAGAGAUAAAUAAUGAUGACAUUCAAGAGAGUCCACGGAUAGCUAAGUUGCCUGGUACCUCACUGCUUGUCAUAUAGUUGGAUUAAAUAAUCAUAUUUCCCAUUACUACAUGUGCUUAGUGGAUAAUAUAUAUAACAUGUAGAGUAAAAAAGAGAUGCAACAAGUGUACAACCUCUUUGGCGAAGCCAUGUCGAUCUCAGCGUGAUUGGGUUGGCCAGUGAGGAUGCUCCGGCUGACUUGGCUAUUGGAGGAGGGGAAGAAGAUCUUAGGCAUCUGGAGAUGGAGCCCGAGGUACUGCUCCGCUGUGAUGGAGGGUUUUGUCGUUGGAGCAGCUCCGGUGAGUUGUACAAUGCCGAGGCUGAAGCAGGAUAAGAGACACAACGUUAACCUGAGUGGAAUUCUAAUAGCAUCUCCAAUACAUGAUGAAAAAUACAUAACCACAAAGUGCUAUAUGUAAAAUACAUCAGCCGCUCAUCUCUGGACUUAACUGUCGAAACUGAAUUUAACUGUCAAAACUGAAUUUAACUGUCGAAACUGAACUUAAUUGUCAAAACUAAAUUUUGCUGUCGAAACUGAAUUUUAUUGUCGAAACUGAAUGCACUAGCAAGGUGAGGCUACACGUCAGUCGACUGACUUUUUCAUCUUUGGUCAGUCAAUUUUGCAGCCGUUGGAUACGAAAUCAAGGGCCUGCAAUUCAUCUUCAACCUCCACCCCCUGAGCUGCCAGCCACCACCGGCCAAACAUCUGCCCCCCGUCGUCCACGGCCGGCGGUGCGCCGCCCCUCCUGCCCCAAAAACACUCCUCACCGUCGGUCCGCCGCCUCCCCGACCAUCCCUCUAGGCCCCCAUGCCGAGCUUUUUCUCCGGCGAUCCCCAUGCCACCGCCCCACCACCGUCGAUGACCACCGCCCCCACCCUGAANNNNNNNNNNNNNNNNNNNNNNNNNNNNNNNNNNNNNNNNNNNNNNNNNNNNNNNNNNNNNNNNNNNNNNNNNNNNNNNNNNNNNNNNNNNNNNNNNNNNNNNNNNNNNNNNNNNNNNNNNNNNNNNNNNNNNNNNNNNNNNNNNNNNNNNNNNNNNNNNNNNNNNNNNNNNNNNNNNNNNNNNNNNNNNNNNNNNNNNNNNNNNNNNNNNNNNNNNNNNNNNNNNCACCCUGAACCCUAAGAUAGAUAGUGGGGUACCUCUCCGGCGAGCCCCCCUCCCUGUUGCGGCUGGUUCUUCCUUCACCCCGGCGAGCCCCCCCCACCCGUGAAAAUUGACUGACCCAAAAGUCGAUUCACUCGACUGAAGUGUAGCUAAAUCGGAGCAACAUCACAAGCAAGAGCAAGAGCGAGAGCAGCAGCGCGAGCAAGAGCAAUAUCAAGAGCAGAGUAGGCACGGGAUCGAGAGUAAGAGCAGAGUAGCACUGCAAGCGAGAGAUAAAGCAGCAGCAGCUCCUACUGAUGUGGACGUCGCCGCCGAGGGAGCGACACCGUGGAGGAAGUGGCCGACGAUGCCGCCGUGGAUGGAGCCGCGCCAUGUCGGCUCGGGACUGAGCGCCGGCAGCACCGUGAGAUUGAAACAAGAAGAAAAUGCGGCGAUUAGUAUACAACCUCAUUGGUGGCGCCGAUUAGGCUGUAGCUUCAUCCGAGGAAACAGUGAUGAUGAUGCCCUUCUGGUGGUGCAGGUGAAGACAGCGGUGUGGGAAUGGAGGUGGCGCGAAAGAUGAGGGGAACAUCGUGGCAGCUCCUUGGAGGUGGAUGACGGGGUGGCUGAACUGGCGGGACGACGAGAUCGACGACGGAUCCUCAUCCGGUAUGGUGGAUGAGGGACGUCGAGGUGUUGCUGUGGACGACAUCAUUGGGGAAGAGGCUCCGGCUGGGUGGCGAACGAAGGAGGGUGUGGGGCUUCGUCACGGGUUUUCGCGGCCUCGGUGUACGAAUGGGUGGGCGGAUGGGAUGGGAGUGGUGAACCAUGGCUUAGGGACGCGCUUGUCCGAAAUGUGGGGUAAGUUACGAAAGUACCCCCACCGAUAUGAGGCAGUUCUUUCGGUUUAGGGGUACCACGGGCAUUUCACGUGACGGCAUUUCACAGGAGGUGGGGAGUUUUCGUGCGUAUUGUAAUUUCGAAAUAGCAAGGGGCGGAUUGAGAUGGAGGGAGUUGUCGGAGCACAACGAGACAAAGAUAUAUCUUAAAUAUUUCGGGCCAACAAGGCUCGGGUUGAAAUUUCCGGACAAGCCUAACGUGUACUGUACCAAAUCAAUUCGCACUACAAAUGUCAUUCAAAACUUUGAAUUCAUGUUAUGUUCAAUUAAAAUAUUUCACUACGUGUAUAAUGCAUGCAACCUACUACUCAAAUGAAUGUUUUAGUGCAUUCCAAACGUAUAUACUACCGCUUCAAUAUGAACUAAAUUUGAAUUCGUUUCUCUAUUUGAAUAAGAUCUAUAGUAAUGAUUGUUGUGAAGUCAAAUCAUUUUAAUUCGUUUCUCUAUUUUAAUAAGAUCUACAAUCAUCAUUAUUGUCAAGUUAAACCAUUGUUUGUGUAUUAUCUUCACAGCACACCACAUGAUUAGUCUCGAGUUACAUAUGAACUAUGUGUACUAUAUGAGCUCGAACUCGAUUUUUUGAAUCCAAUUUAUGUUGAUUUCAAAUCACAUUACAUUUCUAGCUCUAGCCAGAUCUUCAUAAUCUAAACCAUGUCUCAUAUGUAUAAUGUGUUUAUCACAUUAUGUAUGGUGCCCCGUGAGGGUGUCCUGGAUAAGGGGGUAUCCGGACAGCCGGACUAUGUACUUUGGUCAGACUGUUGGACUAUGAAGAUACAGGAUUGAAGACUUCGUCCCGUGUCCAGAUGGGACUCUCCUUGGUGUUGAAGGCAAGCUUGGCGAUUCGGAUGAUAGAUCUCCUUCUCUGUAACCGACUCUGUGUAACCCUAUCCCCCUCCGGCAUCUAUAUAAACCGGAGGGUUUAGUCCGUAGGACACAUCAACAAUCAUACCAUAGGCUAGCUUCUAGGGUUUAGCCUCUCUGAUCUCGUGGUAGAUCAACUCUUGUAAUACUCAUAUCAUCAAGAUCAAUCAAGCAGGAAGUAGGGUAUUACCUCCAUCGAGAGGGCCCAAACCUGGGUAAACAUCGUGUCCCCAGUCUCCUGUUACCAUUAGACUUAGACGCACAGUUCGGGACCCCCUACCCGAGAUCCGCCGGUUUUGACACCGACAUUGGUGGUUUCAUUGAGAGUUCCACUAUGUCGUCAUGAUAAGGCUUGAUGGCUCGUCUCGUUGUCAGGGACAACAUCUACUCUGGGGGAGCCCUGUACCUAGGCCAAACUCUCCAGCUGGGCGGCUUCAUCAUGACCACCCGAUCGGCAGUCGCGCCGAUGAUCACUUCUUGGGUCAUCGAAAACAGCCUCCACGUCGAUUCGAAAUUCACCGAACAUGGACCCAAUGCAGCUAUCUUCCCUCAAUGAGUUCUUGGAUCGCAUCGCCGCCCUGGGCAUCGCUACGGAUUAUGACUGGAUCGGGCUUAAACCCGACCAAAGGGAGAUUUACUCUCUGCCGGUCACCCAUGAGAUAGCGGUAGUGGAAGAGCAUCAUCCGAAUUCUCCUUCUAUUCUGAGGACGAACUAUGUCCAGAUUUCCAAGCUCCCUGAGCCGGACACCCGCUCGCAGGAGGACAUGGCCCAAACCCCGAAUUCAGAGUCGGGCGGCGGGCCGAAGAAAUUGGGCGACAUCUCGGAGCCCGAGAAGUUAAACUCAGAAGCUUCUUGGCCCCUAGGUUUUGGAUUGGGUCAGGAUUCAAAUUCAAAACCACCCACCCACCUCGAUUUUUUCAAUCUGCUGCAUAUCAGACAAGAGCCACAAGAGACAGUACAUCAUUACUGGGCCAGAUUCCUCCUUGUGUUAAAUAGGGUUAAGGACUGUCGCGAGGAAGACGUGAUCUCCCUCUUUUGCAACAAUUGCACGGACAAAGGGAUCCUCAAUGCUAUAGGUCGCCGUGACAUAGUACAGUUUUGCUAACUUAGCGGCCAUAGUGCAGAAAUACUGUGCAAUGGAAAGCACAUGGAAAACCCAAACAAACUUCUGGGACAAUCCGGCUCUCGAUAAACCCCUCGUCCGAACUAAAAGGGCAAACUCUCGUAAGUUGCCGAUUUAAUUACAAAAAGACCAAAGCCUGAUACAAGGCGUGGAACCAUAUUGGAGGAACGGCUCAAUGGGCCUUGCAAACUCCAGAACGCACCGGACGCCAUACCAACUCAUAGCGUUAGAGCAUGUUGGAUACUCCGGCAGGUAGCGAAGAGUGGCGAGGAUCUCCUCAUAAACCAUACAGUAGAACAACAUCCCGCCGGAAAUAACAAUACAGUAUUGACAGUCUUCGAGACUUUUGCCUCAAACAAUAGGCGCAAGCGAGCUCAACGCAAUCUCGUCGAAGUUUGCCACAUGGCAACAAUAAAUCCAUGGAACGACAUGGCUAUAACCUAUAACGCCAGUGAUGAACCUCAAUUCCGAACAGUCCGGGCACCAGCCGCUUUGGUACUUAGUCCAACCGUGGAUGGCUUCCGGCUCACUAAAGUGCUCAUGAUGGCGGAAGCGGACUAAACCUCAUCUAUGAGGAAACCCUCAGCAAGAUGGAUAUUGACAAGAAUCGCAUUGAGCGAAGCAGCACAACCUUCAGGGGAAUUAUCCCCAGUCGAGAGGCGUGAUGUGCAGGAAAAAUCACACUGGAUGUGGUAUUCGACACGCCGGAGAAUUACAGGUCCGAAGAAAUCACAUUCCAAGUGGCCCCAUUCAGCAGCGGAUACCACGCCCUCUUAGGGUGAGACGCAUUCACGAGCUUCCAAGCUAUACCCCAUUACGGGUACAUGAAGCUCAAAAUGCCCGGGCCCAAUGGAAUAAUCACUCUAGCUAGUGAUUCGAACAUCGCACUCCACGCCGAAAAUAAAACUGCUGCACUAGCUCUGGAGGCAUUAUCAGAAGCCCUCGCGGCCGAAGAACUAACAACGCUGCAAGCCACGGUGGACAAAGACGACGUGAUACUAGACAAGCGACCCAAGUCCACCUCUUUCAAGCCCGCGGAUGAGAUAGUCAAAUUCCAGGUCCACCCAACGGACCCUACAAAGACAGCUUCCAUUGGGACACAACUGAACCCCACAUUAGACGCCGCACUGCGAGAUUUCCUGCGCGAGAAUUGGGAUAUUUUCGCCUGGCAUCCGUUAGACAUGCCGGGCAUCCCACGCAGGUUGGCCGAACACAUCCUCAAUAUUCUGAAAGGAUACAAGCCAGUCAAGCAUACUCUUAGGCGUUUCUCAGAGCCUAAGCGGCUAGCCAUGGGAGAAGAGCUAGCCAAGCUACUCGAGGCUGGGUUCAUCACAGACAUAAAACAUCCGGAUUGGCUAGCAAACCUGGUAAUGGUACCAAAAAAGGACAAAUCCUCACACCUAUGUGUCGAUUUCAAAGACCUCAAUAAGGCUUGCCCCAAGGAUCCCUUCCCCCUCCCCCGCAUUGAUCGAAUUAUCGACGCCACCGCAGGACACGACUCAUUGUGUUUCCUCGACGCAUACUCUGGAUACCAUCAGAUCAAGAUGGCAGAGUCUGACCAAGCCGCAACGGCCUUCAUCACGCCAUACGGCCCCUUCUGUUUCAAUACAAUGCCUUUCGGGCUCAAAAACGCCGGCCCAACCUAUCAACGCAUGAUUCAGACAUGCCUGAAAAAACAAAUCGGUAAAAUAGUAGAGGCUUAGAUGGACGACGUGGUCAUUAAAACAAGACACGUUGAAACUCUAAUAGAUGACUUGAGGCUCAUGUUCGACAACCUCUGAACAUACGACAUCAAUCUCAACCCGGAGAAAUGUGUCUUUGGUGUACCCUCCGGGAAAUUGCUCGGCUUCAUCGUUUCCAAUAGAGGAAUUUAAGCCGGACUAGGCCGGCCCCUCGCUCUGUUACAGUUGGCUAUCCCAACAGACCUCAAGCAGAUCCAGAAAUUAACUGGAUCUGUGGCUGCCUUAAGCCGCUUUAUCUCCCAAUUAGGAGAAAAUGCACUACCUCUUUAUCGCCUUCUUCGACACACCGAAUACUUCGAGUGGACGGAUGCGGCCACGACAGAACUGGAAUAAAUAAAGGCCCUCUUGGUCACCAAUCCAGUCCUGACCGCGCCAAAUACUGGCGAACCCAUGCUAUUAUACAUAGCUACAACACACCAAGUUGUAAGCGCAGUGCUCGUCGUCGAGCGAGAAGCAGACGGACACAGGUUCCCGCUGCAAAAGCCGGUAUAUUACGUAUCCACUGUCCUGACUCCAUGCAAAUCUUGGUACCCACACUAUCAGAAGAUAGCGUCCGCGGUCUUCAUGGCAUCCCGGAAGCUACGGCACUACUUUCAAGAGUGUUCGAUUAUGGUGGCCUCCGAAGUACCACUCAACAAUAUAAUAAACAACCGCGACGCCACCGGCCGAAUUGCGAAAUGGGCUAUCGAGCUCCUUCCGUUCGACAUAACAUAUAAACCACGGCGGGCCAUUAAGUCGCAAGUUCUGGCCGACUUUGUUGCCGAAUGGACAGAAGUCGAACUCCCUAAAGAGUACGGCGCGUACUCCAAUUGGAUCAUGCACUUCGACGGCUCUAAAAUGCUGGCCGGAUUGGGAGCAGGUGUUGUCCUGACAUCCCCCACUGGAGACACGGUUCAAUACAUACUCCAAAUACUAUACUUAAACUCCAAUAAUGCAGCCAAAUACGAGGCUCUGUUGCAUGGUCUUCGGAUGGCAGUCUCCAUGGGCAUCCAACGCCCUGAAGUGCGCGGGGACUCGAACCUCGCAAUAUCUCAGAUAAAUGGAGACUUCGAUGCCAAAGAUCCGAAAAUGGCGGCUUAUCGUAACACCGUCCUCAAAAUGUCAGCUCGGUUCGAGGGGCUCAAAUUCCACCAUGUGGUAAGAGAAAAUAAUCAAGCAGCCGAUAUUCUCGCCCGCAUUGGCGCUAAACGCGACCCCAUCCAACCUAAUAUCUUUUUGGAAAGGCUUUUCAAGCCGUUUGUGGUAUGGGAAGGGGAGUCCAACAAUAUUAGCCCAGCUCUGAACACAACCCCCAGAUUCCAAAUAGUCUGACGUAAUCGGAGGCUCUGCCACCGAAAUAACACCUUCGGCCCAAGAAAUCAUGGCUGUUAUCGCCCCAUGGACCGAGCCCUUCAUGGCCUACCUAAAUAGGUAAGAGCUCCCCGAAGACCAGAAUGAGGCACAUUGCAUUGUGCGGCGCUCUAAAGCCUACAAAGUCCAUGAAGGAGAGCUCUACAAGAAGAGCAGCACCGGAGUGCUCCAACGAUGCAUCUCCGAGGAGGAAGGGCGACAACUCUUAACCGAAAUCCAUGCCGGACUCGGCGGGCACAACACUGUAGCCCGGGCACUUGUAAGCAAGGCCUUUCGGACAGGUUUUUACUGGCCGACAGCCCGGGCAGAUGCACAGUACCUUGUCCAACAUUGCGUUGGUUGCCAACUAUUUGCCAAUCAGAGCCAUAUGCCCCCUACCGCUCUCCAAACAAUCCCCAUAACUUGUCCCUUCGCGGUCUAUGGGCUGGAUAUGGUGGGACCCCUUAAAGGGGGAAGCCAUAAGAAAAAAUAUUUAUUGGUCAUGGUGGACAAAUUCACCAAAUGGAUAGAAGCCAAACAAGUUAAAACGGCCGAAUCCGGACCAGUGAUAGACUUCAUAUCAGGGGUUGUACACCGCUACGAUGUCCCCCACAGCAUCAUCACCGACAAUGGCUCGAAUUUCAUAGCCGAUGAGGUGAAAACUUGGUGCGGCAAAAUGGGCAUCAAGCUCGACUACGCCUCUGUCUAUAACCCCCGAACAAACGGUCAAAUCGAAUGUGCAAAUGGUCUCAUCAUGAGCGGCAUCAAACCCAGACUAGUGCGAUCCUUGAAGGAAUCGAACACACAUUGGGUCGAGGAACUCGACUCUGUACUCUGGGGGCUGCGGACCACGCCGAAUCGUACCACCGGAUACACACCAUUUUUAUGGUGUACGGCGCACAAGCAGUACUACCCUGCAACAUAAUCCAUGACUCACCUCGCGUGCGCAUGUACGAAGAGAAGGAAUCUGAGUUAGAUCGGCAGGACAACUUAGAUGCUUUGGAGGAGGAACGUGACGUCACAAAAGCCCGUUCCACAUUCUAUCAGCAACAGGCUCGAAGGUAUCAAAGCAGAGAAGUACGGGCCAAAACUUAUAACAUUGGCGAACUAGUUCUACGCCUCCCCGAGAAGAAGAAGGACAAGCUCAAACCCAAGUGGGUGGGUCCCUUCAUCAUCGACAAAGUUCUCACCGGAGGAGCGUACUGUAUGUGCAAUGCAUCUGACAACAGACUCGAGCCGAACCCAUGGAACGCGGCCAGACUCCAAAGAUUCUACGCCUAGUGUCGAACUCAGUGUUCGUCUCCUUCCCUCUGCUUCUUUAAUUAUGUUCUUUUUCUUCCUUUCUCGCCCUCUUUUCCCUUUUACGCAUACAGCCUUGCAAAACUGCACGGAUGCCUUGAUCGCUCCGGCCGCACUAUGUGUGCACACUAUACUUGGGGGCUUCCUAUCCAAAAGCUAAAUAUAACUAACUUCAUGGCUUCUCGCCAGCCACAUAUGCGUUUUUCUUCCCAUAUGUGCCUUUUCUUCACCAUUAUAUGCAUCGAUAUGACUUAAGUUUUGGCCAUGCUGGGUUGCCUGGCUCUUGUGUUUAUGCCCUACGUUCCCGUUAAUUUGGCUAGGGCAUAAGGGGAGCACCUCUGCGAUUGUUACUGCCGGUUGAGCCGGAUGUGUACCUCAGACUGGGUGAAGCUGAAAGCUAGCGUUCUUAAGGGAAUAUUUGGUCGGUGAACAAAAGAUGUUCUCAUUCAUUACAACGCAAAUCCCUAGAUGUUCUGUUUCCUGCGCUUUUGUUCGCAGUUCGGACAUGCACAUUGAUGUAUGCACACCCAAAGAAAGGAACCCCUAACGGAACUAUUCUCUCUGGAAGAUGUUUCUUACUAUCCAUGUAAUAUAACAUAACUAGUUGGGUACUUGUCCGUUCAAGCACUUAUGACCCCUACGCCUGGUUUCCAUGCAUACCCCGGUUUUUUAUAACUAUGUGGGUAUUCGGAUACACUCCGGACUGUCGGGUCCGGGGGCUGAAGCGAAAAGGUCCGCCAUGACAAAUGAUUUUCAAUCCGGCUAGGGAAUACAUAAGUCCAUUAAAAUUACAUAGUCAUUUAGACUGGCUGUAUUCUUCCUCUAUACCAUCCAACAGGCUGUCUAGCUUACAAUCCUGUUGGGAAUACUUUGCGGCUAACACUACUUGGUCAUAUACCAGACUUAUAGGUAUCUCUUGCCCAUCUGCCCCCGCUAGUCCGACUUCGGCCAUAUGGUUCGGGUCAGCCUUGGCGUAUCGCGUCUUCACCAUGGCCCACGCUUCCCUAGUACCUUGUCAGCAAGCUGAUAUCUUCCAUAAUCGGAAGCGCUACCGUGCUCCUUUGAGCAUCUCCACAAGCUCGUUCAUGCCUCCUGGCAGGGAAGCGGAUGGCCACAAGGCCUGGGCAAUACCCUGCAUCACCUGCCGUGCUCGUUCGUGCAGUUGUGAAAGAUCUUGCAGCAUAUCACCCACGGAUCCAGGCAUCUCCUCUUCAGGACGCCCUGUCAGCAUACCUGUAGACAUAACUCUGUCAAUACGCUUCCCCGCCGAACUAUACUACAGUUUGUUUCAGCACUUACUAUAAAUGCCGCGUCGAAGCCUCCUAUUCUCCUUCACGGAGUCAGCGAGUAAAGCCCGAACAUCUUUUGAUUCGACCGUCAGUCGGAUAUUGGCAUCUUGGAGAUUAUUUCUUUCUCGAAUAGCCUUAAUCAGCACACGCUCGCCCGCCUUCAGCUGACUUCGCAGAUGUGGCUCAUUAUCUUCCACAAUCUUUGGAUUCUCUCCGGGAUCGUCUGUAAUAUCUUUUGUUAGAUUUGUCAACCAUCCCGAAUAAAUAACUGGUACAAGGAUAGUCUUUCUAUAAGAGGCCCUUUUUGAUUCCUCUUGUUCGGCAACAGCGGCCUUCGGCUGGGCCUUGCAUUCCUCCAAUUCUUGAGAUAAAUGGGUAUUCUUCUCUAUAAGAACCUAUGCAUACAAUGAUCCUUAAAUCAGUUGUGCCAACUGUUUCAAGUCUCAGGGGCUGCUACUACACAUACUUAUCAGAUUUUCUUACCCAUAUAUCCUUCGCAUACUGGUCCGUUGCUCUGGCAAGUCCAUCUUGAGCGGCGUGAAUAUAUGCGUCUCCGGAGUUGAAAGCAUCGAAAGCCUCCUCGGACAAAAUACCAUUGUGAAGUACGGCCCGUCUGCGCCGGUGAUUCAUGACACUCCUCACUUCGGAGUUGGAAGCAGAAAGCAUGUCCGCAUCCUCUAUGGGAGGACGAUUCGGUGUUGCCCCCAUAUAAGCCUCCGCCCGUGAAUCCACUUCCGGAAUCUGGCUGCUUGAGGUGUGUCCGGCAGGGGAUUCGGAUGUAGUCCGACAGAUGCUUUUCCUGCCAGGACGCAAUGCAAACUGUCACAAUUUGGCAAAGAUAAUCGCAGAGCAAGUCCAAUUCGUACCUCUACCUCGGCGUCUCAGUUCUAACCGCCUUCCUCUUACGCCUGGCCAAAUCGGAUGCCUCCUGUAGACGAGCCCCCGUGGGCUCGACGCGGCGUCCUGAUGGCCGUUUCUGCAAAAAUACAACAUGUGCGCUUAGGGCACGACACAAUCUGGAAUUUAGGGCCCUAUCUUUACUUAAGUUCGACGCCGGGAGUAGCCCGAGAUAAUUAGCAAGGAUGGCCACUAAAGCGCUGUCCCGGCUUGCUUGGUAAAAUGUAUUGUCCACAAGUUCCACGGAUAUAUCCAGAUCUUCUUCCAGUCCGGGAUCGAGAGCCUGGUCAGGAUCCUCUAGCUUCGGAGGUGGGCUGUUGAACUCCUCGACUACCCUCCUCAGUUCCUGCUUUGGAAAAAGCAAGAUAACUAACUGGUGACAAAGGACACAGGUGUGAAUAGAGUCGAGUAAAGGAAUUACAGCUUACCCAUCUUGGGGGGUUGUACAUGGAAAAUCCAUCCCGUGGCUUAAUGCGGAGGAACUCCUCCUCUUCCCCUUUGUACAAAUCAGACAGUAUUUUCACCAGUGCGGCAGCAGAGUCCGGACCUUUACGAUCGCAGCGGGUGGCGUCGUCUUCUCCGUUGAAGUGCCACAUGGGUUUCCCCCGAUAUUGAAGAGGCUGCACCCCCCGCAUGAUGCAUAUUGACAUAACCUCUGUCAUUGUCAAUCCUGAUUUGGCCAAAAAAUUUGUCCGGCCCAUCAGAUAAAGGACCUCUCUGUCGUCUUCCUCCUGGGGGCUCCGCGGGCACCAAUUUUGGUGUUUCUUCAGCAGGGCAUUGGUAAACUCAGGAAGGCCCGUCCGGACUGGGUCCGGAAGGGGAACAUCAUCUACAUAAAACCACUCUGAGGGCCAAUCUUCGGAUGCCUUCUUUGGAGUGCCGGACAAUUAUCCGGCCUGGGCGAUGCGCCAUAUUUCGGCUUCGCCCACUUGAUAUAUAGAUCCCUCCUAAUUGCGAGGGACGAGGCAGAAUAGCCUCUUCCAUAGCUCGAAAUGAGCUUUGCUGCCCAGGAAAAGCUCACAGAAGGCAACGUACCAUGCGAUGUGUAGUAUGGUGGUAGGAGUGAAGUUGUGCAGAUGGAUACCAUAGAACUCCAGGAGCCCGCGGAGGAAUGGGUGGAUUGGAAACCCAAGCCCCCUCAGCAAAUACGGGACAAGGCAUAUUUGCUCCCCUCUAGAUGGGUUCGGAAAGGUCUCCGCCUGCUCCCCGCCAUUAUAUGUGGCUAGUCCGGCUCGGACGGGGACCAUGUAUGCAGGUGGGAGGAACCCCUGGGUCUGCAACUCCACUAAUCAGCUAUGAGGGACAGAACACUUUUCCCACUCGCCUGGAUUAGAGCUAGGGGUGCGAAAGGAGGAGCUUCGGCGGCCGGCCAUGAUGGAAUGGCUUUUCUCGGGCCCGCUUUGUUGAAUGCUUGCUGGGAGGAAGAUGGUGUGAUUUGGAUUUGAGGAUCCCCGUCUCUUCAAAUAGAUGAUUGGUUUACAAGGUCAGGGUGGCAAAUGUAAAAAUGCCCCGACUUCUCAUAUUCACUUGACACGUGGAGAUAGACAUUAUUGAAACACUGAAGCCGAGGAGGAUGACAUUGAUGGAGGCCUAACACGGUUCACCACAACAGGUACUCUGGAUUUGGAGAAGAACCCACCUUGCAAUGCCGAAGACAAUCUGCGCGCCGGACUCAUCGUCAUUGAAGCCUGAUUUGGGGGCUACUGAGGGAGUCCUGGAUAAGGGGUAUCCGGACAGUUGGACUAUGUACUUUGGCCGGACUGUUGGACUGUGAAGAUACAGGAUUGAAGACUUCAUCCCGUUUCCGGAUGGGACUCUCCUUGGCGUGGAAGGCAAGCUUGGCGAUUCGGAUGAUAGAUCUCCUUCUCUGUAACUGACUCUGUGUAACCCUCGCCCCCUCCGGUAUCUAUAUAAACUUGAGGGUUUAGUCCGUAGGACACAUCAACAAUCAUACCAUAGGCUAGCUUCUAGGGUUUAGCCUCUCUGAUCUCGUGGUAGAUCAACUCUUGUAAUACUCAUAUCAUCAAGAUCAAUCAAGUAAGAAGUAGGGUAUUACCUCCAUCGAGAGGGCCCGAACCUGGGUAAACAUCAUGUCCCCAGUCUCCUGUUACCAUUAGCCUUAGACGCACAGUUCGUGCCCCCCUACCCGAGAUCCGUCGGUUUUGACACCGACAGCCCGCCCCCUACGCCUACAAGUAUUUAGAUGUGAGUUGCAAACACCACACAAUACCACAAAUUCAAAUAAAAUGUGAGAAUGUUCGAUAUAUAGUAUUGUUUAGAUUGUUCGAUAUUUAGUUGUAAGCUGCAAAUGCCACACAUUAUCAAAAAUUCAAUUAAAAUGUGAGAUUGUUUGAUGUAUAGUAUGGUUUAGAUUGUUCGACAUUUAGCUGUGAGUUGCAAACGCCAUGCAUUAUCACAUUAUGGUAUAACAUGUGCACAGCACGCAUAUCACCGCUAUAUUCAUGCAUGCAUAUGUAUAAAACACUAUGAUCUCCUAUUCAAAUAUAUGAAUCCACUUUGAUAUCAAAUUAUGAUAUUUGUUAUUCUCUUACACCCACACAAUCCUCUAACCUUUGUAGCUACGACUAACUUUCUCUCGUGCAUGCACAUGCCCUCCUCUCCCUCCCCCUCCCUCGGCAUUCUAUCCACCGGACACAUUCAUUUUUUUCUUUAGGUCAUUCUCCCAGAGUCUCCACAACUCCUUUCUGACACACACCGAUUGAUAAACCUCUCCAGCGAUGCCUGCCUACAACAUACACACGCACCUUCAAUCUCCUCCUUUAUGUGUCCUUGCCUCGUGCCUCUCAUACGGUCACACACACGUGUAAACUCUCACCCCUCUUUUCAUCGAUCUCACAACUGCACACUCCUCCCCCUAUCUAGCUAGUAGCUGGGCCUCUCGCACCACCUCCUAGAUCCAUUCUCUUUGUCUAUCCAUCUCGCUGGGCCUUAUUUGCCUCUAACAAAUGGACAUACACCGACCGUUCUCCCGCUAUACAUAUAGCUAUCUAGGUCCUUAUAACUCGUUUUUACCCACGCGUCGAUCGAUCUACCUCAUUAGUUAUGUCUCUCCCUUCCUCCGACAAACAACAAUUGAUGUACCGAUCUAGUUAGGUUUGCUUACCAAACACAGGGUUCCCCUUCAUCAUCCAUGGAUGCGUCCCGACAGAUCUAUCACGCACAGGCACACACAGAAGCACAUCUCCACUCUUAUUGCUAACAUUGCAGUUCCACCCUCAGUUUGUCUAAUAGGCCUCUCCCACCAUCUUUGAGAAUCAACUCCAUCACACAUCCAACACUCUACCCCUCUCCCUCCCUCUCUCUCUCCUCUCUCUCUCUCUCUGUCCCAUCAUAUUUCCCGUCCUUCAGUUAUGUAUGGAUGUCGACCGAUCUCCCUCAAGACAUAGCUGGUUCUCUCCUUCUCAACACAUAUACGAGUCGUUCUACCUCUAUAGGUAGGCCUCUGCCUACCCCUUCCCCACCCCCUCCCACCCACACACACCGAUACAUCGAGCGCUCUAGUCAUGUCUCCCUACCACACACAAACUUGACCUAUGCCAUCUGACAUUCCGGUAGGUCAGUUGCCUUAUAUCUUUGACUUGCACACACACACACACACACAAUUUCGAUGGCUCUCUUCAUCGAUCUCGCAGCCACCCACUUGAUCCUUUCUUCGACUCUAUCGAUAUCUAUGAUUCCUCCCUCUCUUCUCGUGGAUCGCCCGACCCUCUAUAUAUGAUAUGGAUAGGCCUCCAUUUCACAUACAUUGCAUGCAAAAAUUUGUUUGAGAUGUCAUCGACACAUAUUCCCACAAAUACAUUCAUGAAAUCAACCCCCCACCCAAAAACAAAAAACACUCACGAACGCGGUUUGUAUCUCUCUCACACACCCACGUAGGUGGUGGACGUGCACGAAAAAGAGGUGCAUGCACGGCGCACGUACUCCCGUCUCUUUCCCAACCACACCCGCGCGGGUACACAGUGGAGCUCAUUUCUGUACGAAAAGGCAGCCCACGUGGUAAUUUGGCACGUGUACUGGUUGUCUACUUGGUGGAGGGAGGAUCGUCUACCACGGGUGAACAAACAAAUUGCGACUUGACGCGUUAUGUUAAAAAAAGAGGCAAACCAUGUGGGGCCUACCUUAGAGGCAAGGCUCUAUACAUUGGAGUACUUUUGAUGUGUCCUGUCAACUCGCAAAACGAGGGGAAGCUUGCUUAGUACGCCAUAUCCCCCGCCCACGGGUGCGGUGGCUCGCAGGAUGAGGUGAAGCUUGCUUACUAUUGUACGCCUUACGUUCACUCCCUCGCCCACACGCGCGGUGGCUCGCAGGAUGGGGAGAAAAAUUUACAACUCCCUCUGUUUAGUCCUCGUCCCUACUACCUUGGUUAUAGAGAUUAUAUCAUAUUCUUUGGAAUAUAUAUGUCCUUUAGUAGAUUUCAAUAUGAACUACUAGUACAUACUCCGAACACUGAUGUAUAUAGACGUAUUUUAGAGUGUAGAUUCACUCAUUUUGCUCAGUAUGUAGCACUCUCCCUCGCCCCUCGACCCUCGCCCACGUGGUGGACGCGCAGCAAUUCAUUCGAUCUCAUAUAGCCAGAACGAUAUAUACUGCACUACCAUUAUUGCUCGACUUCCUGAAGAGGCGAAGAGCCGAUCGCAAGGUUAAUAUUUUGGAGAUGCCAAGCGCAAGGUUAUAGGAGAACGAUUAGUAGGUGCCGCAUCAUUUAUAAAUAAUGUUUUUUUCUUCAGUGACACAUACGCAAUAUGAUAGGUUCAUAUGGAGAGAAAAGGAAACCGCUCCACUAUAUACAUAGUCAGGAUGGGCCAGCCUACACGGUUGCUUGCUGGGGUUGCUCUCUUCACACUCUCUCGCACAAAACGACUGUGGCCACAUCUCUAACAUCCCGAGGAUCACGUCCGUCGGGGGAAGUGGUGGAUGCUUAGUGUAGAUGCGGUCGCCGUCGCCGACGGCUAAAACCCACUGUCGGCACGUCCCGAUCAGGGGUCCCCGCUGUUCCCUCUCACAAAGCCGGUGAGGUUGCCUUCGUCCCUUGCUCACUGCUGCGACAUGGGUAGUUGCUGCCUCCCUCCUCAAGGUUGAGCUACGUCCCGACAUCCCUCAGGUACAACUCCCUUUACAGCCGGCUUGCCACACUGCUCCAGCUGCCCACAUCACUCCAUGUGGAUAUUUGUCUACUUCUUUGCCCCACACAUGCCUCUACUGGCUUCUACGUACUGUAUUUGUGAUGAGUUUAUGUCUCAUCAACUAGUCCCAGUAAUCUUAUUCUAAUCAUGCUUCUUCAAUUUCUUUGCCACAGGGAUGCUCAUCUCGAUUUUGGUGAAACUGCACAAAAUGAUUCGAUGGUCAAAAGGUUGCAAACUUCAUUUCUUAGGAAGCUCGAACGUUGCCAGCAAAUUGAAGCCUGGUUAGGGUUCACGGUUCAAGGGCUAGGGACUACAUGGAUCUUUUUUUCAUUAGCUGCCUCUAUUCCAAAAUAAGUCUCAACUUUAGUAGUAGUACAACUUUGUAUUAAAGUUUGCAUAAAGUUGAGAAACUUAUUUUGGAACGGAGGGAGUACAUAUUUACUAGGAUCUGUCAAUCAUUGAGAUGCAAUAGCAUGCAUGUUAGUCUCCUUUGUAUUUGAUGAAAUGUUGCAACAGGCAACCUUGGACGCAAGAUACAUGUAACAGAAGCGGGAAGCUUCAUAGCAUUGUACAAAUUUAUCUCAAUGAUAAAUUACAGUAUGUAUUAUACUAGUACUUCCUCCGUUCCUAAAUAUAAUUCUUUGUAGAGAUUUCACCAUGAACCACAUGCGGAUGUAUAUAGAUGCAUUUUAAGUGUAGAUUCAUUCAUUUUGUUCCGUGUGUAGUUCACCUAGUGGAAUCUCUACAAAGACUUAUCUACUAGUAAUAGCUAGCCCCGACUACUAGGAAUUCUCUAUCCUCUCCUUGAGCCAAAUCAUCAAAAUUAAUGUAGCUAUUAGAUGAACUAAAUCAGUCCAUAAUAGCCGUCUGAUCUAAACGUUGAGAGGCUCCGCACUAAGCCACAUGCAAGCAUGCAGAAAUACCGUGGCAUGCAUGUGAGUGGGUUUUAAAUCACAUCAACAUGUCUGCAUGCAAGCAUGCACCGGUAGCUUGCACGUAAGUGAGCUUUGAAGUCCCAUUAACAUGUCAAAAAGCAAAAUAUAAUCCCAUUAUGUAACAUCCCAAUUUUCUAUUUGGAUGUUUAUAAAUAGAUCAUUCAUAUGCAUCCAUGAUUUAUGCAUUUUUGCCCCAUUUGUAUUACCUGAUUUUGAUCCAAGGAACUUUGAGCAACUCAAGGACCAAAAGAGAGAGUUGGAAGUUUCCCUAAAACCCACUUUUGAAAUUUCAAAAUUUGGAAAUUGGAUCAAACUUGGUUCCACCAAAAAUUUAUCUCCAUUAUUCCAAAAAUAAAAUAAAGAGAGAGAUAAAAUGAUGUCUUCAAAAUCAGAAGGAAAAUAUUGUAAUUUGAAUUUGGAACCAAAAUAUAUUUGUUGGGUUUUAUUUGCAAUUUAUUUUAUCAUUUUAGCAAAAAGUUUAUUUUUGAAAACUUGCAUUUUAGGCUGGAUAAAUGUUCACAAGGUCAUAUAUAAGACCAUAUAAUUAUGUGGAAUUUUCUGGGAAUUUUAGGCUAACAUUUAUUUGUCUUUUAGGUGUUGCUUUGCUUCUGUAAAAAAACAUUUAUAAAAAAAAUGCCAGCCAGGCCAGCCAGCCCAGCUAGCGCCCGCACAGGCCAUGGCCCAGGGGGCAGCAGCCGAGCGAGGCCAGCGCCCACGCAAAAAAGGGGGUGAGCGCUCACGUCCUACUCCCUUUGCUCGCCCGUCCAUUCGUUUCCUGGAAACCUUUUCCCACGUUGACUUCCAUCUGGCGACUGGGCCCCGCGCACCUCUUCUUCUUCCUCUCCCACAAACAGAAACGUAAGCGUUCCUGCUCCCGACUUCGUUUCCAAUUCCUGAAAAUCAAUUCUCCAGCUCACUUCACAUCCAAGAAAGAUGUCCUAUAAAUAGCCAUGACUCUCCUCGACCGAUUUAGUCAAAAAUCUCUCGCCAAAUCUACCUCUAGACGACGCACUCGACGUUCCAAUCUCGCCUCAGAAGCUACAGUUCAUCGCAAGUUUCCGACAUGGGUGAGCCGUCUCAAGCCUGUGUGCCGACUUCUCCCAAUGCCUACAACCGUUUUGACAAGGUCUUUUGAUUCCUCUCCAUCUACAGAGGCCAUCCCGACCAUGUUGUCUUCACCAGAGCACCCGGAGCACCGAGCUUUGCGGCUUCAUUUCAUCGCCGUUCGUCGUCCCCGAUCAUCACCAACUACACCACCGGACGAGAAACUCUCCGUUGCAUCACCUAGACACCUCCGCUGCCGCCCAGGAUCGCCGGAGCCGCCGCCACCACUACGCCACAGCCGCCCUAGUGUACGUACGUUUCUCUGUAGGUUUCAGUUUGUUUCUGUCUAAAAAAACGUUUUCAUUAUGGAUCGGCCGCCCUCUUCAAAUCUAGCAGCAAACACCAGCCCAACCAAGCAGAGAGCACCACUUGUCGCCGGCCGAAAUUAGUUUUUUCAGAAAAGUUCAUUUUUCAGAUUUCUGUCAGAUUUUUCUUUUAGCGUAUCUUUUAAUCUAUAGAUCUGAUUUACUUGAUUCUUUUUCCUAUGGUUUCAUAAAAAUCCCAUCUAUCCAGAGAACCAAACGGGAAAUAUUUUUGAAAAUUUUAAAUUUCGAAUUCAAACAGAUCUGAAUUCAAACUCUGUUAGGCCGUAACUCGAGUUUCGUAACUCCGUUUUGAGUGAUUCUCUUUUCAAAUCGAAGCUUGUCACAAGUAUUUUCUGUUAAAACCAAAAAAAAUUAUUUAUCUUGCUGUAAAAAUUAUGUUCUGUACAGAAACUUUAUUUGGUUGUUUUUGGAGUUUUUCGAAUUCUUUUAUUUGUUUCCUUUUUGGAUCUUUGCUUGUAUGCUUUUGUAUGUUAUUGCUUGCUUACAUUAGAUUAUCUGGAGUGCGAAGCUUGCUACUACGAAUAUUUAGAGUUCAACAAACGUUAGCAACGCAAGUUCACACUUUGAUCAUACUUUUCAAUACCCAGUUUACUAUGCAUUAGUUUCACCCUCAAAGAUUGCAUGAGUAGGAUUGGAAACAUGUGGUUAUGCUUUGUAGUUCAUGUGGUAGGAACCUAUGACCUUUGAUCACCCCGGGAAUAUUCAUUAUGUCAUAUAUUGCUUAGCCAUGCUCGUAGACGGGGAUUGGUAUGUGUGAUUCAUGAAAGUUGCGAGAGAUAAUAAUUUUGGGACAACAUAAGGUGGCAACUUUAAUACACAUCUGGGUGGAUUGUUUGGUGCACCUGGAGUAACCAGUGCUUGCCUAAGGGGAAUCCCGGAGUACUCGUGUGAUUACCCUAGGUCCGCCACCCAGGCUUAAAGGGAUCAUAAGAUAUUUCAUGCCUAGAGACCUCCGUGUGCAGCCACAAGCCAUUAUGGGCUCUAGAAUAGUUGAGUAAGUUGUGUGACCUCUUUUCGUGGUAGACUAGCUGAUGUAGGGGAAAGUAGGUGUACCGGUCUACCCAGGGUUAAGGGGAAAUACUUUAGAAAGACUAUGUCUCGAUCUUCCGAUCAUGGAGGUGGUCGAGUCUUGUGGGGAAAAGUGUGCAAACCUCUGCUGAGUGUACAAACUAAUCAUGAUUAGUCGUGUCCCCGGUUUUGGACAACUUGAGUAUAUAGAAGUGAAUUAUUGGUUGAUCUCAAUCAUUUUUUAAUGAAAUUAUUGGGAUACUAAUAACUUGGGAAUUUUGGGGAUUGAGUUGGAGGAACCUUUUCAAUAAUGGCAUUUUAAUUUAGUAGUAAAUAAAAAUUUAUUCCUUUGUUGUAGGGUAAAAUUGGCUUUAUGCAAAAAUUAAACUUAGAGCCUCCACCAGCUAAAUUUGCAUAUAGAGAUAGUCUUUUUUUAUUAUUAUUAUUCUAUGGUGUGAAAUUGCCAGAACAUUCCAUGUGCUGACCUACACGGCUGCAACGUCUCAUGUUGCAGACUUUUCCGACGAGGAUUAAAGGUGCGAUAGCUCAUUGUUCUGCACUCAGUUUGCCUUGGAGUUGGAUGGACUCAUUUACCUUCGAUGCUUCCGCAGUUAUUUUAUUUUAGAUGGCCUUCGGCCAUAUUAUUGUAAUAAAUACUCUUUUGAGGAUCUCGAUGUAAUAAUGUGUGUGAUUGAACUCUGUUAUAAUUCCUUGAGUAUUGUGUGUGUCAGCAUACCGAUCCAGGGAUGACACUUAAGCACAGAGACUUCGAUCCAUUUGGAUCGGGUCACUACAAGAUGGUAUCAGAGCACACGCUGACUGUAGGACGCGACCACUAGGAAAUGGAAAGCCAUAGGAAGAAAACUCUAUUUUACGACUUCCUUAAAUAUCCGUUGGUCUAUACUCUUCUCUAUUCAUUUCUAUCUCUUCUCCACUUCAAUAAAAUAGUUGACGAACCCCAUCACCAAGUUGCUCAGCCCGAUGAGACCAUGACCUAUGAAGACAACAUUGACGAAGAAGAAGCUAGAGUUGACUUUGAUUUGAGGAGAUUUAGUUUAGACCACCACUACCAAGUUGAGUCCAACUAUGAAUUGCGGUAGUAUGAAGAGAUCAUAUCUGUUGUGGAUAUGACCUUACCUGUAGGUUUUGCUUGUGUGGUGUGAUCUAUGUGAAUUGCUUGACUUGAAGUUUUCUUGCUAUCAUAAGCAUAAGGGUAGUGAUUUCUGUCAUUAGGCCCUUAUUCUAUUCUAAUUCUCAUCCACUCUAAACCGUACCGGAUGCCCGCAAAUGAUCUGGAGGAAAUUAAGAAGUAGAUUAACGAAUUAUUGGAGGAAGGUUAUAUUCGACCGAGUUCAUCACCUUGGGGAGCCCCAGUGCUUCUAGUUGAGAAGAAGGAUGGAUCCUUGAGAAUGGUUGUAGAUUAUCAUGCGCUAAACGAGGUGACGAUUAAGAACAAGUACCCUCUGCCAAUGAUCAAUGAUUUGUUUGACCAGCUACAAGGAGCAAAAGUUUUCUCCAAGAUCGAUCUUCGAUCAGGAUAUAACUAGCUGAAGAUUCGAGAACAGGAUAUACCCAAGACAACUUUUACCACGAGAUAUGGACUUUAUGAGUACACGGUCAUGUAUUUUGGUUUGACUAAUGCCCCUGCCUAUUUUAUGAGUAUGAUGAAUAAGGUAUUCAUGGAGUUUUUGGAUAAGUUUUUUGUGGUAUUCAUUGAUGACAUAUUGAUUUACUCGAAGAAUGAAGAAGAACACAAGUAACAUUUGCGCUUGGUUCUUGAGAAACUCAGGGAACAUCAGUUAUACGCAAAAGUUCAGCAAGUACGAAUUCUGGUUGAAGGAUGUCGGAUUUCUUGGACAUGUUAUAUCAGGAGAAGGAAUAGCAGUAGACCCCUCCAAGGUUGAAGUCGUCACCGAAUGGAAGGCACCCACCUCAGUCAGAGAGAUUCACAGUUUUCUUGGACUUGCAGGAUAUUACGGGAGGUUUAUUGAGAAUUUCUCCAAGAUUGCGAAGCCCAUGAAGGGGUUACUAAAGAAAGACACUAAGUUUGUUUAGACGGAGGAAUGUGCGGCUAGUUUUCAAGAGUCGAAGAAACGUUUGGUUAUAGCCCCAGUGCUAAUCCUUCCGAAUAUACGCAAGGAUUUCCAAGUUUAUUGCGAAGCUUCUCGUCAGGGACUUGGAGGUGUUCUUAUGCAAGAAGGAAGAGUUGUUUCAUAUGCCUCACGUCAGCUUCGACCUCAUGAGCGGAAUUAUGCCACACAUGAUUUGGAGUUAGCAGCCGUAGUGCAUGCACUCAAGACCUGGAGACAUUUUCUUACCGGAAAAUAGGUGUGAUGUUUACACGGAUCAUAGAAGUUUGAAAUACAUCUUCACGCAGAAGGAGUUGAACCUCAGGCAGAGAAGAUGGUUGGAGCUCAUAAAGGAUUAUGACAUGAAAUUGCAUUAUCACCUAAGAAAGGCCAAUAUUGUGGUAGAUGCAUUGAGCUGCAAGAGCUAUGUUAAUACCCUCAAAGCAGGAGGAUUAGCUCAUGAUUUAAUUGAUGAUCUCAUAGAUCUCUGAUUAGAGAUAGUACCACGAGGUUUUGUUGCUGCAAUGGAAAUUCAAUCCACUUUAUUGGGAAAGAUCCGAGAAGCCCAGAAGUUAGACAAAGGUAUUGCGGAAAUAAAGGAAAGGAUGAACCAAGGAAAGGCAAAAGGAUUUCGUGAGGAUAAACAUGGAACCUUAUGGUUUGAGCAGCGGAUUUACGUGCCCAAUGACACAGAGAUCAGGAAGCUGAUUCUUUAGGAGGCUCAUGAUUCGCCUUACUCAAUACACCCAGGCAACACCAAGAUGUAUUUGGACUUGAAGGAAAAUUUCUGGUGGACAGGUAUGAAGAAGGAUAUUGCUGAGUAUGUCGCAAUAUAUGACGUAUGUUAGAGGGUUAAAGCAGAGCACAAGAAACCAGCAAGAUUACUUCAGCCUUUGCCAAUACCAGAUUGGAAGUGGGACAAGCUUGGCAUGAACUUCACUACAGGAUUACCCAGGACCCGAUCAGGCUAUGAUUCUAUUUGGGUAGUAGUUGAUCGCUUGACCAAGGUAGCUCACUUCAUCCCCGUGAAAACCACAUAUACAAGUGCUAAGUUGGCCAAGAUAUACAUGACCAGGAUCGUAUGUCUGCAUGGAGUUCCGAGGACCAUCGUAUCAGAUAGAGGAACACAAUUUACCUCAAAGUUUUGGCAUCAAUUACACAAAACUUUGGGUACCAGGCUAGAGUUCAGUACAACUUUUCAUCCGCAAACAGAUGGGCAGACCGAGAGAGUCAAUGAGAUUGUAGAGGAUAUGUUGAGAGCUUGUGCGCUAGAUUAUGGAUCUAGUUAGGAUGAUAAUUUGCCAUACGCAGAAUUCUCAUAUAACAACAUCUAUCAAGCUAGUUUGAAAACGGCCCUUUCGAAGCUUUGUACGGAAGGAGGUGCAUGACACCAUUGAUGUGGGAUGAAGUUGGAGACCGUAAAUUAUUCGGACCAGAUUUAAUUAGAGAUUCAGAGGCAAAAGUCAAGCUGAUCCGCGACAGACUCAAGGUAGCCCAAUCCAGACAGAAGAGUUAUGCCGAUACUAAACGCAAGGAGGUAACCUAUGAAGUCGGAGAUAGAGCAUAUCUGCGUGUGUUGCCACUUCGAGGAGUUAAACGAUUCAGAGUCAAAGGAGAGUUAGCACCGCGAUUUGUGGGGCCAUAUAGAGUUUUGUUACGCAUGGGUGAAGUUGCCUACAAGUUGGAAUUACCCGAAGCCUUGUCAGGAGUUCAUGAUGUGUUUCAUGUUUCCCAGUUGAAGAAGUGUCAUGCGGAGAUGGCCGAUAUUCCUUUAAGAGAUAAAGUGCCCCUGAAAGCAAUUCAGUUGGAUAGUGAUCUGACUUAUGAGGAGAAACCGGUCAAGAUUCUAGAGUUUGCUAACAGAGUUACCCGCAACAAGGUCAUAAAGUUUUGCAAGGUUCAGUGGAGUCAUCAUACCGAAGAAGAAGCCACCUGGGAACGAGAAGAAGAUCUCCAACAGGACCACCCACACCUUUUUGCUAGCCAACCCGAAUCUUGAGGGCGAGAUUCAUCUUAAGGGGGGUAGGUUUGUAACAUCCUAAUUUUCAAUCUGGAUGUUUAUAAAUAGAUCAUUCAUAUGCAUCCAUGAUUUAUGCAUUUUUGCACCAUUUGUAUUAUUUGAUUUUGAUCCAAGGAACUGUGAGCAACUCAAGGACCAAAGGAGAGAGUUGGAAGUUUCCCUAAAACCCACUUUUGAAAUUUCAAAAUUUGGAAAUUGGAUCAAACUUGGUUCCACCAAAAAUUUAUUUCCAUUAUUCCAAAAAUAAAAUAAAGAGAGAAGAUAAAAUGACUUCUUCGAAAUCAGAAGGAAAAUAUUGGAAUUUGAAUUUGGAACCUAAAUAUAUUUGUUGGGUUUUAUUUGCAAUUUAUUUUAUUAUUUUAGCAAAAAGUUUAUUUUUGAAAGCUUACAUUUUAGGCCGGAUAAAUGUUCACAAGGUCAUAUAUAAGACCAUAUAAUUAUGUGGAAUUUUCUGGGAAUUUUAGGCUAACUUUUAUUUGUCUUUUAGGUGUUGCUUUGCUUCUGUAAAAAAACAUUUAUAAAAAAAGGCCAGCCAGGCCAGCCGGCCCAGCUAGCGCCCGCACAGGCCAUGGCCCAGGGGGCAGCAGCCGAGCAAGGCCAGCGCCCACGCAAAAAAGGGGGCGAGCGCUCACGUCCUACUCCCUUUGCUCGCUCGUUCGUUCGUUUCCUGGAAACCUUUUCCCAUGUUGACUUCCAUAUGGUGACUGGGCCCCGCGCACCUCUUCUUCUUCCUCUCCCACGAACAGAAAGGUAAGCGUUCCUGCCCCCGACUUUGCUUCCUUUCCAAUUCCUGAAAACCAAUUCUCUAGCUCACUUCACGUCCAAGAAAGAUGUCCUAUAAAUAGCCACGACUCUCCUUGACCGAUUUAGUCGAAAAUCUCUCGCCAAAACUACCUCUAGACGACGCACUCGACAUUCCAAUCUCGCCUCAGAAGCUGCAGUUCAUCGCAAGUUUCCGACGCCGGUGAGCCGUCUCAAGCCUGUGUGCCGACUUCUCUCAGUCCCUACAACCGUUUUGACAAGGUCUUUUUAUUCUUCUCCAUCUACAGAGGCCACCCCGACCAUGUUGUCUUCACCAAAGCACCCGGAGCACCGAGCUUUGCCGCUUCGUUUCGUCGCCGUUCGUCGGCCCUGAUCAUCGUCGACUACACCACCGGACGAGAAACUCUCCACCGCAUCGCCUAGACACCUCCGCUGCCGCCCAGGAUCGCCGGAGCCGCCGCCACCACUACGCCACAGCCGCCCCAGUGUACGUACGUUUCUCUGUAGGUUUCCGUUUGUUUCAGUCUAAAAAAACCUUUUCGUUAUGGAUCGGCUGCCCUCUUCAAAUCUAGCAGCAAACACCAGCCCAACCAAGCAGAGAGCGCCACUUGUCGCCAGCCGAAAUUAGUUUUUUUCAGAAAAAUUCAUAUUUCAGAUUUCUGUCAGAUUUUUCUUUUAGCGUAUCUUUUAAUCUAUAGAUCCAAUUUAGUUGAUUAUUUUUCCUAUGGUUUCAUAAAAAUCCCCUCUAUCCAGAGAACCAAACGAAAAAUAUUUUUGAAAAUUUUAAAUUUCGAAUUCAAACAGAUCUGAAUUCAAACUCUAUUAGGACGAAACUCGAGUUUUGUAACUCCGUUUUGAGUGAUUCUUUUUGCAAAUCGAAGCUUGUCACAUGCAUUUUCUGUUAAAGCCAAAACCAUUUAUUUUUGUUGCUGUAAAGAUUACGUUCUGUAAUGAAACUUUAUUUGGUUGUUUUUGGAGUUUUUCGAAGUCUUUUAUUUGUUUUCUUUUUGGAUCUUUGCUUGUAUGCUUAUGUAUGUUAUUGCUUGCUUACGCUAGAUUAUCCGGAGUGCGAAGCUUGCUACUACGAAUCUUUAGAGUUCAUACUUCUCAAUACCCAGUUUUACUAUGCAUUAGUUCCAUCCUCAAAGAUUGCAUGAGUAGGAUUGGAAACAUGUGGUUAUGCUUUGUAGUUCAUGUGGUAGGAACCUAUGAUCUUUGAUCACCCUGGGAAUAUUCGUUAUGUCAUACAUUGCUUAGCCAUGCUCGUAGACGGGGAUUGGUAUGUUUGAUUCAUGCAAGUUGCGAGAGAUAAUAAUUUUGGGACAUACACAUCUGGGUGGAUUGUUUGGGGUACCUGGAGUAACCAGUGCUUGACCAAGGGGAAUCCCGGAGUACCCGUGUGAUUACCCUAGGUCCGCCAGCUAGGCUUAAAGGGAUCAUAAGAUAUUUCAUGCCUAAACUUCCGUGUGCAGCCACAAGCCAUUAUGGGCUCUAGCAUAGUUGAGUAAGUUGUGCGACGUCUUUCCGUGGUAGACUAGCUGAUGUAGGGGAAAGUAGGUGUACCGGUCUACCUAGGGUUAAGGGGAAAUACUUCAGAAAGACUAUGUCUCGAUCUUCCGAUCAUGGAGGUGGUCGAGUCUUGUGGGAAAAGUGAGCAAACCUCUGCAGAGUGUAGAAACUAAUCAUGAUUAGCCGUGUCCCCGGUUAUGGACAACUUGAGUAUCUAGAAGUGAAUUAUUGGUUGAUCUCAUCAUUUUUAAUGAAAUUAUUGGGAUACUAAUAACUUGGGAAUUUUGGGGAUUGAGUUGGAGGAACCUUUUCAAUAAUGGCAUUUUAAUUUAGUAGUAAAUAAAAAUUUAUUCCGUUGUUGUAGGGUAAAAUUGGCUUUAUGCAAAAGUUAAACUUAGAGCCUCCACUAGCUAAAUUUGCAUAUAGAGAUAGUCUUUUUUUAUUCUAUGGUGUGAAAUUGCCAGCAUAUUCCAUGUGCUGACCUACACGGCUGCAACGUCUCAUGUUGCAGACUUUUCCAAUGAGGAUUAAAGGUGCGAUAGGUCGUUGUUCUGCACUCAGUUUGCCGUGGAGUUGGAUGGACUCAUUUACCUUCGAUGCUUCCGCAUUUAUUUUAUUUUAGAUGGCCUUUGGCCAUAUUAUUGUAAUAAAUACUCUUUUGAGGAUCUUGAUGUAAUAAAGUGUGUGAUUGAACUCUGUUAUAAUUCCUCGAGUACUGUGUGUGUCAGCAUACCGAUCCAGGGAUGACACUUAAGCACAGAGACUUCGAUCCAUUUGGAUCGGGUCGCUACACAUUAUCCAGUAGGAGUUAGCUGAUCUUUUUUCCUUACGUGGGAUGCUCUAAAUGAUGAUGGGAGUUUUUUUAGUUUGGCUACCACAUUUGUCAUGCGGUUAUUGAGUUUUUUUAGUUCUGUGAAAUUGAUAAUUUUACGCAGAGAGAUAUAUGGUUGUUCCGCGGCAACGUGCGGGGACUCAUCUAGUAUUUAGGAACGGAGGGAGUACUAUGUAAAGAGUUAGGUGUCGCACGGUGUCUAGAAAAAAUGGUGAUAGUGUGAGGUGGGCCAUGUAAUCACUGAGCCUGCGUGUUUUCAGAGCUCUUGCACUCCUCCGCUGUAAGAAUGGAGAAAAUUGUAAUCUAGUAGUAGUACCUCCUUUCGCCGAAAGCGUGGGACAUCCAGCAGUCCUACCACCUUAGUAAUAAAGACCAAUGAGCUACCAAAUCACAUAGACCCAGCAGUAAGUUGGACGGACGAAACAACCAUCACUCUUGCGCCAGUGAGAGGUCGCGUCCGCUGUGCCCGGGCAUGAAUGCGGCACCGAUUGUUUGGAGCAGCGUUGACCGUUUCGGGCGGGAAGCGCGCGCGGGUGAUGGAGGGGCUUUGGGUGGGCCAGGCUGGUCAGGAGUGGGCGUGGCAGCUAUCCGCCUGUCCCUACCGGACACGCCCGGAAACGAGAGGAUGCAGCGACUCUCGCGACUAAAAUCGUACACUACACACCAUCUCUCUGUAGGAGUAGGUCGAUCUGUCGUUCUCUCUAACACACACAUGCUAUUAAACACACACACACACACACACGCACGCACGCACACGCACGCACCUUGGUCCCGCUGCACCUUCUAACGUGACUUAUUACACCUAGACGGAGGGAGUAGUAAGUACGAGAUGCAGUGGCACACUGACUUAGGUCGAAUACAAGUGCCCAAAAUAGUGUGCAUGUUAUAAUAAGGAUUCACUUAAAAUAGUACGUGAGCGAAUAGAGGGAUCAAUUGGACAGUGUUCCCAAGCAGUAGCGAGAUGUGUGAGGUAAGAUACACCGCUGGUGCGUUUAAUUUUUCUUAUUAAUUUGUUUGUUUCACCCUAUGACUGGUGGGACCCAACGUACUACCUGGAGAGAGGUAAGGUGACUAAGGCUGCAUUAUUUCUGCACCACUGUGGAUAGUCUAACCACCAAAGCCACAUGACACGAUUAUGAUUUAAAUCCCAAUGACUCCCACACACACAAAAAAAACAUGGCAUGCUUGUCACACGAAUGUAGGUAUGCAUAAAAGGUUAUUUUCCUCUCGUUGAACAUAACGGGAGGGUUGUGUAGCUAGUUAGCAUGUUCGCUCAUCAAACAUGAGGUCUCGGGUUCGAUAACUACACUUGAGCAUAAUUCGUGCCAGGAGGAUACUUUGACUGGUCAAAAUGGAUGGAUACAGAGCUAUACGAUCUCGUAGUGAUCGUAUAAUCACCUCAUCAUGUAUAAGCUGCAGCCUCGGCGCUUGUUUUCUAGGGUUUCCACGCUUCACACUCUCUCUCCAGUAUAUAUAUACACGCUAGAGCCUCAGCGCUUGUAGUUACUCUCUUCACACUCUCUCACCCUCUCCGGAUCUAAACAAGACUUCGUUGGCCUCUCUCUCCCCUCACUGCUGGUCAAAGAGCCGGCAGGAUCCAUUCGCCGGGAAGGGAAGGAGGCUUAACGCUGUCUUCAUCGGCGAGGGAGGGAAUCCACUACUGGCGUAGCUGUUCACUUUCACCCAGCGCCCCCUUCUUCUUCGCCGUUGUCCCGUCGCCCACCGAACCACGCCCCAAGAACUUUAAGGUAUAAUUUACUUAUUCCACAUGCAUUGCUCUAGCUGCAUGUAUACCAUGAAUCUAGGACGUGGUUCAAAGAGGAAAAGGAGUGGGAAAAGUUGUAUAGCAUGAAUCUAGGACGUGGUUCAAAGAGGAAAGGAAUGGGGAAAGUAGUGGGGAAAGUUGUAUAGCAUGAAUCUAGGACGUGGUUCAAAGAGGAAAGGAAUGGGAGAAAUUAGUGGGGAAAGUUGUAUCACAUAAAUCUAGGACGUGGUUCAAAGAGGAAAGGAAGGGGCGAAAGUACUAGUACAGACUGGCUAUCCAACACCUACGUUGGUCGAAAAGGGAAAACAAUUGCAAACAUGGUACACACAUCUCUAACAAACUGAUCUUUUGUUUUGGGGGGCAAGGCUGUAGAGUUUGAACAAGACUAGAUUUGCUGCACUCACAUAGGGAAAGGUGUCUAAAGAUAACAAAACCGGGACCAACACAAAUGUGCUCCUUGGUUGUUUGUUCUUUGUUGCAGCAGACUGUGCAUGAACACAGUACAUCGGUAGAUGCACAUGGUGCUGGUGCGUCCACUAUCCCGUGCAACACUUUAGCUGUUGUUAAUCUAAGGCCAUGUUUGGUUAAAAACUCCUAUUCCCUACCUACUUGGUUCCAGGGACUAAACAUGGACUAGAGGUUAUUAAAUGACAUGCUAAAAGACCAUGUUACCCCUAGUAAUGAACUAAUAGAGACAAGGUGCGAUGCGUGGCAGGGGCAACUAUUGGAAAAAGUCCCAAAAAGACUCCCUCGGGGUCUUCUUUCUUUAGUCCCAAAUGCCUAGUUUUAGUCCCUAAAACUCCCUCCUGUUUGGUUUAGAUGGGACUGACACAGAGUUUUUUUAGUCCCUACACCAAAAUGUCCCUGUAAACAAACACCCUCUAAUAAUGCCGCUGGAAAAUUGAUGCAAUGCCAGAAUUAAAAGGAAAUUACAUGUUUGAUGAAUUUUAUUGUUAAUAUAAUCUCUAUGUUAAUAUUAAUCAAUGCCACCAUUUGAGAAAUGCUACUGUGACCACUAGUUGUUUCCUUUGCACCUCUGUGUAAACAGGGUUAUCUACUUCACCUCGUUACCAUUGUGACCUUUUGUUGCACUGCACAAAACACUUUUGUUUUAAGAGUGUUUUGUGCAGUUCAACCAAAAUGUCACACCGACAAUGUUUCUUGAUUGCUUGAUCUUAGUGGAACUGCACAAGAGGAGAUCUUACUUCCUAUCCGUGUUGACAAAUUUGGAUCAGAUCUUCUUCUUGUGAGUUGUUUGAAUUCCGCAUCAUGAGAGGUCAGUACUAGCCUUCUUUCACAUGAUUCUGCAGUGUGCUUUCAUAUCUUGUGCUACUUGUAUGGUAAUGUUGCUUGAUUUUAAUGAACUGCACAAAUGGAGACAAGACUUCCAAUUUGUAUGUGCACCGUAAUUUCCCAUCGAGGUAAGAUAAGGAUAUUUCACAACUGUUGGCCUGUACUUUGCCACUUUCAUCAGAAAAUUAAUGUCAUUUUUAGUGUUAUACUUGUGCUCCCUAAUUGACAUGCCAAAUCUUCUAUUAUUUAACCAAGUGAUGAAGGGGAAGAACAAGCGGAAGAAAAACAAAAAUCAACUCCCGUGCUGUAAUGAAGCACUGGAAAUGUGAUGACACAAGUAAUGAUAUAGUUUUGCAUAUUUAUUUAUUGCUAUGGCUGGAAUGAGCAAUUGUUUUGCCAUUGAUUUAAUACCACUCUUAAUGUAAUACGUAAUUAUCUCUACUUGUGCAAACAGGGGUCUUCUUUGAAGAUACCAUAUAUUUUAGUGGAACUGCACAAGAACAUGUUGGAAACAUUAAACUAAUCGAGGAGUAUAUAGUAAGCAUGGCCACCACAGUAGAUAGCAACAGAUGGUUCCGGAGAAGUGCUUGAUCUGUAUGCUCUACACAAUAAGCCUCCUGACAAAGGUUGGUACUCGCCCACUGAUUUCAUCCAUAUGAUUGAGCAUUGUCAUCUCUAUUGCGGAGCAAAAAGUGGUAUUGUCCUUGAGAAGUGCUUCAUCUGUGCUGUUUCAAAUAUUUCCUUUCCUUUUUUCGAGCAAACAGGGAUGCUAGCAUUUAGUUGCCCUCUUGUCUUUGCACAAUAGGAUCAUCUUCCUCUGAAGAAGAAUCUGGAGUACGUGAAGUGACUAGUUCCGAUUAUGCCAGGAUGAAGAAGCCCUGUCUAUCUUCUCACCAGAAGGAGCAGUUGAAGGAUGGUUACAUUACUCCCCACAAGACCAAACUAACUUAAGCUCAGAAGGACUGACAAAUCUCCAUUUUUUUGCUGUGAUGCACAAGUACAAUGUUGUUCUAGGAUUCUUUCUAGUGAGUUCCAUUUUUAUAAAACUUUGCUCUAGAUGGACCAUGUAGGUGCCUGUUUAAACUGUCAAUUCAUAGUAUAGUUUACUUUAUACUAAUCACUUUUUUGUAUUUGUGCAAACAUGGGUGCUCAGCUUGAUUUCAAUGGGAACUGCACAAAAUGUUCAUGAAUACAUCGAAUCAUUCAUUUCCACCACAAGAAAGGAGGUGCCGAUAAGUUCAAGGCAUUGCAACAUAUAAGGGCGAAAUCAUACAAGCUACGCGCGAAUUUGGUUGAUUUUGGUGGAACUGCACAAAAGGAACAAUUGGUUUAUUUAGCACGAGGUGCCAUGUCAAUGUCCGAACUGAUGGCAAACCCUGCCUAUUCCACAAUCUUAGGCAUUUGAUAUUUUGGAAUGGGACAACCUUGUCAAAUUUUGCUCAUUGAUUUUAGCAAGAAGACAUGCGUUUGAUAUUUUCGAAUGGGACGCCCUUUGCUGUCAGCAGUGUCGAUCAUUUUUUUCUUUAUUCUUUAGUUGUGAAGUAAAUAUUGCCUCUGACAUGUGAGUCGAUGAGAUGCAUAAUCAUCGAUUGUUUUGAAUGUUCUCUAUGAAUUGCCAGCCCUGUGUGUUUGAUUGCAAUGUACAGAAACGCUAAAAAGCUGCUCAAACUCUUUGUACUCCUUAUGUUCCUUUUUACUUCGAAGAUUGUGAAAGUGCAUACUUUUUUCUAUAAGAUUGGUCAAAGUAGAGAUAUUUUGACUGCAGACAAAACUUGUAUGCAGAAUAGAAAGGACCGGAGGGAGUACAUGUGAAACUGCUGCAAACGAGGUGAUCUCCCUGGGAAUAAUGCUAGUACAUAUUGUUUUGCAUGUUCAUCUAAUACCAGUGAAUAUGAAUUCAAACUAAUCAAAAUAAAUUCAUUCAUACACGGUCGGAUUUCAUAUAAACAUGCCGGAUUUCAUUACAUUUCAUACAUUCUUCAACUAAAAAGGGGUGCGCCGGAGGUAUUAUUAAUUAACCAAAGCUACCCACCUGUGUCCCGCUGACGCGAACAGAAGCUUGAGUGACUUAACUGCAGGUGCAGUUGCGUAACUGACAUGUGACCUGUUGGGCCCACGUGUCAGUCAGCCAACUACACCAGGAGUUAAGUAGAAGCAGCGUUCUUCUCCAACAUAGCUCUCCGACUCCACGUCGCCGCCCAGAAGCUAACCGACCGUCAAUGGUCAACCCGCCUAGCUUGGCUAAAACCGGAGGGUAGCAGCGGUUGCCUUACUCAAGCGAUGGUGACCUACCGUGUUCUACUCUUACUCGUUUUCUGUGUGGUGCGACCUCGUUGACAGCGGGGCGGGGCCUCGGUGGAGCCGGCGAUGUCCUC